UCGUGCUGCGGUGGUAAAUGUGGUUGCGGGUCCGGCUGCGGCUGCGGCAGUGGCUGCAACGGGUAAUCUUUCUAACCUUCUAUUUGUUUCCCGAGAAUCUGGAAAAAGAAAAUCCCAGAAAAUUUAUCUGCUCUGUUUUUGGUUUUUGAUUACGUGGGUUCUUGUUUCAGGUGCGGGAUGGCUCCUGAUCUGAGCUACAUGGAGGGGUCCACCACUGAGACCCUUGUCAUGGGAGUUGCUCCCCAGAAGUCGUACGUAUCUCAUCUCUCAGAAAUGAAAUCCUAAAUUAUAUUUGGAAUUUGUAAAUUGCAUAUGUUGUGGUUAUAAUCUGGGAAACACGGAGAAACAGAACUGGAUGGACGCUAAACAGACAAUAAAAGUUAUAAAACGACAAUAAAAGGGUACAAAAUCGUGACUCAUGCACGGCUUAUUGUCUGUUUUGCGUGAUCCAGUUCUUUUUUUAUUUUUAUGAAACUAACCGGUUUAAUUUGUGCAUAUUUCUCGUUAUAAUUUUGGGGAACAUGGAGAAACAAAAUUGUAGAAACAUUGAACAGACAAUAAGAGGAUAUUAAAGCGUGGUUCAUAUACAUCUUAUUGUCUAUUUAUGCGUAUUUACACUGAUUUUUCGAAAUAUAGAUAUUAAACAGACAAUAAAGCGAUAUUAAACCGUGAUUUGUAUACAACUUAUUGUCUGUUUCGUGCCCUCCAGCUUAAUUUUGGAUUAAAAGAUUGUAACCGGUUCUAUUUACGCUAAUCGGGCUAUAACUUGGGUUUUGAUGUGCAGGCACUUUGAGGCAUCUGAGAUGGGAGUUGUAGCUGAGAACGGAUGCAAGUGCGGGGAUAGCUGCACCUGCAACCCCUGCAAGUGCACCAAGUGAGUGACAGAUGUCACCUUCUGACGAAGCAAGAGAAUCGUGGGGCUUCUAUGUUUAGCAGUAGUAAUCUAUGUGUGUGUCUGGUAAUUAUGAUCCUAAUGUACCAAGGUCGUGUUGUUAGAAUAAAGUAGCCAUGGCUUGCCCUCUGACCUGCAGAUCCACUAGGCAAGGAUCUGCUGAGGAUGAUCCUAGGUUAUGGCUGCUUGUGUCUCUGUUUCUAUCAUGUGUUGUGUAGAGUUGGAUCAUACUGUGUGUGAUGAAAUGAAUGAAAAACUUGCAUGUUUUACUUUAAUUUUUGGAUUCAGUUUACUUUUUAGAUUCGGAACUCUUAGUCAAUCUGAUGGCGAGAUCUUUCUUUGUUUUCGGGGUUCAAGAGAAGAGAGGAGCCACCACCCAAUGGUGCAGUUCCACCGGAUGUGGAAUAGCCCAGUACCUAGUCAAAAAACCAGGCUAGGACCCUGUCAACCCACGGGAUUGCCUGUCACCCAGCCCAAGCCGGUCUCCAGGCCAGCCCAAAAUUGACAGACCUUGGGACUGGACUAUAUGACGUCAUGCUGGCGUCAUGAUCUGAAAUCGAUGACGACGAACUCCAUCUCCGACAAGGAAGACUGCUGGAUGACUCUACCUUCGAGGAUGAGGCCGUCGACCCGGAACUUGCUGUUGAGGACGAGCUGGUCUUGGAAGCUGUUGAGGAUGAUGACAUCAAAUCCGGCGAUGCAGCUGAAGGUCAGGGCGUAGGUUCAGAGGCGGUGGGUUUGGAGCUAGCGAGCCCAGGUGUCGAUGUCGACCUGUUUGGGGCGAGUCGGACCGCGGAGAGUGAAGGGGAGGUGGGGAUUUGAUGGAGGGUGGAGAUGGGGGGUGUGGGGUUGGCGUGUUCUAGUCUGAGGAGCAUUUUUGGAGAGAGAGAGGGAAAAAGAGGGAGAGAGAGAGAGCUCACGGUGAUGAUGAAGGUGGUGGUGGGUUGGUGUGCUUUGAUAAACAAUCUGUUAAAUUAUUAUUUUAAUAAAAUUGACUAGGCUAUUUAUUAUUAGGGAUGGAGAUGUUUUGGCCUAUUAUUGUUUAUUGAGAUCUAUUACUGUUCACUUGAGUGGAUAAAUGCACUAGGUGCUGGCGCAAAGUCUUUAGAGGUAGAAUUGCUCUUACGAAAGCAUGGUCACCAGUGGCCCUCCACCUUCUCGACACUAUCGAACCAGAAAUCGCUCUCAAUCGUUCUGGAGGAAUUUUUUGCAUAUCUUGGACUUAAGGGCAAAAAGUGCCCUAUUCGUAGGGGUAGCGCCAGUUGUUUGUUUUCAAGGGACCAAGGCCACGUUAUCAGUUAUCUGAUUUUUUCAAAUUUCAUCUAACAGUCAAAUUACUUAAUCCGAUGACCUUAAUGGAAGAGAUCCGGAGAAAUCUCUUUCCUUUUUCAAGUUAAGCCCAGUAUCCCUAUCCCUUAUCAGGUUGGCAUAACAAAAAAAAGAAAGAAAAAGUCCAAAUAAUAAAAAUUCUACGGUGCUUUGGUGUAUACGGUAAUUUCGAUAUUUUAACUGUCAUAUUUUAAUUUCUCUUUUUGAUAAAAGAAAAUCUAACGAGUAAAAUACCUGAAUAACCCCGAUAGUCCAGAAUAUUAUAGAAAAUGUAUAUAUGAAGGAGAAAACACAAAAGAAGAAUUAGAUUAGAGUUGUAAAUAUGACAUUACAUUUAAUUGAUUGUACGCUACAACCAAAGGUUUGUUAAACACUACACAAAUCACACACAGGGUCUAUUUAGUCUUUUACAAUCACAUUUGCAAUCCAAAUCAGUAAGGAAUCUGAUGGGCUAAUGUUACAGUCUGCUUCACCACAAGGCUUAUUUGGGAGACAAAUUUCCCUAGGGCUGCCGCCUCUCAUCGGGUCAGACCAACGUGCGGUUGGUGGAUUAGAAUACAAGAGGUUUCCCAUGAUUUUUGUGAGAGGUGCUCUAGAGUUGAACGUUGUCGGACACCCCUACCCCGAGUUCACGCUUACUUGACCUGUAAAAUAUCUGAGCAGCUGGGUGUUGCCUUUAUUUGCUUAUCUAGUACCCCAACUGCAGCUUUAUUAAACAGGUUGACAAUCUGUAGAAAAAAAAGAAAAUUAAUUAGAGCAGAUUAGUAAUCAAUCAUUCAUCUUUUAAUGGGAAUUGUAGUGAGCCUCUCUUAGGAUCACCUGCUUAGUUGAGAGACCUAUUUUCUCCAAAUCGUUCAGCUGAAACAUGCAACAUGCAACAUGCAACAUCAGAAUUACUCAUUUAAUGCAAUUCAAAGUUUCUCUGUAUCGUUCCAAUUUUAUCGGAUAUCACCCGAAGGGACAAGUGUAUUUCGAAAUUCAUCUAUGCCUAAACCUUACGAAACUUGCUUACCGAUUUUAAAGGGCUCGUUUCUCUGAGCUCAAGUAUGUAUUCAGCCAUUUUGACUCCUAUUCCCUGGAUGAAGAUGAACACAAGAAAAAGAAAAUUUUAGAAGGCAACAAGUUAUUUUAAGAACAUGGAGAUGCGGUGUUACGAUACCAACCCUCAACUCCAGCAGCUCUUCCCUGCAGUUGCGAAAACCAGUCGAAAUAUUAGGUUCAUUUUGUAUGAUUGAGAGUGCAAAACGCAAGAAACGAUGAAGUUUCAAAAUGAUGAUAAGGAUUUUACCUGUUGUGUUCAAGAAGUCAAUAUACUCUUGAAGUAGGAACUUCUGCGCAAUUAUUUAAAAAAAAAAAAAAAACACAGAUGAAAACUCACAUUAUUGAAGCGCUAAGACUUAUCGAGUUGUAUGUAAUGAAUGUACCUUUAAGUUUGAUCCGCAAGCAGUGAAUUUAUCAAGUGGGGUGCCUGUUAUUUGGAACAUGUUUUUCGUGCAGGUCGCUAAAGAGGGAGUUUUCGGAGUGCAAUCUCCAUUUGUGAAUAGAGUUUCAUUGAGGGGCUUUUGAUUUAUAUUGGUGUUGAUUGGGGAGAGAGCUUUUCUCAAGGAACUUCCCGGUGAGUUUUCCUCCUGGUUUGAUGGCUCACCUAUGCAUAUAUACAAUGAAAUAUUGCAAAUAUUCAAUUUGUUUAGAUUGUUUGAAUCUUUGAAGUAGCAUAGUAAGUAAUAAAUCCAUACAGAGUGGAAAUGUAUCAUGUAAACUUGUAUUUGAUUCGAAUAUGGAUCCACCACCUCCAGCAUUGCCCUCUUGUUUAUUAUCCUUAGCGGCAAAUUGCGCGUUCUGGAAAGCAAUUCCAACUCAUAAAUACACAUCAAACACAAGAUAAACGAACUCGGAAAGAACUUAGCAGCUUCUCAUCCCCAAGUGGAGCUGCAAAACUCAAACUUUCAAAUAAUAUGCCAUUUCAUGAAUUGUCAUAAAAAACAAAGUUUCACAAUACAUGAUAGAGUAAGAAUAAGAAUGUAUCGAAAACGCUAUAACGUAGUUCUCACUUUAUCAUUUCCAUCCAUGUACUCGCUAAAAUUUAGUAAUUACCUCCAAAUUGGAAUCAACUACACUUUCAUUGUCAAAUAUAUUCCUCAUAGGUAUAGUGAUUUUCCUGCAAAAAAUUUUAACAAUCGGACAAAAGUGCCUAGUGCAUAGCAUGAAGAUAUACAAUUCAACUAGUUACUAGUUGUCGUACCUUUCUUUUGCAGUACAGGCACUUCUGUUUGUAUUAACCUUGGAUUUCAUAGAACUGAGGUUGAUGUUGCGUUUCUUGACAUUGGCAAUAGAAGAACUAGGAGUUUUCCCCAACAAGGGAGAACUGAAUGCUUCAAUUCUCCGUGCACUCUUCGUCUUUCCUCUUGAUUCAAGCCAAGCACGAAGUUUGGCUUCCAUGUCAACUUUAACCUUUGGUGUCUCUUGCUUGUGAGCUGAAGGAACAAAGUUGGUAAUGUGGCGUGACCGAGCUGCCAAGCUGACAGUAUGAACAGACUCUUGGUACUCUCCUGGAUUCUAUUAUCAAAGAAAAUUGUUUCCAAUAUAAGUUCCAAAAUAAUAAUAAUAAGAACAGGCCAGAUGAAAGCACUUCUAUUCAAACGCGAAUUCAAACUACUUACCAAGCAAGUAAUCAUCAAAGCCUGACUCAUCCCACCUAAUGAGUCUUGCAAAAUACGAGUCAAUUUACUCUCUCUAUAGGGCACUCGGGAUAAGUUGUUGUUCAGUGCAUAAAUGACAUUCGAUAAUGCAAACAAAGACUGGUUAAUCUUCGCACUCUCUGGAGACGAAUCCCUUCGUUGAAAGUUCUUCUAUUGUCUUCAUUGCCUGGGUGAAAUACACAUGUAGAUUAAAUAAAAGAAAGACAGAGACCAUAAACAAAUCUAAUUUCCAAUUGAUUUUUACUUGCGUAAGAAGCUACAGGAAAAAGGUUAGAAGUAAGAAAAGACCUGCUAGAUCUAUGAGAUUCAACUUCCCAGUAACGAAAUCCCCAGAACCAUCAUCAUGAGGAGUGGAAACGGCGAUCACAAGGACCCCAUGGCUCCUACUAGAGACAUCAUUGAGACCCGUAUGGGCAGUUUUCCGCCUCUGAAUCCCACAAGAAAAGGCCUCGUAAAACUCAGACAUGGACUUUACAGGCACCCGAGAAAGUCCCCUGAGAUGAAUCUGCCCAUCUUUGUCAUCCAAAACCGUAAUUUCCUUGGCUUUGAUCUCUAACAGGUCAUAACACCUGUCCAUAUAGACCUCAUAGUAUGAAAGCUCAACUGAGCUUCCUGUGCUCUGGCACAUAGACAGGAUUUUGGACAUGGCCAGCGGCAUUAGACCCGGCAUCUCAUCCGUUCCCUGGAACAUAAAUCACAUGCUGAAAUUAAGCAUUACAGAAGGAAAUGCUUCAGAACAACAAGCUGCAUUUAGUUACUCAAACCUAUCAUAAUUCAGAAUUUUCAUUUCUUUUCGGGGAUAAUUACAGAUAAAGUUCAGUAUUCAUUGAUCCUAAUGCAUUGAAGUUUCAUACGCAGAAUUAUCCAGAUUAAUGCAAUUACUAAAGUUUCAUAUGUGGGCAGACGUUGGUGUAGCCAUAUUGGGUAGAGCGGAUGUGGUCCCCCUCCCCGCAAUUUAAUUAGUUUAAAAAUUAAAAUAGAACAUCGAUUAUAUAAAAAGAAAAGAUUUUUUUUUCAUAUUUCUCGAUAAUUCAAAUUCAAAAUUGAAUUUUUACCAAAAGAAGCAAAAAAAUUUCAAACCUGCAUAGUGUAAGUCUUUCCACUUCCAGUAGCUCCGUAGGCAAACACCGUCGCAUUGCAGCCAUGAAAGAGUCCCGGAAUCAAAGGGCACACUUCUCUACUGAAGAUCCGGCCAACAUUGUUGUCCUCUUGGGCAAAGCAGGAGUCCAACCGAUAGCACUCGUUUCGGCUACACCCGAAAGGCAAAAUCAGCACCCACCAUCAAAACCCAGCUUCCCGAAUAAAAAAAACCCAAAAAUAUGCUUCCAAUUAUCUCACUGAAAAUCAAUAAAAUUCCUCACCUUGUAUCUUUAUCUUUGAGAUAAACAACCACUUCUUCGGCAGAGGAAUCGGAUUCUUGUUCGACAACAGAGGCGCACGGCGUCUGAUCUCCGUUACCGGCAGCGAUCUCUUGCGGAAGAAAAGGGCGCACCCGCACGAUGACUCUGACCUUCGAAAUUGAAUUGGGGUUCGCGGAUUUUGCUGGAGUUGCAGAAGUACUGCCAAGAAAUCGACCAACCUCCAUUGGAAUAAAGGAAAGAGCUCAGCUUGGAUUUCAAGAGAGAGAGAGAGUUGGGAAAUUGCAGAACGGUCUGUAACUGAAAGAUGUAGAUUUAUGAGGGAAGAGGAGGUUUGAAACUACUAGUCGAACGUUGGGCCUUUUUCAGUUUGAAUUUUUGGAUUAGGGUGCGGACUUGGCCGGUGGGCCUCGUCUGUGGUGGGGCCUAUUUCUUACUCUUUCGAAAUGUUUGCCUUGGGAACUGCUUUAACAGGAUAAAAAUUAUAACAGUUAAAUUACAUUGACGUGGCAAUUUAAGAUCUUAUGUAAAAUUUUGUAGCUAACUGAAUUGUUAAAUGUUACUUUCUUAUUAAUAUAAAGCUAUAAAUGGUUGUAUUUAUUAAAAAAAUUGUUGAAACAAAAGUUUCAUUGAUUGAAAUGUUGGUGGAAUAAGGAACCCACUACUAAAAUUAAUUUAAAAAAGUUUGACAUUGAUGUCAAAUUUGACUCAUAAUCACAAAACUUUCGAAUACAGUCAGCAAAUAACAUUUAAAUUGAAAUGAUUUUAUUUUUAUUUUUUAAAUAAGGGUGGAAAUGCUUUUGAAUAUUAAAAAUGCAUUCAAAACAAUCACAAAUAAAAUGAGUUCUUGUGUUUUGACUGUCGAACGUGGUUUGUAUCCGCUUAGAGUUAAGCGACAUCUAAAUAUAGGAAUCCCAUUUCUUUGUGAGCAAGCCGGAUAGUCCACUUAAUUCAACCAUCGAACACAAAAAAUACUUGCUAAAUGGUUGUAUGGCUCUAUUGGUUUAGCCGACCGCAAGUUAUAAUUUCCUCCCAAAUAGGAGAAAUUAUAUUGUACACCUUCAUUAGUCUCGAAGGGCAUGAUGUCUGCAGAAUUGGCUAUCUUGGUCUUGAAGACAACCAUUUUCGAGCCAUUUUCGAGCCAUUUUUCGGCCAAACCACAACGAGUUAGCCGUCGAAAAAUGUAUCAUUCUCUUCGUCUCGUCGAGACAUAUGAUUUUCAUUUUUGAAUUACUUGAUUUCAUUGAGUAUUAAAGAAGUUAUGAACAUUUAAAGUUUACCCAGUUUCCGGCGAGUUUUCCAGUUUUCCCUCAAAUCAGUCAACUUUGAGGCUAGUUUCCAACCAUUCCCGGAAACCAUUGGGCUUCCAAAUAUGUAUAAUCUUAUUCUACACAGUUACUAUCUUCAUUUUGAUAUAUUAUGGGUCGAAUUUGAUUAAGAAACGAUUGAGUUACGAAACUUUGAAAAUUGGCCAAACUUCUGGCCAAGAGCUCUAGGACACUUAACAGAGGUUUUAACGGAAUGACCACAAUGAUGGAUGGUGGACAAUCUCAAUGAUCACUUUUAUUGAUUUUAAAUGUUAGAGAUUAAAGUGAUGAGUUAUGCAAAUCUCAUGAAUCAUUUUGGCUAUUUAGCCUUUUUAAAAAUUAAAAAAAAAAGGUUAGAAAUGCUUUUGAUUAUUAAAAAUGCAUUCAAAGCAAUCACAAAUAAAAUGAGUUCUUGUGUUUUGACUAUCGAAUGUGAUUUGUACCCGCAUAGAGUUAAGUGACAUCUAAAUAUAGGAAUCUCAUUUCUUUGUGAGCAAGUCGGACAAUCCACUUAAUUCAACUAUCGAACACAAAAAAUACUCUCUAAAUGGUUGUAUGGCUCUAUUGGUUUAGCCGACCACAAGUUAUAAUUUCCUCCCAAAUAGGAGAAAUUAUAUUGUACACUAGAACGUAAACCUCACUAGUCCAACCUAUGUCGUAUAAAGAAGGUGUACAACACUGGAACGUAAAUUAUAUUGUACACACACAGGCAUAGCUAGUCCCAACUUAUGUUGUAUAAGGAAGGCGUACAACUUAAGCAAUAUGGUCAUCAUUUUUGCAUGAAAACUAUUUCUAUCGAUUUUAAAUUUCAAAAACCAAGUAAAAAGUUACACUGUAUCAUUAACACCACAUGUUGAUAAUAUAACCGUGCCAUCAAGUUGCUCUCAUUAGUUUGGUUUGUCUAUGGGCCACUCUUGAGACAUAGCCGCAUGCGACUGGCGGAGGGAAAAAUCUCUCAACAGGCCCAAAUGGCCCCAUGGUCAGAAUUUUGAUUACCCAAAAGUUUGAGGACCUGUCAGCAAGGCGGCGUAAAUAUGUGAGGGGUUUAAGACAGGGGCCGUAAUGGGAAAUGCGUUAAACCCUAAACCCCAAAAUUGUGGAAAAUCGAACGAAGACGAAGAUGGAGAAGGGCAUGCUGUCUGCAGACUUGGAGGGUCUUCCCGAAGAAGACAAGCACAGAAUGACCACCUUGAUCGACCAACUCCAGAUUCGAGACAGGUUUUCUGAUUUUUCUUUUUUUGUUUUUUUGAAUGCAGAGUUUUUGUUUAUUUUUCUAUUUUCCUGAAAAAAUUGAAUUUAUUCUCAGUAAUUUGUAAUUAGUGAGGCAUGUUCUUGCUAUUGUGCUUGAAAGAUUGAAGUUUCAGAAAAAUACCCACAAAAUUAAAUUGUUAAUUGUAAGCAGGAAAGUUGGAAUUAGGAUGUGAUUCAAAUGUAAUCUUGGUUUUAGAAACCGAAUCCGAACCAGAUGUAUAUCUUCAGUUCGGCUCACGGUUUUGAUGGUGAGUUGGGCCAAACCGAACCAUGCCUGCCCCUACUGAUUUCUGUGACUUUUGUCGAAAAUGUAGUCUGAGGAUGUACAAUUCAUUGGUGGAGAGAUGCUUUACCGACUGCGUGGACACCUUUCAGCGCAAAUCGUUGACGAAGCAAGAGGAUACGUGUGUUCGUAGGUGUGCUGAGAAGUUCCUAAAGCACUCGAUGCGCGUUGGCAUGAGGUUUGCAGAGCUUAAUCAAGGAGCAGCUACUCAAGAGUAAGCUAAGCUCUAUGUAUGAAUCAUUUUGGUAUGGAAGUCUUGAAAACCGUUCGAAUUGGUUUAUGGAAGUUGCAACUUGUUUAGCAUUGGCUCCUGAAUUAUGUUUCUUACACUGCAUAUAUUUGUACCUUUUCAAAGACGAAAGAUUAUUUUGAGGUUUUACAGUUAAGCUGGAAUUGGACAUGAAUUAGUAUGAUUUACGGUUUUUCCUUUUUUACUGCGUGUCAUAUCGGAUUAUCUCGUGUGGUAAAAUGUGUUAGGAAUGUCGGUACUACAAGAUAGAGAAUGCACAAGGUAAAGUAAAAAAUGGACGCCAAGAAUUUAUGUGGUUCGGCAAUUUAUGCCUACGUCCACCAAACAAGGAAUCUUCACUAUAUGAAAAAGAUGAAUACAACAAGAGUAGUCUUACCAAGCCAAAGACAAGGGCUUGAUGGAUACAAGAAAGUAUAACACACACUUUCUAUCACUCUAAACUUCACUCACACAAUGUGUAGUGGAACACUCUCACUCUCACUCUUGGAGUGGAACUCUAGCUUUGGACUUGAUCCUUUGCUACUCACUCUUGGUUCUCAAUUGGUUACAUCACACCCAUAUUUAUAGGUGAGGGCUUGGCAUUCUACUAGUUUCUAGUUCCUUCUUCAAACCUCUAGUAUAGAAAAAUCUAGACUAGCCACAUACUUGUAGCUUCUAGAUCUUUCCAUUUGCAAACCAAGGAAGCUAGUACUCUCUAGCUUCUUCCAUCAACUUAAUAACAUGCUAGAAUUGUCUAGCAAGCUCCAGCCUCAUCUCUUGCUUACUAGAAUAAUCUAGAACAUUGAUCAUGGGCUGGACCAUAUACCAACAAUCUCCCCCUCCAGUCCAUGAGGGAGGAAUUCCGAUCAUGACUCCAAGUUACCUGGAGUUCAUCCCAGCAGCCUUAAUGCAAAAUUCCAACUUUGAUUUUGUGACUACCUUUGUCAACAUGUCUGAAGAAUUAUUAUCGGUAUGAAUCUUCUUCAGCUGUAGCAACUUGUUCUCGAUAGCGUCUCUAAUCCAGUGAUAACGAAUAUCAAUGUGCUUAGUGCGUGAAUGAUAUGUAGUGUUCUUGCUCAAAUCCAGAGCACUCUGACUAUCACAAUAAACGCCAUAAUCACUUUGCUUCAACCCAACUCUUGGAGAAACCGCUUCAGCCACAACAACUCCUUGCAUGCUUCUGUAGCGGCUAUGUAUUCAGCCUCGGUUGUGGACAAAGCAAUGCACUUUUGUAACUUGGAUUGCCAAGACACGGCUCCCCCUGCAAAAGUAAACAAGUACCCAGACGUAGAUUUUCUACCAUCCAGGUCACCUCCCAUGUCAGCAUCUGUAAAUCCUUCCAAGAUUGGUUUGGAAACCGCCAAAGCACAAGCACAUCUUAGAAGUCCCUUCAAAUAUCUGAGAAUUCCACUUAACGGCUUCCCAGUGGUCCUUCCCUGGAUUAGAGAGAAACCUGCUCACCACACCUACUGCAUGAGCAAUAUCUGGUCGUGUGCACACCAUUGCAUACAUGAUACUUCCUACUGCUGAAGAGUAGGGAACAACUGCCAUUUUCUCCUUUUCUUCAUAUGUUUUUGGACACGACUCUUUGCUCAACUUGAUAUGAUUGGCUAAAGGUGAGCUUACCGGUUUGGCUGCUUUCAUGUUGAACCUUUCAAGCACCCGUUCAACAUACUUUUCUUGUGACAGCCACAACUUCUUGGAUUUUCUGUCACGAAUUAUCUCCAUGCUCAAAAUCUGCUUGGCUGGCCCUAAGUCCUUCAUGUCAAAGGACUUAGAUAACUCUUCUUUGAGCUUUUUAAUCAUAGAAGCAUCUUGUCCGACAAUCAACAUGUCAUCAACAUAAAGCAAUAAGAUGAUGAAUGUACCUCCAGAAAAUUGUUUGAUAUAGACACAAGAGUCAGCAUGAGUUCUCUUGUACCCAUUACUCACCAUGAAUGAGUUGAACUUCUUAUUCCACUGUCUCGGAGCCUGCUUAAGACCAUAUAAACUUUUCUUGAGCUUGCACACCAAAUUUUCUUUACCUUUGACUUCAAAGCCUUUGGGUUGCUCCAUGUAUUCUCCUCUUCUAAAUUGCCGUGGAGAAAUGCAGUUUUAACAUCUAACUGCUCGAGCUCAAGAUCCAUGCUUGCUGCCAUAAACCAAGGAUAACUCGAAUGGAAGUCAUCUUCACCACCGGUGAGAAAAAUCUCAUCAAAGUCAACUCCUUUCUUUUGACCAAAACCUUUGACAACCAAACGAGCCUUGUACCUUGUCAUGUUGUCGUCUCUUUUCAAUUUGAACACCCACUUGUUUUUCAAUGCUUUCCUGCCCUUUGGAAGCUCCACCAGCUCAUAGGUAUCAUUCUUUGAUAAGGAAUCCAUCUCCGACUCCAUUGCCUUCAUCCAUUUGUCACUGUCGUUAUGAGCUCUGGCCUCCUCAUAUGUUUCGGGCUCUCCAUAAUUAGUCAACAUGAUAUACUCUGAUGAAGAAAUACUUGGUAGACGGUCUUCGACUUCUGAUGGAUCUUCUGACCUGAUCUUCAUUCUCUUGUAGGGCUGGAGGCUCCCCCUGAUUGGGUUCUCUUUGAAUCUGCUCUUCUUGACUAGGCUCCCCCUGAUCAGCAAUCUCAUGGUCUGGCACAUCUUGAUCAGGCUCCUCUUGAUUAGCAUUAUCUGAUUCUGCAGGCACUUCAUUGGCAGUUGCUUCAGGGAUGUCAUCGUGACUUUCUUCAUCUGAAGCUAAUGGAUCAACUCCUCUGACUGCGCCAUCUGGUUGUGCCUCUUUAUCCGAAUCCCCAAUUGUUUUGUUCUUCAUAAAAGACCACGUCUCUACUUCGGAUAAACUUCUUCUGGUAUGGGUCCCAUAAUCUGUAACCAAAAAUCUUCACCGCCAUAACCAAGAAAGAUGCACGGUGUAGCUUUGUAGUCUAACUUCGAUCUCUGCUCUUUGGGCACAUGCACAAAAGCUUUGCAACCAAACACCUUCAGAUGAGAGUAAGACACAUCAUUACCAGUCCAUACUCUCUCUGGAACAUCAAGACCUAAUGGUACUGAUGGAGAUCGGUUGAUCAAAUAGCAGGCUGUCCUUACAGCUUCACCCCAAAACUGCUUAGAUAACUUUGCAGUCCUCAACAUACACCUGACUUUCUCCAUGAUGGUUCGGUUCAUUCUUUCAGCAACACCGUUAUGUUGUGGAGUUCCAGGAACUGUCUUCUCAUGACGUAUGCCAUGUUUUACACAAUACUCUCUAAACUGGUGAGAUGUGUACUCGCCGCCGUUGUCGCUACGAAGGCACUUGAGAGGUUUCCCAGUUUCCCUCUCCACCAUGGCAUGGAACUCCUGGAAUGUCUGAAACACCUGGUCUUUGGAUUUCAACAAAUACACCCACACCCUUCGUGAAGCAUCAUCAAUAUAAGUAACAAAAUAUUUAUUUCUUCCAAGUGACUCGACUUCCAUGGGACCACACACAUCUGAAUAAACAAGAUCUAACAAGUUUCCUUUCUUUGUAGAUGGAACAGAAAAACUAACUCUUCUUUGUUUUCUGAAUAAACAAUGCUCACAAGAGUUUAACGACGUACCUUCGGUAAAGGGAAUGUGAGACUUCUUUGCCAAAACUUGUAGGCCUUUCUCGCUUAUGUGGCCCAGCCUCUUAUGCCAUAAGUCUAGAGAUGAGUCCUCCACAGCAUUCAACUCACCUUUCAAAACCUGUGCAUUUGACCGGUACAACGUACAACAAAGUCGUGCUUUUGCUACCACCAUUAAGCCUUUAGUAAGCUUCAAUUUUCCUUCGCCAAUAUGGUGAUAAUAUCCUUGUCGAUCAAGGGUACCGAUGGAUAUCAGAUUGAGACGUAUAUCAGGAAUAUGUCUCACAUCUUUCAACAUCAAUUGGCAGCCGAGAUUAGUUCUUAAGCAGAUAUCACCAAUUCCAAGAAUUUUGGAAUAGCUUUCAUUCCCCAUCUUCACUAUGCCAAAGUCACCUUCUUUGUAUGUACUGAAGAACUCCCGUUUGGACGUAGCAUGGAAGGAAGCUCCAUUAUCAAAGAUCCAUUCAAUGUCUCUGUCAGAGUUGCCCAUAUGCAGACAUUCACCAACAGACAAUAUUUCUGGUACAUCACCACAGAUGACAGCGGUGGUAUUGCCAGUAUCAUCUUUCUUCUGAUUGUUUCCUUCCCUUUGCUCUCUCUUCCAAACUCGACAAUUUUUCUUCAUAUGGCCUUCUUUGCCACAGUGGUGGCAUGCACCCCUGAACUUUGACUUGGAUCGGCUAGGACUCCUGCCAUGACCUCUAGGCCCUCUACUCUUGCUUCUUCCGCGGUUCUCUGUGACAAAUACUUGGCUGCUAUCUGUGCCAGAAGUCUUUCUCCUUGUUUCUUCAUUGAAGCAUGCUAUUUUUAACAUUAUCAAGAGUAAGAACACCAUUAGAAGCAGAGUUACUUAUACUCACCACAAAGGUCUCCCAACUGUCUGGCAAGGAUCCAAGUAACAAGAGCGCUUGUAGCUCGUCCUCGAUCAUCAUUUUCAUAGUAGCCAACUGGUUGAUGAUAUUCUGGAAAUUGUUCAAGUGUUCUGCUACACUUAAACCAUCCUUGUACUUCACAUUGAUGAGCUCUUUGAUCAAGAAGGCUUUCUUGGCUGGGGUCUUCUUCUCGAACAAGGACUCAAGCUUCGUCCAAAACUCGCGAGCAUUGGUUUCAUUAGACACAUGGUGAAAAACACUAUCGUCCACCCAUUGUCUAAUUGUGCCAAUAGCCUUGCGAUUCAUCUUCUUCCACUCGGCAUCGGACAUGCUCUCGGGCUUAACGGCAUCUCCUUCAAUUGGCUCAUGCAAAUCCUUGCAAUAGAGAAUGUCCUCCAUCCUUGGCUUCCAUGUUACCCAAUUGGAGUUGGUGAGUUUGAUCAUAGUGCCACUUCCUUCCAUCUCGUAGUACGAGCCAACCGGGCUUCUGAUACCACUUGUUAGGAAUGUCGGUACUACAAGAUAGAGAAUGCACAAGGUAAAGUAGAAAAUGGACGCCAAGAAUUUAUGUGGUUCGGCCAAUUUAUGCCUACGUCCACCAAAACAAGGAAUCUUCACUAUAUGAAAAAGAUGAAUACAACAAGAGUAGUCUUACCAAGCCAAAGACAAGGCUUGAUGGAUACAAGAAGUAUAACACACACUUUCUAUCACUCUAAACUUCACUCACACAAUGUGUAGUGGAACACUCUCACUCUCACUCUUGGAGUGGAACUCUAGCUUUGGACUUGAUCCUUUGCUACUCACUCUUGGUUCUCAAUUGGUUACAUCACACCCAUAUUUAUAGGUGAGGGCUUGGCAUUCUACUAGUUUCUAGUUCCUUCUUCAAACCUCUAGUAUAGAAAAAUCUAGACUAGCCACAUACUUGUAGCUUCUAGAUCUUUCCAUUUGCAACCAAGGAAGCUAGUACUCUCUAGCUUCUUCCAUCAACUUAAUAACAUGCUAGAAUUGUCUAGCAAGCUCCAGCCUCAUCUCUUGCUUACUAGAAUAAUCUAGAACAUUGAUCAUGGGCUGGACCAUAUACCAACAAAAUGUCAGGUGAAUGUACAAUAAGAAAAACUGAGUAACUGGGUUUGUGUUGUUACCUUGCUUUUCAGGAAAGGAAAAUACUUGUUUCCGUACUUUUAAGGACUCUUUCCGAUUUACAAACAAAUCUUUGUUUGAUGUAUGUGGAAACUAUUUCUUGUGUGCUUUUUAUGAGUCAAAUUUGUAUACGUGUUAAACUGUGAUUGACGGUUAAGAAGGAAUGACUCAUUUACCUAUGUAGCAUUGGAAGCAGAGAAACUUAGAUUGUGUGGUUUUGUUAAUUGAUAGAGUCCCCAACACCGAAAAAAAAGAGUAUACGAUUUGGAACUGAUAGACCCUGAUGCAACCUCUCGUUCUUGAUUACCCAGAUCCUUUUAUUCCCUUAAGUUAGAACUUGACUUUGGUUAGCAGUGAUAUCGAUAGCGAGCCAACCAAUUGAUUGAGGUUAGUUGAGAAGAAAAUUGGUUGGUAAAUCAUUGACUUCUGAGCUUCUCCCCCUUGGUGUUAAAAGAUGAUAAAGAUUACGAUAUGAUUGUGAAAGUAUCUCGAGGACUAGAAAAGGGAAGCUCGAAGGGAGAGUACCUAACAGUAGACCUGCAAACGGGGCAGGUUUACAGUGAAUGAAGGAGUUACCAGUUGGUCUCCCGGGCGCGGAUAUCCCUGCUUGAACUUGAUGAGCGAUCAGGCAGAAAUGUGUUAUGAAUAAGUCUGAUAUGUGCCCACUGUUUGAUGAAUUAUGUAAGGAAGAAGGUUGUUGUUUGUAAAGAUUCCAAAUGAUGCUUUGUGGGGAUGCACUAGGAUAGAAAGCUGCCAAACGCUUCUGGUUUGGAGUUCAAAAAAGACAAAAAAAUCACUUGGAUAAUGUGUUUCUAUAGAAAAAUCACUUUUACCCUGGUUUGGUACUGAGGUGAUUCUGAAAAAAAAGUGGCUAUAAAAAAAAGCUGGGAACUUUUUUAUGUUUGGUAAACAUUCAGCUUUAGUUUUUUUUACAGUUUUUGGUGAAAAAAGCCAAAAACACAAAGCUGCAAAAUCCAGCUUUGAAAAACUAGCUUUUUUUUCACAUCUGUUUUACAUAAAAAUUUAUCAAACACCAUAAUACUGUUUUUUUAUUUUUUCAAAAGCACUUUUACAAAAAAAAAGUUUACCAAACAAUCUAUUGCUUUAUUUCACAGCUGCUUAUUCUCACAGUACAGCAGAAGCAAUGUUUUUUUCAAAGCACAACAAUACCAAACCAUCCUUAAAUUUGGGAAUUGUUACUAGCAAUCUAAAAUUUUUAUUCUACACUCCUUAGAAGUGUAUUUUUCUUUCUAAUUAUAAAAAGUUUGAAGUGCGAAAUGAUUUUUUGGAGUGCCAAUAACAAUUAAGUUUUGCUUCUUUUUUUUUUUUUGCACGGGAUUCGAUGAAAUGCCAAAUCUUUUUGAGACAAAAAAAAAAAGGAUAAUUUAGUAUUACGGUCUAGUGAUAUUUAUCUUCACUUGUAAGUGAGAGAUCUUAGGUUUUAUUCUUGUCUAAGACGAAUUUAAACUACAAUAGUGCUAGCCCAUUGUAAAGCUAAGCACACCUCCUCUCCCUUAGAGUAGAUAAAUAUUGUUGUUAAAAAAAAAAUCUGGAGAGGCUUCUUUGUUGUCUAUGAUUGGCUUGGAUAUGACAAAUCAUUAAAUUCAACGAAUACUGAAUGAAGAAUUGAAUGCCCACUGGCAUUUUUGUUUCUUUCGAAGGAUGGAGAUUAUAGGAAAACUAAUGAAAAUGGUUUGAAAACUUUGAGUUUUAAUGAUAAGGACAAAAUAAAGGGUAAAAUGAAUAGUACUAGGAUUGACUUUUUAGUGUAAAAAUGUGAUUUUUCGUUAAAAUGAACAAUACCCGGUGCUUUUCGUUAAAGUUCCCUUAACUAUAUGGUGAAAACCUAUAUUGACCAAUUCUAUUAAUUAUUUUAUUCAAUUCAAAAGUUGUAAAUAAACAAAGGUGUGUUCGGUUUGUACUGUAAAUAUAGCAAUCAAACAUGGUUGAAAUGUAUAUAUAACAAUGGAAAUCAAAGUGAAAUUACACAAAUAACUAUACAAUUUACAUAAAUAAUAUAAGAUUUUAUUGCGAAUGAUGUAUGAAAAAAAAAAUAAUAAUUUCCCGCCAACCAACGGUCCAGAUCCACAAGAUCAAUACAAUCGCCCAGAUAAAAACAUCAUCAUCCACCGUCCAACUUCAACCAUGAUCUGACGUUCCAUCUAACAUUAUUAAUUUAAUACCAUAAACCGCAAUUUAAUAAUUAAAAUGUUCCUUUGCAAACAAAACCCACUUAAACCACGAACCCAUUUAUUCCCCAAUCCAACGGUCCACAACUCCCCGCGCAACCAACCCCCCGCCAUCCAACCGCUCCAAACCCAGUUCAACAUCAACGAAGGGCGUCAGAGUGCCGUUUGAGGUUCAAACUUUGGGUUAACGUUCUCGACGCCGUCAUCCGCCGUUAACCGAUAGGGUUUUCUAAACCUCGCAAAAGCUCAAAUCUCUCUCGCUAACGGUAAUUAACGGAGACGUCGGUGCAUAUAUAUUCGUUAUAAAAAUUUCUAAAUUUUUUUUUGUAAGUAUUUAUAUUAUUUCCUCUAACCUCUGUCUCUUUCUCUCUCUUCGUUUCAACGGGCGAGGAUUUUUCGAAACCAAAAGCUCUCCUCUUUCUUUCAUGUUUCAGAGAAGAAGGGUUCUGAAAAUUCUAUUGGGUUUAAUCGAUGAGCUCUAAUUCGAUUCCCGCCACUUCUUCGCAAGCAGAGGUAUAACUCUCUUACUUUUUCAGAAAAAUUGUUUUUUGUUUUCGAAAACUCUCCUUGUUUUUGUGUUUUUGUGUUUUUGUGUUUUUGCUUUUCAAUGGUUUUUGGCUGGGUUCGAUCGAGUUUUCACGAUUUCUUAGACUUCAAGUUGAUUGGAUUUGUGUUGGGUUUUCGAUAAAAUCCCUAGAAUUGUGUUUAAUUUGCAGUUUUUUGAUCUGGAGACCAGUUUUUAAGAUCCGGGUCUUGCUUGUCUGGGUCUAUGGCGGUAGGGUUUUGGAGAUUUUGGAGUGAAGUUGGGGUCAUUUUUAGGGUUUUAGGUGUUUUCGAUUUGGUAUAGGGGUUUCUCGUGGAGGGUUUUGUUUUGUAUUUUUGUAUUUUUUAUUUUUGGUUUCUAUUUAUUGAUAGGGAUAUUGGAUUUUGGAGAUUAUUUAUAGGAGGAGAUGGCUGGGGUAAAAUUAGAGGAGUAUUGCCUUGAGAAUAAGCAAUCCACGGCUGCAUCGAGCUCGUCUGUAUCCCAAGGCAGUGGCAGUGGCAGUGCUAUUAUCAAGUCCCCAGGGGCUUGCAGCCCAGCAUCUGCUUCUCCAACUCAACGGUACUUUCCCUCAAUGCUUAACAGCUGCGAUUUCGUUACAACUCUAGUGAUGUUCUCUAUUUGAAAACCCUUCUUUUCAUUAGCAGGUUCAGAUUACGAUUUCGGUGUUAAUUUUUAGUUCCAUGCAUCUGCUUUUAGACAUUAUAUAGUUUCCAAUGGAUAUUUGUAUCCUUACCGGGAUCAGAAUUGACAGUGUUGUGGUAGUGAAUUGACAUAUUGGUUUUGAUCUUUCAGGAGGACUAGUGGUCCUAUUAGGCGAGCCAAAGGUGGUUGGACUCCACAAGAGGUCAGCAUUCAUUUUGUACUUAUGUUCACUUGUUUGUAUUAUCAGCCAGAAGCAUGAAUGGUUUUCGUGUUUGUUACUGAACUUACUGGAGGGAGAGGUUCAUAAUUUUCAGUCAUUAAAUAAUUAAAACUCUUAAUGCCUGAAAAAGUCGCUGCUUUUACUAACUGGUUGUAUUACUUAUUUUAUCAGUACCAUCUCCCAUUUUCAUAUGUUGUUGCUAUGAUACAUGUCGCUUCUGUUUCCUUAGUCACAUCCCUUUUCGGGGCAUGUUUCUAAUUUUCGAUAAAUGUUGGAUUGCCACAGGAUGAGACAUUACGGGUUGCCGUUGCAGCUUUUAAAGGGAAGAGUUGGAAGAAAAUAGGUAUAUCUCUCUUGAGUAUUUUUUCUGAUUUAUGUUGCUGGUUUUCAAGGCACGAAUGCAGCUUUUGGUUAGAUUUUGUGUAGUUACAUCUUUCAAUAGCUAUGGUGCUUUUAGGUGGCAAUGAUUCUGCUCAGCAAAUGUGCUUGACUAAUCUUUUGAAUGGUAGAGAGUUUGAUAAAUUAAAAGAAAUCCCGUUUUGGUUGAACGAUAAGAAUAUAUAUUCAGAGCUCUGAAAAUUCUAAGCAAGCACGUCAUAGAUGUCCCAAGAGGUUGAAACAAGUUACUUUUCAUUCAAUUGCCUGAUUAUAUAUUAUACCUAUGUUGUUAAUUUUCUGCUGUACCAACAUACAGGCAACCAAUCUAAUAUAUGAAUUUUAAACAAUGUGUAUGCAGCUGAAUUUUUUCCUGAUAGAUCGGAAGUGCAAUGUCUGCAUCGAUGGCAGAAGGUUCUUAAUCCAGAACUUGUUAAAGGACCCUGGACUCAAGAGGUUGGAACCUGAUAUCAUAUUUUCUUAAUAUGUUCUUACAGUGUAGGUUUGAGCAUUCAACUUUGUCUAACUCAACUUUCUCCUUACUUGUUUUAUUUGUAGGAGGAUGAUAAAAUAAUUGAACUGGUAGCAAGGUAUGGACCUACAAAAUGGUCGUUGAUAGCAAAGUCUUUGCCUGGUCGUAUAGGGAAACAAUGCCGAGAGAGGUAACCUCCAUAAGCUUUUAAUUAUGUUUGACACCAUUGCCCUAUGGUUAUUAUUAAGUUCUGAUGUUAUUGUCAUAUAUGAUCUCGAAAUCUUGACCACUGUAAUGCUGACCUGAUCGAUCAUGUUUUCCUCAAAAUGUUUUGCUCUGGAAUUAACAAUUAUGCCAUUUAUUACUUAUAAUUUUGUAUAAUGCUGAUGCUUUAUAAAUUUUAAUGUUAUUCAUUCCAUGGCAUGUAUCGUACAACUAAUUUGUUCAUGAAAUGAAAACAAAUCGUUUGGGUAGUGUAUAUGCUUGUAACCCAGUUUUUCUCCCUUCAGGUGGCACAAUCACUUGAAUCCUGAUAUAAAGAAGGAGGCUUGGACGUUGGAGGAGGAAUUAGCUCUUAUGAAUGCCCACCAGAUGCAUGGGAACAAGUGGGCUGAAAUAGCGAAGGUUUUACCUGGAAGGUAUCUUUCUUUGUUUGAUUUGUUAUUUAUAAAUGACAUUAAGGUGCAAAUUAGAGCAGCACUACAGAGAUGUAGCCAAUUUCAAAGACUACCGCUAAUGUGUGACAUCAAGAACUUUUGAACUGUGGUCUUACAAGUUACAUCUAAUUUUCGGUUAAAACAUUGCGAGAAAUGCCAAUUUCAGUGAUGGGUGCAAAUACUCCUUGAUUUUGUAAUGCUGCCGUCUGGAAACGACUGUUACCUAAGAAAUUAAUUUUAAAUAAAAAUAUCAUCUAGAAACGACUGUUACCUAAGAAAUUAAUUUUAAAUAAAAAUAUCAUCUUAUAAAUUGGAAACCACUGUUACAAGUUCAUUUUAUUUUGUUGUGUGUAUGCAGUGCUUACUAAGCCAAAUGUUGUAUUUAACUUUGUGUUUGCAGGACAGAUAACGCAAUAAAGAAUCAUUGGAAUAGUUCUUUGAAGAAAAAACUUGAGUUCUAUUUGGCUACUGGGAAACUUCCACCACCUCCGAAGUAUGGCACCAAAGAGACAAGAACCAGUGCAACUAAAAAAUUACUUGUUUGUUCAACUAAAGGAUCGGAUUCAACUGCUCAAACAUCAUCUGGAAAUGCAGACAUGUCUAAGCUAGAUGAAGAUGGAAAGGAUCAGUUUGAGUCUGCCGCCCCACCUCAGGAUAUGGGUGCUUCACCAAGUGUUCAUCCAAAUGAAUCUGCAGAUUCUGAAGGUGUAAAAUGUAACCUGAGAUUAUCCUUUAUGGAUCUUAGCUGCUCUAACUCAGACUCGGGGCCAAAGUUUGAGAAUUUCAGAGUAAACAGAAUGCCUCAGAUUGAGAAUUCUGUCAUUAACAGCCAGGCAGAGUCGGAGAAUUGUGUAUUUAACAAUCAAUUGGACGAAGACAGAGUUAAGACAACAUCUUUGCCAGUUGAAACUCCAGGAUAUGGUUCUUUGUACUAUGAGCCGCCACCACCAGAAAGUUGUGCCCAAUUCGAUUCAGGUUUUUCAAACAUGCAUCGCUUGCAGUAUGAUUACACCUCUAGUCCAAAUUUAUCACCUAUAAGUUUCUUCACUCCUCCUUCUGCGAAUGGCAGUGGUUUAUGUAAUCAAAGCCCUGAAUCAAUUUUGAAAAUCGCUGCUAAGACCUUCCCCAAUACUCCUUCCAUUUUGCGAAAGAGAAAGACCAUUGGCCAAGAACAAUUGCCUCGUAAUAAAGUUGCGAUAGUGGAUCUUGAAUCAGGGAUAGUGGAUUGUGAAUCAGUCAGGGAACAGGAGAGACACAAAAACAGUGCGGAAGUUUCUGGGUCUCAAGAUGGAAGUUCAUGCGAGAGUCCUACUAAUAAUGGUAUCAGUACAAUUGGGUCUAAUGGCAAGGCUUUUAAUGCAUCUCCGCCAUACCGGUUAAGAGCCAGGAGGACUGCUGUUUUCAAGUCCGUGGAGAAACAGCUGGAGUUUACAUGUGACAAAGAGUAUGAUGCUAAUUCUAAGUCCAUGGAAUUAUCUGCAAAUGGCGGUUCUGCUGUUAUCAAAGACUCAACGCAUCCAACAAAAAUGGGAGUGACCUAGGGCAUGCACUGUAAGUUUUAGCUUUUGUUAUAAUUGUUCUCGGAACUUAUUUAUCUCUGAUAUAUCUUCAUAAACUAUUAUCAUCAAAAUAAAUCUUACAACCUUUGGUGUCGUCCUUUGUAUAAGUAGUUAUAGGAUUCACACUUUGUAAACUGUUUUUCUAUUUUAUUUUCGAAACUUGAUCCGACAAAGAAAACUGUCACGCUCUAAAUGCAAGAUCUCUAUAUGACAUAGAAUUGCUUAGUCAAGUAGUGAAUUAUGAUCGUAGAUUAUCUGGCCUUUUGAUUUUAUCCUAUCGUUAUAUUUCUAAUUACACACCUUAUGAGGUAUAGAUUAUACGUACAUGCAUAGGUGACAACCUUGCAGAAGUAAUUGAUAGAUUUUUGGUUUACUGAUAGAGGAAUCAAAGUUGUCAUUCGCUUCAUUUUGUAUUGAAUCAGUUAAUCAUUUCAGAAAUAUAUGCGGAAAUCUGUAAUAUUCUUUUGUUUCCAUAAGCAAUAAGUAAGCACGUUAAAGAACUACUGUAUUGAAACAGUUAAUCAUUUCGGAAAUAUAUGUGGAAAUCUGUAAUAUUCUUUUGUUUCCAUAAGCGAUAAGCAAGCUGGUUAAAGAACUAUUGUUUUUGCAAUCCUUUUUGUUUUCUCAUUGUAUCCACUCUAAAUAUACCCUUACUUUUAGCCUUUCUGAAAUGUGUUUCUGAUUUGAUCUCCCUCUGUUUCAAUUCAGGGACAAAGAAGGGCGAUUCUUUUGACGUUGGCUGACACUGUUGAACUGGUGAUAUUUCCAAGUCUACAGAGCUUCUGAACAGAGUGAUACAUCGAUUUAUCCGACCAUUCUCUGGUCUGACAUCUUCAAUGCCUUACAAGCCAUUAACUUGCAAAUACACCCCUUGUUAUUAGUUACACGAGAGCGGUUUUUCGGCACUCCAACUUGACAAAACACAGUGGGCAGGCUUCUUUUAUGUGUAGAAAUAAAAAUGAUAGGCCCCAAAUACUUGUGAAAAUAUAUUGAUUAUAUCAGGAUUGUACAGAAAACCCCUCAUCAAAGGAGCCAUGAUGCUUCAUGCUUGAAGAAUUUCUUAAUGAAAGCUUAGCUCCUGUCAUUCUUUACCAAUAUUUACAGUUAAAAAUCUUCUAUAUUUAGUGGUCAAAGUACGCUCUUGGAAAUCUUAGGGUUGCUCUUUAUUGCGCCAAUUAUUUUUUAUUAAGGAUUCCGUUUGAUAUGCACUGUAUUUUUUGGUCAAUUAAAAUUUAGUUUUCAGUUUUCAUAUAUAAAUAAUUGAAAACAAUAGUAGAAAAAUACCGUGUAAACGUGUGGUUGACUGACGUUGACCUCAUGUACGGCGGAAGCAACGGCCCUCUUUCCUCCCAAUGUGCUCACGUCAAGCACUACAUUACUCGCAUGGCGAAUGCUCUUGCUUGUGCUACCUUAUCUUAUUCUAAUGAAGUGGAAGAAAUCUCGCUAACCUUCUCACUUUAUAAAUUGCUUCUUCGUUUUGUCUUGAUGGUAUAUCGUAAGAGGUAGUAUUUUGCUUUCGAUUUAGGGCUACAUUUUCUCCCGACCUAAGUUUAUGUCCCUUUGAACCCACUAUAAAUUCCUCAAUAAAAUUUUUUUUUACGGAGCUCCAUAUUUAAUCCGUGAUGCUUUGUUCGAGGAUUGUACUAUUUAAUCGUUAACAAAAUGCUACGUUUCAUCUUGAAAAAUAAAAUAAAAUGUUACAUGAGCCGGUCAUACCACGAAUACGUUUCUUUUUCAGCGGGUAGUGUUGGAACUUCUUUUUGGUUCAAAGGCAAAUACAAUCGACAACUAAAAGCUCUGAUUAACAUUGGCACAUUCGACAUAUAACUACCUAAAAAUGUUAGGAAGUGCUUUUAUUAAGCAAACGCCUGGAAAAGUGCUUUUAUAACUUCUUUUCCGUGUCUUUCGGUGAAAGCGCAAGGGGCCAUGAGCACUUCUUUGUAUUUUCAAACUUUUAGCUAUGGAAACUUUUAACGGAUCAAAGGAUUUAUCGACACGCCGGACCGGAACUAUUAGAAAUCUCUAUUAACAGCUCCACAAGCAACUCUCCCUCCCCCCCUCAGCUUUUUGGAGAUAAAAAGAAUGCUAAUAAAACAAAUAAAUAAAUAACACCACAAACUGAGAGAGAGUGAUCGACCCGGCAGCAGCGGGGGCUUCUCUCCUCAACUGCUAAAGCAAAGCAUGCAAAUGCCACUACCCAUAAAUCAGUGGCUCAUGAAUUAUGGUUAAACUUUUAUGUACAACCGUUUGAUGGACAACCCCCGGUGAAGAUAGUUUGCAGUAGUCUUCAGACUUAAGCGUCAUAUCGAACUGUACAUGCAUAAAAAACGGAAGGAACAACCUGAGGCCAACAAACUGGUCUUCCCUUGGGACCAAAUUUUCAACCCGUGGAGAGGGAUACCCAAGCAUCUGCCACUGUAGGUAACAAGAUAUUUAGUAACAGUACGAUUUAGCUAGCAAACUAAGAGCAACGGCGUGCAUAGCGGUGAUGAUAAAGAGAACAAAGAGUGUUCCAUACUUUUCAGAAUUGUAAUAGUUAACUUAUAGCAUCGCCAGUAGCCACCAACCUCAAUGUGCAGUAAACUGAACCGUUGAUCCUAGGUCCAAAUUUAUUGUCGGAAGUCGAUAUUAUCUGCUGCUAUCAAGAAUCCUUUGCCAUCAAUCUGUGUCAACAUAUAUGCCACCUGAGAUGCCAAAAUUCGAACAUUCAGCAUCGUGAAUAAAAUCUGAUUAACAUCAAACUUGGUAACAUGAUGAACUAACAUCCAUGAAGUGCAUGAUUGUUUUUUACCUUGAAAUCCAAACUAAACCAUGAAGAAAGAACCAAUAGUAGUUUGUCCAAGAACCUUGGAGCUUCGAUCAAGGCCAUGAGAAGCAACCUACCAUGCAAAUCACAAACCACUUAUCAUAAAACUUAGAACCGAAACAAGAAAUAUUUUCAAUUGGAAGUUUGGAACAUAUAAAUUAAGGAUGCUUCUAUAUGAACUCGCAGACAAGGCUCAACACAUCCCCUUCACUAGAGAAAUUUCAACACAAGGUACAGCCACGAAUCAUGGAUGGUGGAGUGAGGCAAAGGGCUCCAAGUGGAGGGUAGGACAGAGCGUGAGAUCGGGCCAAAUUUUUUCAGAUUUAUUUCUCACUUUAGUAAUAAGGGUACAAUGGGGAUAACAAGAUUACCACAAACUUUUAGUGACAAUGGGUUUCUUCAACAUAUACUACAACGCAGCAAAAUGUUCUCACCAAGUAAGUUAAAGCUGCAUAACGUUCCUCGUUCAAGUACAGCGGCUUUCCUCUCUGCAUUUCAAUAUCCUGCAAUAACAAAACUUACAUUAUCAUACACAGAAGCAUAAAUCCCUAUAAAUCAACGAAUGCACUAAAAGAACAAAUAAGAACAGGAGUGUCCACAAGUGCUACUUCCAACAUCUUCAUCUUUUUGUAACCAUUUUACAUUUUCCUUUUUAGGGUUUUGGGCUGAGGGUAGAGUAAAACUGCAAAGCGACUUUCUGCAUUUUAUUCAGCAAAACUGUAUGCGAUGAAGAAAGGGGGAAAUCUCUCUUCUUUAUUGACACAAUAAUAUUGCAGGGUUGGAGAUUUGGGCUAAGCCACACUUUGGGGUAGCCAUAAUUAGGUAUUUCCCAUAGGAGUUGAACCUAAGACUCACUUACAAGUGGAGAGGAAUACCGCUAAACUCCAGUUCAAGUGGCAGAAGGGGAAAAUUCCAAACUGCUUGAAAGGAGCUCUAUGAAAUGCAGUAUCAAAUAAUCUUUUGCUUCAUUCUAUACAUGUGAAACUCCAAACUGAAAGAGGAGAUAUGCAACUGUAGUGGGUGGAUGGCAUAGUGAGAACAUCCUCUAAAUACCCAUAGCUCAUUCCUCCUCUUGCCAAAGCAAUAAAAAUAAAGGGCAUUUCACAAGUAUGCCCUUGAUAGCAUAAAAAGGAUCAAUGACUAGCUAAAAGCUCCUAUAACGCAAAAUAUCCGAAGUACCCUAGGAUCAAACCUGUAUGACCUCUGGGAUCAGAGCAACUAAUUUGUCUACCCUUCUGGAGAUGUUCACUAGCAUUGCUUUCCUUGCAGGGUUUUCCAGAAAUUAUCAUAAAAAUGCACUAUCCUUUUGAGAAAUACAAAUAAGUAUCGAAAAAUUAUUACCCACCAUUAUCUUCUCAUUUGCUUCAAACUGAGAAAAUCAAGUGGAGUAAGAUGGAUGUACAAGGGCUCACCAGAAUAUGGUAUGAUUUGUCAUUUCAAAUUGUUUACAAGGGAAGACGAUGAAAGAAAUAGAGGAAUAAAAUUGCUGCAGAUUUACAAUAGCAGAAACCAAUUACCUCUUCUCCAAAAGCAUCCAAGUAGGGUGAUGGCCAGGGAGCUUGCCGUGCAGAUCUUUGCAGCAGAAUUGUUGUCCUCUACAUUCACACCAAAGAAAAUUAAUCAUCUCCGCAAACAAGAAUAGAGGUAAAAACAAAAUUUAAAGAUCUAACAGAUGGGCUUCCAAACAUAAUUAUUAAAAAAAGUAACCACAAUGCAUACCCUGAUCAACAGAAAUACCCCAGUACCAGAACCACAGGACACUGCAUGAGUUUGGCAUCCACUUUCCCUAAGAUAAAUUGUCAAAUUUAGCAAUGAUGGAGCAAUGGGGCAUAAACAUGUAUUAAAUGGAUAAUCAAUCCAAUAAUAAUGACAUAUAUUGGUGAUAUAUACUUGCAACAUGACUUCCAGCUUGGAGAGCAUAAUCUCCCACAAAGCAAGCACAAUGCAGGGUCAUCAAGAAUAAUCUCGCAAUCAGGACAACGCUGUUUUAUAUAUCUGCAAAAACACAAUCUUUCUGAGUAAACUUUAAUUCUGGAGAGAUCCUUUUAGAAGACAAGAACUCCAGUAACAAACCAAGAAGCAAUUCAACUAACCUCUGCAAUAAGUCUUGGUAAACUCGGGGCAGACGCAUCAAUUGGAAGGGAACUGCAGGGCUACAGUGCAUGCUUCCUUGAAAUCUUAGGACCUCCAACUCCUUCCGAAAAUGAUGGAACCAUUUCUGAGCUAUUGAACGUACCACUUUAUCCUUAAAGAUAACAUCCAGUGUAGGAACCUUGAACAUGCUUUCAAUUUCUUGAACAUCAUUUAGAUUCACUAGUGCCCCAUAAGUGGUGUCCAUCAUGUCACCAAUGGCAUGAGAUCUAUCCAAGACAUUAAACCUUUCAUGGAAUGGUACUCGGGAACAAGAGUUCAGCAGCUUCAACAGCAAUGCGCACCUCCGCAAAUACGGGAAACUCAGGCUGCAAACUAUGUUCUUAAUAUUACAAGAAGAGCCAAUAUAGUUUGAAACGAAAUAUUGCUGGGUGGCUCCAGAUUCUUCCAUAAGUUUAGAGAUGUCAGUAACCAGGCAAUCAUCAAUACCUAAUCCACUAAUGUCACAUUGAUUUUCCCCACAAUAUGUCAUUAUGCCCUGCAUUCACAUUUCACCAUAAUGAAUUAGGCCACUAGAUGUUUUUAAUGCCAUCUAAGAAUUAUGAGAAAAAAGGGAGAAGUACCGCUAACAUACCUGAACUACAGAGACAACAUAAAAUAAGUGCACUAGGGAUAACAAUGAAUCUUCACAUGAUAAAAAUUGGUUUGGAAGACAAAAAAGAACCCACAUCAAUGAUGAAAAAGGAUCACGAGCAAGGACAGGAUCAGAAGCUCGAUUCCAGAACUGAAUAUCAGGAUAUGAUACCGCUAGAUCAACAUGUUCCAAGAUACGCAGCAUGGCACCUGCGAAACAUUGCAUUGAUGAGGAUUUAACUGAAUAAAGCAAAAUGCUUCAAUGUUUGGUAAAGCAUAACACCUAAAAUUUUGCACAUGUGAAACUUGAAUGCUUAAUAGUUCUUUCAUGGCUUUCAAUAGGGUCCAAGAAUUCAACCAGCCGCAGCAUUCUCCAUUAUACAAAUGAAUAAUGCUACUUAUCCCAGAUUUCUCUCAACUUUUUUUUUUUCCCAAUCAGACAUGAUAUAUACACCAGAUCAUUGCAUUAAGAAAUGCAGAAAUGUUUUAGAAUCCAAUGUGCGAAUGCCAUGUAAAAAGUUGGGCUCAAUAGCAGUAUUAAUCAUCUAAAAAUCACUUUAGUAAAAUUCAUCUUUUGAAAGAAAAAACAAGAAAGGACAAUAACUCUGAAAUCUAACUGUCUUCUUACAGUAGGCACGCUAUUUGUAAUUUUGAAUGGCCUGUGACUAGCGAAUCAGAUAGCAAGAAACAAAUAGUCACAGAAAGUCACUUGAAACAUAUGAAAUAAAUGGCUUUUACUGGUAGCAACAAUACCUUGUCCACAUGUUUCAUCGCCAACGUCUAUGGAAACUCCAAAUAGAAUAGAUUCUGUAAAGCUUUGAAUUCCUAUAAAUCUCUGAAGGACAUGAAGAGAAUUCUUUCUUCUGCUUUGGACUAUUUUCAGCAACAAGGACAAAAUAAAUCUACUUGAUUCAAGUUCCUUAUACAGUGUACUAAGGCCACAGCUUAGAGUUGCAUAUUUCCCACCAGAACGAGCAGCAAUUUCUGUUGAUAGUAGAGAGUACUUAAUUGUGUCCCACAUAAGCAUUGGGUGGUUGACCCUGGCAGAUCCUGAUAACUUAUCCUGUUUAGUCAGAAAUACAUCUUACAGAGCGAUUGAAAAAUUGGUUCAAGGUCUGAGGUCAUUCUUCCACAUCUCCGAAGGGGGAAACCUUUAAGACUUCCAACCUUCCCAGAUGCCUCUGCUGCAGAUUGCAAGAGAGCCAACCCUUGUUGAAGCUGAAGAGAAUUAAUUUCGUCACCUGAUUUGACCAAUUGACCAGUAGCAUGCGAUGAACUAACACCUGAAUACGGAGGCUCCUUAGUGACUUGGAGAAACUCUGGCAAUGCGGGCAAGACAGAAUUUGCAAGUCGACGGCAUACAGGACAGAGAAACUCCCCCUAUGGGUAAAAGAAUAAACAUGCAAAAGGUUAGUAAUAGAACCCUCAUCUAUUCAUUGCCGACGAAAAGAAAAAUAUGCAGGGAAUCCAUGUACCUUGUCGGGAUCUGCAAUAUGUCCCCCUUCAAAAACAAUUCUUCUGAGAUACCUGCACGAACAGAUAAGAUGGGAAAAGUUAGGCCAUUUUCACUAAAAUAGUAAAAUAUCAACAAUCUUCCAGAGCAACAUAUAUGAUAUAUCUGACUAUUUUUCCUUUAGUUGUUGCAAUGCAUCAUAACCACAAAAGCAGGAGAUUUCAUUUUUUUAGCAACCAUCGAUUUGGAAAACUACACCAUUCCCCCUUGUAGAACACACCAUAUAAAGAAAACUAAAAAAUAAAAUAAAAUAAAAUAAAACUGAAUGAAAAAUCAUCAAGGCAAGAUUAAAGGUUCAUGCAGGCUUCUUAAAGAACAAGGCAAUUCCAAUUGCAAGGUUAAAAGCAAGGCCAAAGAGAUUAAGAAAAAUGUAUUCUGAAACCGUCUUUUCCAAAGUUUCUGCUACUGCCCUUCCAAGUUCAUUGAACAAGGUGUAACUACUUUCACUAGUAGUCAAUAAAACAACAGAGAAGGCAUUCCCUCUUAACAAAAUAUCUUAAUAGAAUUUCUCAUUUUAAAAAGUACAACUUCCACUGUUCAUGCGAAUAAUAAAAAAUAUAUAUAUACAAAUCCAUAAUUAAGAUUAAAAAGUGAUCAAGAAUUCCCAACCAAAAUUACUAAGGAUUGAAGAUUUCUCUUAUUGAAAGGGAGGACAUUUGGCUGCGUGAUAGAUAUUUACAAUUCUCAUUUCCUAGACUGUUCAACAUAUCCAGGUUUCAUAAUAUUUCUAGUGUGGCGAGUUUUGCUGAACAUUCUUUGAAUUGGGACUUUGGCUUUCAAAGGAAUUUGCAUGAUGUGGAAUUAGACGAGUUGUCAUCUUUCUUCACAAGUUUGGAUCAGGCUUGCUUUCUCCCUUCAAGGGCUGAUGCAAGAAAUUGGAUACUUUAUUCUUCAGGAAGCUUCUCUGUUAAAUUUAUUGCAAUUUCCUUCUCAAAAACAAUGCAGAUAGGGUUUUUUCAGGCUUAUGGCCUGGUUUGGAAAUCUAAAGUUCUUAAUAAAGUGAAGGUUUUUACUUGGUUAGUGGCUCAUGGGAAGGUUAACACUUGUGACAUACUCCCGUAACGGAGACCUAGUUCAUGUCUACAACCUGCUUGGUACAUUUUAUGCAUGAUCAUUUGUUUCUUCACUGUCCGGUGGCCUUAAAUCUAUGGUAGAGAAACAUAAAUUAUCAGGUAAGGGGAAGAAAAUCAAGGUCUUAUGGGGUUGUAUAGUUUCAGCUAUCCUUAGGGUCAUUUGGAUGAAAAGAAACAAGCUGAUUUUUUAGGACAACGAACUCAGUUGAAGGGAGGAUCUUUGGGAUGAAGUUUGGUUAUCUCUUUGGGCAUCGGUUACUACAAAAUUUAGGGAUUUGUCUUUUUGAGAAAUUUGGUGUAACUGGUUGCUGCUAUUAGUUAGUUUUGUGUUGUUUCACAGUUUCUAAGUGUCAGGGUGAUGUUGCUAUGUAUCCUGUUUUGUUUGUGCUUUUGCGGACUUCUUGUCCGCUCUUGUAUUUUUAUUGUUUCUUUGCAAUAAAAAUUUGUUUCUCCUUCUUAACAAAAAGGGGUUUACCUUUCCUUCAACGAAGAUAAAUAACGAUCAAGGCAUCCCUGAUGUACAGCAUGUCCACAGGAAGAAAGAUAAAUUCCAUCACAAUCUGUUGGGCCAAAUCCGUCAUGUGCUGAAAGACGAGAAGAAUCUACUGUCACCCUUUCAUUAGGAGCACUUUCGGAAGAUGAAGGAUUCUCUGUUGUCUCUCUAGAAAGAGAAGCUAUAUAUUUUCCAAGUAACAUAAAUUCAGCAUGCUUAGUUUCUUCUUGAUCCCCUUCAGGAGUUGAAAAUCCUUUAUCCUCUAAAGGAUUAGAAUGAAGCAUCUUAUCAUGCAUUUCCUUUUGGAUGCAGAUGUACAUAUCAUCUUCCAUUGUCUCAAAUGUAUGUAAAGUCUUUUCCCUUUCAUCAUUUGAUUCACGUUGCACUUGGAUAUUCCUUAACUCAUGGAACCGGCCCUUGAGAAAAUCUAUAAGAGCGUCAACAUCCCUAGGUUGUCCAUGACAGGCAAAUUCGGUGACUGCAUUCUGAACCAAAUGUCUACAAGGAUCAGAUGGCACCAGUUGUGGUCCUGAACCACUUGAUAAAGUGCUUAAUCCGGAUUGAUCAUUCACCUCGUUUGUGGUAAUAGAGAUGUGCUCCUUGUCUAUCCAACGUGGUUGCUCCCAUGACAGGGGACCUCUUUCUAUGAAACUCAAAAGUCUAGAUUUCUGAAGUAAAACCAAGUAGGAUAUUGGAUUUCUGGAACUGGGAUCAUGACAAAGAGAGCAAACAACUUGUUCAGACUCUUCCAAAUCAUCUUCAACAUUAAGUUCACAAACCUCUUGCUCCGAUUUUGAACCCUUGUCCACAGUGGAUUUAACACUGGCCAUAAACUUGGAUUGUUCGGCUCUCAUUUUUUCCAAUAUGGCAGCCUGUCUCUCUCUGGCUUUUGCCUUGCGCUUCUCAGAGUCAGAAAUUGAACCUGAGGUCUUAGCGUCAACAUUUGGAGAAGAUUGCGACACAAGACCAACCACUUCAGGUGCAAGUUGUUGUAAUAUGGUCAAACAUCCGGAAUCAAUCUCUACAAACUUCUUUAAUAAACUUCCAAUUAAAGAAGACAGGUCGCAACUUCCAGCUUCCAAACAAUUGUUGACAUUCUGUUUCUUAUACAUCCUCAUCAAGAUAACAAGAAGUGACAGCAAGCUUUGUUGACCAGCACCAAAGUAUCGUCCUUCAUUAAUUUCUUCCCCAGCAAAAGCUAGCAUGGGAAUUGCAUCUCCAUCAUAACAAGACUUAUCACCAGCUUCCUUAUGUUGAGAACAAAUGUCUAAUGCUAACGAAAGUAAGUGCAACGCAUUUAACAGAACACUAUCAGGAGCUCGUGAAUCACUUGAUUUAUCAGAAGAAACAGCAUAAAACAGCACAGCACGGAUAAUUUUAAGGACUGCUUUACAUGUAGCUAUUCUAGCUACCCCUUUGAAAGGAGAAUAAAUCUUAGUCCAUCUGGGUAGCUGAGUGGUCAAUGCAGAAACACUACGAAAACGCAAGUAUCUUUCUUCAGCAGCUUGCAGAUCCCUCGAGUUCCAACGAGGGUAGUACAAAUCCAGUUCUUUCCAAAAUGUCCAUUGUAGUGAAUAAGUCCCCUGAUUAAAGCCAGAGGGAUUGGAGUACACGGCAAUGGAUUCCAAAAUUCCAUGUAGCUGAUCAGACUUGGACAGAUCACGAGGAAGAGAUUUAACCAAUUGACUAUGAGUGCCAUCUGCAAUGGCUAAUUUAUGAACCAACUCUCUUUUCAAACUUUCAGCUUUAGUUAGACCACAAAAUCGCCUUUCUUUGACUAUUUGUAUAAUAAGAGUGAGCAUUUCUUGCACUAGAACAGUCUCAUAUUCACUAGAGUGCUCAAGGUUCAAAGAAAGGUAACUGGACAGGCCAAAGCGUUCAAUAAUUCUGUUAACAUAAGGAUCAGCUGGAGCCAAGGCAGCACAGCAUUGAAGCAGAAACAGAUCAAGCUCCAAACCCUGUUCAGACCUACAAUAUUAACCAUAUGAUAAAGAGUCAAUCCUGAAAAUAAAAGGAGGAAAAAAAGAGUGAAAAGAAAAAUCAAUCAUUACAAGAGAUGUUUUCCCCCUAAAAUGCAUGCCACAGAUGAAGCAUAAAUCACUUACCAGCGAACUGAACGAUACCACUCACAAGAUAAUAGGGCGGCAUCCCCAUUUUUCCGCCACAUUCCCGCAUGAACCUCCGCACAAAAUACUCUGAUCCGAAGGGGAUGCUCCAUAACAAAGGCAGAAAAUCCAUAUGGGUGGCAGCCUCCCAGAAUAUUUCCAAAGAAGUCAGUUAAAAUAGCUGAUGAUGAAUUUGCAGAAGUAACGCUAGCCAGAUCUGGCACUUCACCAAAACAUCUUCUUAAUGCUUUCUGCAAAAGCAAGGAAAGUAAGCGAUGUAAAGGAAUGUGAACAGAUAUAUCCUGUGAACUAACAUCAUAUGUUAUGUCAGGCCAAUCAGACAAACUCAAUACACGUAGAGCAUCUAAGUCCAUGGCACCAUCUACUUCCAUAGCACUAUCAUCAAAUCCUGCAGGAUUGCAGGCAUUAACUGAAUCAAUGUUGUCAGUAACCAUCAAAUUACUCUCCUGCCCUGCAAUUUUGCCUUUUUGGGUGUCAACACUCAUAUUGCAAUCACUAUGUAAAUGUGAUGAACACUGCUUGCCAUGAUCUUCACUAGAACUGGCAAGUCUACCAAAAAUAUAUUUUCCUUUCCUGAUCUUGGAUAAUGUUCUCUUCAAUGCUGAAAAAUUGCUAGGAGAUAAAUUGCUAGUACUUGGAGAAGAUGCAUCAAGAAGAGUCCUGGAGGUAUUAUCACCUCCCAGCCAAUUCUCAAUUGCCCUCAAGCACUCAUAUGUUAGCCACAUCACAGAUGGUGGAAUCAACAAAUCAGAAAGAGCAUCUGAUUUAUCUUCAGGAACCUUCGACUCACACGCAAAUGAACUACUCCCCACUGCACUACAUGCAGAACUUUCCUGAGACAGCCGUCCUACUUUUGAAUGUCUUAGGCUAUCCCUGUCAUCCGUAUCCUGCUUAUAUGUUCUGAAAAGAGAGUCUUCAUCCAUCUUGUCAAUAGCUACAGAAAAUGCCCCAUCCACCAAUAAAGAAUGAAUGUUGGUAAUUGAAUGACCUAGAACAAACAGCAGAUGCAUAUUCUCAUUUUCUUCUUCAAUGUGCAGGCCUGUUUCCCUUUUUUGAGGGUUCAUGCCUUGCACGAACGCCAAGAGUCUCAUCCAAGUUCUUGAAAUAUUUUGCUGGUCAUGAGUUACAUAUUUGGGCACUGUAGCAUGGCUCAUAACAAAUCUAAUAUCUUCAAUCACACGAAUCGUGAUCUCAUACAAAUUUGACAAAUUGGUAACCUACAAGGAAUAACCAACCAUUUUACUACAUGAGACCAAAACAAAUGGGAAAAUAGGAACUUUUAUCAAACAAAAGAAAGCGCAUCAGAUACUCAACCACAAUGAUCUGGAAAAACAAAGAAAGGAAAAAAAUAACCAGAAUAAAAAAAACAAACUGAAAGAAUUCCAAAACGGGAGCAUAAAAAGUAACCUAGUUAGAACACCAUAUAAGCACAGCAUGACUUUAGAUUAUAACAUAACUAUACAACCUAAAUUGCCAAGUUAUCAAUUCCAUAAAGAAGGUGGCAGGGACAAGGAGGCAAUGUGCAGAGGAAUAAUGAUAAUUUCGCAACCUAUAGAGAUACAUAAAUAUUAUAUAAUAUUAAGUGGGAUCGGUGAAGCAUUCAAAAUACCAACAAUUGUCCUUCCCUAACUAGAUUUUUAAAAGAAAACAAUUUAAUUAGUGGUAAAUUAGUAAAAGAUCACAUUUGGAACUGAAAAAAAAAAUUAAGUAAAAACUCUACAAAUUGAAGAACCCAACGUAUUAAUCUUUGAAUUUUUUUAGAAAAUAACAAAUUGUAAAUUCAACUUUUCAAAAAAAAAAAAAAUUAAAUACGAAGAUCCAAUUGGCACACACGUGGGCGUGUGCCAAGGGGUUAGUAUAGGAAAAAAAUCAACGCAUUACCUGUAAACGACCGUCAUCCCCAGCACAGGAACUGAAAAUAUCUUCCAAGCAUCCCAUCAGCAUAGACAGCAGGUUCAUUUCUUUCACAAGACGAGGUGUUAAAGUUGGCACCGUGAAGAUUUGAACAGAGAAUGCAAAGAGCAGUGGAUACUUUUUCACAGAAAGGUCGCUUAAUUCCUUUCUGGCUUCCGCUUCACUUACAACAGCUGGGUAAUAACUCAAAAAUACUUUGGCAAACUCAUAUUUGAAAACAGGUUCUCCCAGCAGUUUCAGUAGCAACUCAUGCAGCCUUUUUGUAACAGUGUCAUUCAAAAACCUUUCUGCCCUCACAAGAAUCCCCAAUAGAUCCCCUGAUGCUAAAACCGUCUUGGAUACAAAACUUAGCAAACUCUCACUGUACUUACAGAAUUCUAGAAGCAUCUCAACCACGAAAAAAGUUAACUCAUUUUCAACCUUUCUACGUUCUCCAACUUGGUCACUUGCUCUAGCAUUUUCCCGCCAGAUAGUUUCACCAAGAACCAGCUUGGUUUUCCAUAUAUCAAAGAGGCAAUCAAGAACAGGCCCUACAAUGUUUGCAAUCUCCUUUGGAAGAGGUUGUAUCUGUUCCGCACCUUUAUGAUUUGAGCAAAAGCCUUCACGCUUCCAUGCUGUAACAUCACCACAAUCACAACAACCGCCACCAGUAUAAAUAAUUGAAUAGUCAUGAUCCUUGUGGUUCCCAUUCUGAAAGCAAGGAAAACAAAUUGCACAUGUUGGAUCAUUUGCACAUGUUCGGCAUCUGUAAGCUAUAUCGUUAUGUCCCCAAACAGCUCCACAAAUACCACGCUGCCCAACACUCAUUUUGGAGAGACUCUUCAGGGCUGACAUAGGUUCACCCUCAAACAUUAACCACUGCAACCACAACAUGCUUUCGUGGAAUCGACUUUUCAUGCUUACACCUUGUUUCUUAGUCCCUGGUUUUGCUUCACUUAGAGCCACUUCGUCAUCAGCAGGUAGUAUAGCGGAAACCAGUUCUGGUAUCCGUUGCUUGUUAUUCUUAAUAAAAGCAACUAACCCACUUUGGUAUUCACCAAGAAACUCGUUUGGCACUCCCAGUUGAGCUAGCCUCUGCAUAAAUUAACAACAAAAACAUAAAUGUGAACCUUUUUUCUGACCCAUAUCAGUAAAAUUACGAUAUGAAACGAAAGUCAAAAAGUACAUAUACAUUAAAACAUAAUAUUUUUCCCAGAAAUUUCACUCAAUUACUCAAACAAGUAUUACGAUAUCAGCUCUAGGAAAUGAUCAAUAAUUCCAAAAAAUUUAAAUAAAAAUAAAAAGAAGAAAAUUUUCAACUACACCUAAACAAUUAAUUGCAUCCCAACCUCUAUAAUUCAACAAAUUAACUGCUGAAAAAAAAAUACAGAAAAUAAUCAAAAAUUGGAUAAUCAAAAGAAGAAAAUUCAUACCCGCACGAUUCGAUCACGAUGCUUGAUGUGGGCGUAUUCAGGAGGCAAAUCGGCUUCCAUAGUAUCAGAACUCCAGCACCGAGCAAGCCAAUCCACGCAGCACAAACAACGCUUAAUCCCAGAGCUUUCACUCCCCAGGAUUACUCAACAACCACAAUAAUUAGUGCAUUAAACUCUAAUAAUUCUUCCUUAUUCGACUGCCAAAUUGAAUUUCGCAAGCCCUAAUUCACCAUCUGACAGUUGAAUACAUACAAAUAAUUGUAUUCAAUUCUCUCUCUCUUGGCGGUUUAUGCAGAGGAAGUCGAAGAAUCUAUACGGGGAGAGAGAAAGAGGAUUUGGGAAUAUAACAUUGGAUAUUUGUCCAGAUUGCGUGUAAAAUUUUGUUCUUCGCGGUUAAGUUUUGGUGUUUGUUCGGCUGGAUAUUUAAUUGUUUUUUAUACUAUGCAGCGGUUGCUGUGGAUGUUCACAAAUUCAUAUAAUUUGUGUUUGGAUGAUCUUCAACUUGUUGAUGGGCUGUGGAGUUGCAGGCCAGCCCAAUUUGAGGGAAUGGGGAGGCAACGGAGUGUAGUGGAUAACACUAACAGGUCAGCCCAACUUCGUUCUAGGGCGUCGGUGGCGUGAAGAGCAUUCGCCCAUGCACACAAUAUUAUCUUUUCGUUCCUCACUCCACUAAUAUUGGUUAAAAGAGCAUUUUAUUUUUAACAGAAAAUUGUAAAUUUGAGAUGCAAAAGUUAUAUUUAUAUCGCUUUUUAUAUUUCCGGCAAAUGUAAAUGGAAGUUUUAUUUCAAUGGGAGGGAUGGAAUUUGAGAUCCCAUUUAAUUUUAUCUCCAUCGGCACCCGGAUGCAGUGUUAAAUGAGCAAGGGGGCUAUAGAAACUUCUUUUCGAACGACUCCACUCAAAGUUGUUUGGGAGCAUAUGCUCCUAUCAACUUUACACGGGACACACAAAAGAAGUACUUUGAUCCUAUUAGACGGGGAAGGGUGAAGAAGUUAGGACAGAAGGGUAGAGUUCAAGAGAGCAAAAUGCGUUUAGGAACGUGGAAUAUAGGAACCUUGACAGGAAAAUCUAUGGAAGUAGUAGAAGUUAUGGUGAGGAGAAGGAUAAAUAUUAUGUGCCUACAAGAAACUAAGUGGGUUGGGCGUAAGGCAAAUGAUCUAGAAAACUCAGGGUUUAAACUAUGGUAUUCGGGCACAAAUAGAACAAGAAACGGUGUUGGUAUCAUCGUGGACAAGACCUUGACACAAGAUGUUGUAGAUGUCAAGAGGGUAGGAGAUAGAAUCAUGGCAAUCAAGAUUGUAAUAGGACAAGAACUUAUCAAUGUGAUUAGUGCGUACGCACCUCAAGUAGGGUUGGAUACGAGUUCGAAGGAGGAGAAAUUUUGGGAAGACCUUGGAGACUUGGUGCAAGGAAUUGCUCAGACGGAGAAGUUAUUUAUAGGAGGAGAUUUUUUAAAUGGACACGUGGGCAGGGAGACAGGCAACUAUGGAGGUUUUCAUGGUGGCCAUGGUUUUGGGGAGAGAAACGAGGAUGGGAAGCUAUCUUGGCAUUUUGCAAUGGCAUAUGAUCUCUUCUUAGCCAACAAAAGAAGAGAGAAGAACAUGUGAUCACCUACAAGAGUGGGUCGUCAAAAACACAAAUAGAUUUUCUUCUAAUGAGGAAAGGGGAUCGUAUAACUUGUAAGGAUUGCAAAGUUAUACCAGGAGAGAGCGUGGCUAAUCAACAUCGCUUGUUGGUGAUGGAUGUACAUAUCAAACGAGUGAGAAAAAAGAACAAGACUUGGAACUGCCCAAGGACUAGAUGGUGGAAUCUAAAAGAAGAAAAACAAGCUAUUUUCAAAGAGAAAGUAAUCACCCAGUGUGUGUGGGAUAGAGAGGGGGAAGCUAACCAAAUGUGGGAUUCCAUGGCUAGUUGUAUCCGAAAAGUAGCAAAAGAGGUAUUAGGAGAGUCCAAGGGCUUUGCCCCACACCAAAAGGAAUCUUGGUGGUGGAAUGAGGAGGUACAAACAAAGGUGAAGGCUAAGAAGGAAUGUUGUAAAGCCUUAUACAAGGAUAGGACCAAUGAAAAUGGUGAAAGGUAUAGAAAAGCGAAGCAAGAGGCAAAGAAAGCUGUGAGAGAAGCUAAGUUAGCGGCUUAUGACGAUAUGUAUAAGCGACUAGAUACCAAAGAAGGAGAGUUGGAUAUCUAUAAACUAGCUAGAGCAAGGGAAAAGAAGACAAGGGACCUAAACCAAGUGAGGUGCAUCAAGGAUGAGGAUGGAAAGGUUCUUGCUACAGAGAACGCGGUUAAAGACAGAUGGAAAGGUUAUUUUCAUAAUCUUUUCAAUGAAGGACAUGAAAGGAGUGCUUCUUUAGGGGAGUUGAGUAACUCAGAAGAGUGUCGAAACUACUCUUUUUAUCGUAGAAUCCGGAAGGAAGAAGUGGUUGUAGCUUUGAAGAAGAUGAAGCAUAGAAAAGCAGUAGGCCCAGACGAUAUACCAAUCGAAGUGUGGAAAGUUUUGGGAGAGACAGGUAUAACAUGGCUCACUGACCUUUUCAAUAGGAUUUUGAAAACGAAGAAGAUGCCAAAUGAGUGGCGAACGAGCACUUUGGUGCCUAUCUACAAGAAUAAGGGCGAUGUACAAAAUUGCAUGAACUAUAGGGGUAUUAAGCUAAUGAGUCAUACAAUGAAACUCUGGGAGAGAGUCAUUGAGCAUAGAUUGAGGCAAGAGACACGGGGGUUUCGGACAACCAAUUCGGGUUCAUGCCAGGGCGCUCAACCAUGGAGGCAAUCUAUCUCUUACGAAGAUUGAUGGAAAGAUAUAGAGAUGGGAAAAAGGAUUUACACAUGGUCUUUAUAGAUUUGGAAAAAGCGUAUGAUAGGGUCCCAAGAGACAUCCUUUGGAGGAUUUUAGAGAAGAAAUGAGUACGAGUAGCAUAUAUCCAAGCUAUACAGGAUAUGUAUGAAGGAGCAAAGACUGCCGUAAGAACUCAUGAAGGACAAACCGAAAGCUUCCCCAUAACUGUAGGAUUACAUCAAGGCUCAUCCUUAAGUCCUUACCUUUUUGCGUUGGUAAUGGAUGAGUUAACAGGACAUAUUCAAGAUGAUAUUCCUUGGUGUAUGCUUUUCGCAAACGAUAUAGUGUUGAUAGAUGAAACUCAGGAAGGGGUAAAUGCAAAGCUUAACCUUUGGAGAGAAGUGUUGGAAUAUAAAGGUCUUCGCUUAAGCCGAUCAAAGACAGAAUAUAUGGAGUGCAAGUUCAGUGCAAAUGGAGGCCAAAACGAGUUAGGGGUGAGGAUCGGAGAUCAAGAAAUACCAAAGAGCGACCGUUUUCGUUACCUAGGAUCUAUCUUGCAAAAGAACGGAGAAUUAGAUGGAGAUCUCUCAACCAUAGAAUACAAGCUGGAUGAUGAAGUGGAAGAGUGCAUCCGGCGUGUUGUGUGACCGUCGUAUGCCACUGAAGCUCAAGGGAAAAUUUUUAUAGGACGGCAAUAAGGCCGGCGAUGCUGUAUGGCACAGAAUGUUGGGCGGUGAAGCAUCAACACGUACACACAAAAUGGGUGUAGCGGAGAUGAGGAUGCUCCGUUGGAUGUGUGGGCACACGAGAAAGGAUAAGAUUAGGAAUGAGGAUAUCCGGGGUAAAGUAGGAGUAGCCGAAAUUGAAGAAAUGAUGAGAGAAAAUCGGUUACGGUGGUUUGGACAUGUGCAAAGAAGGCCUACUGACGCUCCGAUUAGAAGAUGCGACUAUGGGACAGAGGUUCAGGGCCGAAAGGGUAGAGGAAGACCUAGGAAAACUUUGGAAGAGACCCUAAGAAAAAGACUUAGAGUACUUGGAUCUAACGGAGGACAUGACACAGGACAGAAACACAAUGGCGUUCUAAAGAUUCAUAUAGCCGAUCUCACUCAGUGACUUGGAUUUUCCAAGUCUCCAACCGAGAAGUUUUCCUCACUCGGGAAAUUAAGGGAACACUACCUCAACCUACAUGCUCCACUCACAAAGCUUCAACAUACAAGCUUCAACAAAAGAAAAUUCAAAGAACUUAGCGAAGAAGGCUUUGGUGUAUUUAACACAAUACGUUGAAAUGAAGGAAAGCUUAUUUAUUGAUAUCCCCGAUAAGCUACAAAUAUGUACAUAUACUUGAGUCAAAAUAAACAAACAAGAGGGAGCCUUCACAAAGGUUGCUUAGGAGAAGUCUCAGCAGUCGGUAGAGCCCCAGAAAGAGAAGGCACCGGAGGGGGAUCAUUCGGAGCCUCAAUACUGGACAGAACCCUAGAAGGAGGAGGCAUCAGAGGUUGAUCAUUUGGAGCUUCAUUACGCGGUACAGCCCCAGAAGACGAAGGCAAUAAAUGCCUUCGGAACAAACCCACAAAUCUCUGAUGAUCAAGUAAAACCUGACCAUUAGAUUCCUUCAUCUGGUCAAGCUUCCUCUUCAUGUUUGUAGCAUAGUCAUGUGCGAGCCGGUGCAACUGUUUAUUCUCAUGCUUGAGCCCUCUAAUCUCCUGUUUAAGACUCAUCACUUCAGUCGCCAAUGAUUCAACUUGGCGGGUUCGAGCAAAUAGGCGUUGGGCCAUAUUAGACACAGAACCUGCACACUGAACACUAAGAGCCAGAGAAUCCUUAACAGCCAACUCAUCAGACCGUUUGGAAAGUAGUCUGUUAUCUUUGGGAGUGAGAAGGUUCCUGGCCACUACCGCAGCGGUCAUAUCAUUCUUCAUCACGGAAUCCCCAACGGUAAGAGGACCAGUAGGGGAGACGAAGGAUGGGCGCCAUAUGUUGUCUGGAGAAGGCGGGGCUGCCUCUUCAACAAGGUUCAAGUCAAAACGACGGUCGGAGGGGCCAGACAUUUUCAAAGGUGUUGAAGAGAGAAGAGGUCGGACAAAUCAAGAUCUUAGAAGUGCAAGAAUGGAGCUUCUACUGGUGGAUAUUCAAGUGUGCUUUGGAACUUAAUGUCAGCCCCUAUAAAAAUCUGCACUCGAUGAAGCUUCAGAAAUCGAAGAGGCGCCUGCUCAGAAAUCGAAGAGGCGUUUACUUUCUCAAAAGCUGGGCUGCUCAGAGACCACGAGGGUCGAUCUCAGAAAUCGAAGAGUCGUGUGCUUUCUCAAAAGCUGGGCUGCUCAAAGACCAUGAAGGCCGAUCUCAGAAAUCGAAGAGGCUUGCUUUCUCAAAAGCUGGGCUGCUUAGAGACCACGAGGGCCGAUCUUAGAAAUCGAAGAGGCACCUACUUUUCCAGCCCUGUCAGCACCUGUCACACGCACACUCAGCUUUGCGGAAAUUAUGGGCAUUCUGUCGAAGAUUCCUGGCGAAGUAGAAGGCACAUGAAUCGUACUGUUCAAUCACCCACUUCCCACACACAACAGUAGCUCAUGGGUACCACAUAUAACUCUGCCAAAGUUCUCUGACAAAGUUGAGACACGUGAAGCUUGCAGCUCCCACUACAUCACUCUGACCAAUAAGGGUAAAAGAUUAGCAAAGAAACAACACUAACAAAGUUUAGACACAUAAAUUUUGAAGGUCUAGCUACCAUAUUAUUACCCACAAGGGUAAAGGAACAGUACCACUGCUGGAUAAUUGGAAAGUCCCGGUGUGUCAACCUCUGUGCUUCGUGGCAAGGUAGACUAGCAAACAUGCCCAACCUUUACUCACAUUCGAGAAAACACUCCCAACAAGAUUGCUUGCUCCAAAAUCAAAGAGGCACCGCCCUCCGAAUCUCGAGAGCCAGAAUCCAACUUUCUCAAAAAUCGAAGAGAGGGUAAAGGAACAGUACCACUGCUGGAUAAUUGGAAAGUCCCUGUGUGUCAACCUCUAUGCUUCGUGGCAAGGUAGACUAGCAAACAUGCCCAACCUUUACUCACAUUCGAGAAAACACUCCCAACAAGAUUGCUUGCUCCAAAAUCGAAGAGGCACCGCCUUCUGAAUCUCGAGAAGAGAGCCAGACUCCCAACAUGAUUACUUUCUCAAAAAUCGAAGACACCGCUCUCCGAAUCUCGAGAGCCAGACCCCCAGUAGGAUUGCUUUCUCAAAAAUCAAAGAGGCAUCGUUCUCCGAAUCUCGAGAGCCAGAUCCCCGACAGGAUUGCUUGUUCGAAAACCGAAGAGGCACCACUUUCCCAACUUCAAGAGCUGGAUCUCCUUGGAUAAAGUUUGUCUGUAAUCUUCACACGCAACAUCAGCUUUCCAGAUACCACAGACCACUUUUUCAAAGUGCUCUGACAGAGUUAAAACUUGUGAAGCUGGCAGCUCCCACUACCGUGCUAUGACCAAGCAGGGUAAAGGAAUAGCAUUAUUACUUGAUGUUAGGGAGACUCCUAUAUAUGUCGACCUCCAUCCCCAACGGACAUGCAGACCUGCAAAAAUGCUCUACCCUUCCUCUUAUCCGAGAGGGCACUCCCAACGAAGCCUUUCGAAAUAUUCAGCUUUCUUUCCCCCCGAUAAUACCUCUGUAAACAAGCUAUACUAGAGCAAGAAUAUCUCAUAUCAUCAGGGUUAAAAGCAAGAGUAUCCCAUAUCAUGCUUUUUCCCUGUCUUUUCCUUUGGCCUUAUUCUUACCUGCAAGACAAGGAGAAAGAGAGCAAUCAGUCAGCACUUGGAAUCAAGCUUCCAGCCAGGAACUGACUGCCUGGAACCCCUUACUUGAUUACUUACCUGGCAUUGCUCUCGAGUACUCAUCUUCAACAUCUUAUGCUUUCAGGGAAGAUCCCGCAUCUGCCUGAGGAACAGAUAGGGCAAGUGAGAAGGAUACAAGGAAGCAUGUGGAGACAAGCGUAACAGCACACGUGUCGAUACAUCCAUUACUCUGUCAAAAGCAAAAGUAUCCCAUAUCAGCAGGGUCGAACGUACUCUAGAUUUGAUGGACUUGUUUUGACCCUCAAAUUCUUCAGUCGGCCUUAUCUCUGGAGGAAACCAGAAAAUCCUCCAGCCCAGUUCAAGAAUAAGCCUGUGGAAAGUUACUUCUUCAAAAGCAAAAGUAUCCCAUAUCAUCUCUUCUCAUUUUUCUUCUCUUUAUCUUUCAUGCUGUCUGCAAGAUAUGGAGAAUGUGAACAAUCAGUCGGAGCUCUAAUUGCUUACCUUGUCUGUCACCUCUUUCAGCAGAUCCCCUAGCUCGGCGACUUGGGGGACUCCUACUACAUGGUUUGUAUCGCGCUUGACCAAGCCUGAAACUACAAGUAAGCUUCAAGUGACAUUGAUACAUUACCUUGUGCAUCUCCACCAGUUACAGAUACCACCCCUGGAUGGAGGAAGAGUACUUCCAAAGAAGAUGCCAUAUCUACCUAUGAGGCAGAUAAGGAAAGUCAAGACGAUACCACACUCCAGUACUUAGAAGUUUCGUGGUUACGAGAUCAUUCUCCCACAAUAUUUCCUAAUGUCAUUUGUACUAAAUCAUUCACUUGUACUCACUAAAGGAGAGCUUGAACCUAAUUACUUGAGUGUAACCCCACGUGAAGCCAAUCUGGGUGAACACGUCAUCUUGUGAUUGCUUUCCUAUCUCUAUCCAUUUAUAUACUUAUCCACACUAAUGACCGGAGCAAUCUAGCGAAGAUCACAAAAAGUGACCGUUUUCGCUACCUAGGAUCUAUCUUGCAAGAGAACGGAGAAUUAGAUGGAGAUCUCAACCAUAGAAUACAAGCUGGAUGGAUGAAGUGUAAGAGUGCAUCCGGCGUGUUGUGUGACCGUCGUAGGCCACUGAAGCUCAAGGGAAAAUUUUAUAGGACGGCAAUAAGGCCAGCGAUGUUUUAUGGCACAGAAUGUUGGGCGGUGAAGCAUCAACACGUACACAAAAUGGGUGUAGCGGAGAUGAGGAUGCUUCAUGGGAUGUAUGGGCACACGAGAAAGGAUAAGAUUGGGAAUGAGGAUAUCCGAGGUAAAGUAGGAGUAGCCAAAAUUGAAGGAAAUAUGAGAGAAAAUCGGUUCCGGUGGUUUGGACAUGUGCAAAGAAAGCCUACUGACGCUCCGGUUCGAAAAUGUGACUACGGGACAGAGGUUCAGGGUCGAAGGGGUAGAGGAAGACGUAGGAAAACUUUGGAAGAGACCCUAAGAAAAGACUUGAGUACUUGGAUCUAACGGAAGACAUGACACAAAACCGAGCGCAAUGGCGUUCUAGGAUUCAUAUAGCCGACCCCACUUAGUGGGAAAAGACUUUGUUGUUGUUGUUGUUGAUUAGUGAGACACUUCAUCAAAAUAUGUAAAAGAAUGUAAAGUUAGGUUUUUAUUUAUAUCUUCCGGAAGAUUGAGAGUUUAAAAUCUGCCAACGGAGAUUUUUUCGGCAAAGAAAAGAGAGGUGCAGGGCGCUCGCCUUCCUUGCUGGUGGACUAGGUCGAGAGGCCAUUAGGCCAGUUGUGUGUGCUAGGUGUGAGAGAGAGAAAGAGCCGGGUCCGGGCUGUGGGGCUUGGCUUGUGCUGGGUUCCUGCUAUUUAGGCCAGCGCUAAAAAAGGAAGAGCUGGCCCAUAGGGCUUGGCGCUGGGGCACUGGGCUUUACGGUCAUUCUUUUUUAUUUUAUUUUAUUUUUUUUUGUGAGGUGUCGUCUAAAUAUUUUUUUCUUCGCACUUCUUGCAGGUAUUUUGAGAUGUCUUAUUAUGAUAGCAAAGGUGACGAGUAUUCUUGACCUUUGUACUGGUAGGCUACUUCAAGGCUGCACAUGUCAAGAUCAAUUCUGACGAGUUGUUUGGGGAUUUUCCUAAGAUGUACAAGUAUACGAUUUCAUAAGGGGUUUGCGUCAAGAGGGUGAAGGAUGAUAGCUGCCAUGAACUGUGCGACGAAGGUGCCACUGCUAAGAAAAAGGGCUAUCAAAUUCCAUCCGUAGUACUUCGUGUUGGGAUUUACUUUUCGCAUACCGUGCCUUUUCCAGGAGGUGAUCUGCUACAUGAAAUGCGCGUCUACUCAAUGCUUCCCGAAUGUAGUCCGUGCGAUGGCGGGGUUCUCGAACUUGAGCAGGUUCUUUGAUCUUGACUUGACCAUAAAUGAGUUCUAGUACUUCUUCGAAAUUAGCCAAAAAGAAAACGUGGGGCAACUGAGGUUCGGAAUUUGGCUCAACUCUAAGAACUUCAACAAAUAUGAAGAAAGUACACAUCGCUUUGGGUAUUCCUGCUGAGUACCAUGAGUGGUGUUGGCUACUUAGUCUUUUUCGUCGGGAGAAAGAUGGGCUGCCUCCGAAGGAAGAGAUAAAACGGAUAAAAGAUGAGACGCUUACUCAUCCUAUUGCUGUUGUAAAGCCUGCUGCUAAUGAAGAUGGAAAGAAGAGAUCUUCCUUACCUAUAUAUGAGCCUUUGAUAGAGAAGAAACCAAUGACUUCUUCUGCUGCCCGCGGGGCUCGUCAGCUACUGAGAAGCUUGUCAUUAAUUUGACUUCUCCAAAUGGGACAAAAAAGUUCGUUGAGCUUGAGCCUAUGAAACUUGCUACUCUAAAGGUAGCCACAUCCAUUGCUAAAAGAAUUGCCCAGCAGAAAGGUUUAGUGGUGCCCUCAGUAUUUAGGUUUGUGUCGAAGUGUGUGUCUGAGUUAAGUCCGGUUCGACUUUUAAGAGGCUCACCGCUAUGAAGAGCGAAAAUGUGGAUUCUGCUGCUAAGGUGGCGCAUGGGCUUGUUCCUCAUUCUGUUGCGACUGAUUCAUCUGUUGAGAAAAGGAAAUCUACUCGCACGGGCAGUUGUGAAAGAUCCACCGAGUCUGAGGCCGGGGAGUUUCCUGAGGUUCUUGUGCUGCUGAAGGUUGACUUACUUGAGGAUGAUGAUGUAUGCGCCAAGUUUGUUAACAGUGUUGGGAAAGUUGUCAUCUGCUUAGACUCUUCUACGAAGGACCCUGCCUACUCGAGGAAGUCCUCCCUAAUUGUUACAAUGCAUAAGACCUUGAUCCUAGCAGCUAAGUCUAUGUGCAUUGAUCAUGAUGCUGUCAAGUAUGCUAAGGAGGCUGAAGUGGCAUUGACGGCUCAGCUUUGCUCGGCUGCUGAAAAUAUCGAGAAGCUCGAAUCUAAACUCGCCAUUUUAAAGGGGUCUGAUGUCUCUGCCCCCACUUUUGUGUAGCUGGAGACCACUCAUCAGGAAGUUGUCCAUUUGAAGGCUAAGCUUAAUGCGAUUUAAGCGAUGUUGGAAGCUGCAAAGAAGGAAUUCAGUUGUGUUUCAUCGGUGCUUAAGGACCUUGAGCGUGUCAAUUCAGAUUUACGAUCUACUUGUUUUGCCAAAGACCAUCAGCUUAUCUUCAUGCAUGCUGAAAUGUCUCGUCUCAAUGAUGUUGCCAGUAAGCUUGAGUCCAAGGAAGUAGAUCUGCAAGGUGCGCUGUCUACUAGCAAGAACUUGAAGAAAAAAAAGAACUGGAUAAACUAUAGGGUGCUCACAUUGGGCUUAUUGAGGAGAAUGUGCAGCUGAAGAAUGACAAAGUCGGUCACGAAGUGGCGCUUGCUUAUUGUCAGGCCGAUUUCUACAAGCUUGGCUAUGUAGACCAUUUUCAGGGUAGGUCGUCGGAUUAUGAGUUUUCCAAGAAUGACUUCGAGACUUUUUCUAUUUCUCCAAUUGAUCUGCUUGAUUUCUUGUUUAAGGCUGCAUUUGGUGGAACAACUGAGGGUCAAGCAGUCUAGGUAAGGGUGGUUGAGGAUGAGUUGAUGGAAGCUUUGGCUACUAAGAGCGAUGGGCCUGCUGAAACGUGGCAGUCGAGGGACCAAUGGUUGCGUAGGCCACCAAUAAGUAGUCUUUUUACUUAGACUUACGAAUUUUCUUAUUUUCCUUUUCGCUCUGCUUUAUUCGAACUUUGUUGGCCUUCGAGCCGGUUUAUCAAUUUGCUAGAAAUUUAAUAAACAACUUUCCUUGCUUUGUUUUUCACCAUUCUAUUUCGCCAUGUCUUUUGCAAAACUUCACCAUAGGAUGAGUGCCUGGGCGAGCUGCUUCAAUGAAGCAGUUGAUCCUACGUCGUCACUUAGGUGUUAGUUUCGGCUCUAAUGCUCAAGGAGUUUUACUUGCAAAAGGAAAAAAUACGAGAUUUCUAACUUAUAGAGCCAGCAGCUAAACUCAUAGCCUCCAAAGGAAGCUAGCAAGUUCGCAUAGCUAUUAUAGUCGUGAAUCUCAACUCUAGAGGCUUCACGAGCCUUGGCCCUCCAGGAGCAUGCUGCGAAGUGCUUAACUUAUUGAGCCGGCAGUCAAACACUUACUUCUUAUAAAAAUCAGAGGAAAUUCACGUAAUUGAUAUAUUCGUACUUCGGCUUUAGUAGCUUCACGAGCCUUGGACCUCUCAGGGUGUGUCGUGAAGUUUUUAACUUAUAGAGUCGACGGUCGGACACUUGCUUCUCGUAGAAAGCAGAGAAAAUCCAUGUAGCUGCUAUAGUCGUACUUCAGCUUUAACAGCUGCUCAAGCCUUAGCUCUCCUGAGGCUUGUUGCGAAAUUUUUAACUUAUGGAGCCGGCUACUAGACACUUACUUCUAGUAGAAAGCAGAGGAAAUUUGUGUGUCUCUUAUAGUUGUAUAUUUCGGCUUUAGUUUUUGCAAAACUUAAAUCGUAGACCGUCGGCCAGAAGUGCUACUUUUAAAUAAGCAAACAAGUCCACGUAGUCAUAUUAGGUAUAAGUAUCAGCUUACAGAUUGCCUAGGGCUGCCUGCCUGUUGGGUCUUCGGUCGGGCGUCUUACUUAUAAAAGAAGACGACUUGCGUGACCACUUUAGGCGUGAUCCCUGGCUCUCAGAGGUGUUUUAAGCUUAGAGCAGUUCCAGCAUGGGAACCCCCCAGGCAAUACACUAUGCUAUUCACCUAGUGAACAGUAAUUGCCCUUAAUGAACAGUAACCGCAUUUUGCAUCUCCACCGUUGCACUUCAUUAGCCAUGGCAAUAGGCAAUAAAAUAUUAGUAUUUUAUUUAUUUAUAAAAUAGUACAAAAUAAUUUUAUUUGUAAUUUCGGAUAAGAUUUUUAAUCGUUCUCGUUGUGCCACAUGUCAUUAUCCGAAAAGUUAUAAAAUAAUACAAAAUAAUUUUAUUUGUAAUUUCGGAUAAGAUUUUAAUUCGUUUUAAUUCGUUUUCAUUGCGUCACGUGUCAUAAUCCGAAAAAGAUAAUUAUUGGUGAUGGAUUUCCGAUAAGAUUUUUAAUCGUUCUCGUUGCACCACAUGUCAUUAUCCGAAAAUACAAUUAUUAGUGAUGGAUUUCCGAUAAGAUUAUUAACCAAUCACGUCACACCACGUGUCAUAAUCUAUUUACAAUCUUUGAGGAUAGAUUCCCAUCAUAUUUUUAACGAAUGACGGCAUGCCACGUGGCAUUAUUUACAAUCUAAUCCUUUCUGAAUCCUCCAUAUAAUCCACCAUCUAUCCUCACAAAUCUCACACCAAUUUUCUCAAGAUCUCUAUCAUUAUUCAUAGUUUCUGCUUCCUUCUUUACCAAAUUCUCUAUCAUUAUUCAUAGUUUUUGCUUCAUUUUUACAAUGUCUUCUUCUUCAUGGAUAAUGUGGGAAAUCGAUCAGCAAGAGGAAUAAUUGUUUAACCAAUAGAAAAGAAUGUUCAAUCUCCAGGUGGUCUAAACUGAGAGGGAAGAUGAUGAAGAGCGGGGUAGAGCCUCACAUUCUCGUCGAGUCAUCCAAGUUGUGGGUUAGAUCUACAGGCCUAGCUGUUCCGGAAACCUUGAUAGAAGCAGGCAACGAUGAGGUAUAGAAGUCUUGGACGAUUAUUUUGUCUGUAAUAGUGCAUUCCCUGAUACGUACUUUAGACGUCUUUUUAGAGUGGAAUGACAUUUGUUCAACAAAAUCAUGAUUGCUGUUUGCAACCAUGAUUCUUACUUUGUUCAAAAGAAUGAUACUUUUGGUGCUAUGGGCCUCUUUCCUCAACAAAAAAAAUUAGUGUUGCCUUGCAGAUGCUUGCAUAUAGAGCAUCUGCAGACCAAGUGGAUGGGGAAAUCAACCAUUCUUGAUUCCUUAAUGAGGUUUUACAGAGCAAUCGAAUCUAUCUACAUCGCGGAGUAUCUCCGAAAACCUACUGAAAUGGACUUGCAAAGACUUCUGAAGAAUGGCGAGAUGCGAGGUUUUCCUGGGAUGAUUGGAAGCAUCGAUUGUAUGCACUGGAUCUAGAAAAACUGUCCAAGUGCAUGGCAAGGCGCUUAUGGGGACAGAAAAUGAUCAAAAGGUAUCAUUUUGGAGGUGGUGGCAUCUUUUGAUACAUGGAUUUGGCAAGCCUUUUUCGGGGUUCCGGGAGCUCAAAAUGACCUCAACAUCCUUGCCCAAUUCCCAAUGUUCAACUAUGUUCUGCAAGGAAAGGCACCAAAAGUCACGUACUGGGUCAACAGACUUAAGUACGACGGGCCAUACUACCUAGCAGAUGGCAAUUACCCAAAGUGGUCAACAUUUGUCAAAACAGUGCCAUGUCCGCGAAGUGCAAAGGAAAAACACUUUGCAAGUCGUUAAAAGGGGUGCAGGAAGGAUGUUGACCGUUGUUUUGGUAUCCUCCAAGCUCACUGGGCGAUCGUCAAGGGUGCUGCUAGAUUGUUUGAUGUAGAGUCGCUUCGAUCCAUCAUGAUGAUGUGCAUCAUUCUUCACAACAUGAUUGUGAAAGAUGAAUACGAUUAUGAUUUCGUUAAUGAAUAUGAGCCAGACACGAUGAACAAUUCAAGAACACAUAUAUAUUGUGUUCAUGACGCCACCAAAGAACUCAUGCAACAUGAGCCAUUAGAAAGGGAUGAACGUUACAAUGAACUGGUCAUUCAACGAUAUGCUGCAUUUCAAAGGCCAUAUAUGGACAAUUCCUAGCAAAAUGACUUGAUAGAGCACCAAUGGGCAUUGAAAUAAGCUGAAGAUAAUUAAGUUCAUCUAGUGUGUUUGUUUUUAUUUGGUGUGUUUUUUUUAGUUCAUUUUUAAUGAGUUUUUAAUUAUUUGGUGUGUUUUUUUAGUUCAGUUUUAGUGAGUUUUUAAUUAUUUGGUAUGUUUAUGUAAUUUUAUUUGGUGUGUUUUUGUCAUUUGAAUAAACAUUCUCUUAUAGUAUAAAUAACUUACCAAAUUACAUAAAUUUACUCUCACUAUAAAUAAAGUAUUAAAUUCAAUAAAUUGGAAACAACAUAAAGUACACUGUUCAAUAAAUAAUAUAUUACAACCCAAAGUGAUUGGAAAAUUAUGGGGUCCGAUUAGAAAAAUUACUCUAUUCAUCAUCACUUAACCAAUUUGUGGUGCUAGGAUGAUCUGCUCUUGUCGUGCUAGGACCAUCUCCUCUUGCUCUCGCUUUUCUUGCACGCCUCAUUCGCACCACAUCCUCUUUCUCUGACUUCCAAAAAUAUUUAGAAUUUGGAGACUUCCCUUCUAAAGGCGUGUUCGUAAUGAUUGAGCCAUUCUUUCUUCUCUAACAUGUUCCGUUUCUUGCCUAAGUAGCUCUCUUUCCCCCUCAUUAGCUUAAAAUUCUCUCUCAACAGCUGCAGUUUUUGCCUCAUCUUUAGCCUUAUCAGCCUUAAACUUCGCCAUUUCCCGCGCCAAAGUCAAUUCACCUUGGCGAGCAAGUUCUUCCAUGUACUUUGCAUAAUCAUUCUUUGAAGCACUCAUUUUUCUCUUUGAAGCCUUCUUAUCUUGAAUCCUAAUUGGAUAACGGGUCGACCUUGACGCUUGUUCAGGGAGGGGCGUUUCGGGCACUUCUUUUGCAUCAUCUUCAUGAACAUGCGAGCCAUGAUCGGGUGUAGAGUGUAGAGGGGUGUUGUUCAUAAAACCUUUUGGACCGACAGGCACAACUCUGAAUUUAGGACAAUCUUUUACAAUAUUCCAACAUUCCCACCGGUUGAAUGAUUUAUUUUUGGUUUUGGUUUUGGCACCAUACCAAGCUUGUGCUUGAAGUUGCUACACAAUGUGGGAGAAGAAAUAAUUAUAAUGAAAGUAGGUAAAAAAUAAAUAAUACAAACAAAUAAUUAUAAUGACAGUAGGUAACAAAUAAAUAAUACAAACAAAUAAUUAUAAUGAAAGUAGGUAACAAAUAAAUAAUACAAACAAAUAAUUAUAAAUGAAAGUAGGUAGUAAAUAAAUAAUACAAACAAAUAAUUAUAUUCUAAAUUUGGGUAUAGUACAAACAAAUAAAUAAUAUAUUGUUACCUGAUCCGUGUAAUUUUCCCCACUUCGAAUAUUAGUAUUAGCUUGUGCCAAGGCGUCUCUCCACGUACUAAACGAUUGGCUAAGUAAUUUCCAACGACUGGACAUCGAUUCUUUGGUUCUUUUCCCACCCAUUUUCUCAACAUAAUUGGUAUGAAUAAGACUCCACAUUUCUCGCAACUGCAUCUCAUUACCUGUAAGCGAACUAUGGGUAACUUCAACCCAGCUAGUACACAACGCAACAUCUUCAAGAAGCGACCAAUUCAUACCUGCAUCAGUAGUCAUUUUGUUGAAAAAAAAAUUGGAUUGAAACUUUGAGAGAAAUAUAGGAAUUUGAUUGAAAGUAGUUGAGAAAAUAUGAAAUUGUGGUGUAAGGUAGAUGAUAAUGAGAAUGUAUUUAUAGAAAAGUAAAAACAAUAUUUUUAAAAAAAUUUCAUAUUUCUUUUUCAGAUUUUUUACAAUUUUUUUAAAUUUUUAUUGAACUAAUUAAUCUCUGUGGUUGGAUUAAAAAAAAAAAAUUCCAACACUCCAGAUUGUGCCACGUGUCACAACGGUAACUUUCUUAAUUUUAAAACUAUUUUUUCUUUUUAUUUAUUUAUUUAUUUAUAAAACAGAAUAAUAUCGACCGUUGAUCUCAGAUCCAACAGUUGAUAUUAAAUAAGAUUUUUUUUAAUUUCGUUGCAAAUCGGACGGUCCAAUUUAAAGAGCCGUUGAGAUCGAACGGACCGUGGGAAGCCACGUGACUUCCCAACGGUAACAUUGACAGAUUGCGAUGCGGCUCAAAGUCUGAAAAGCCGUCUGCUGACGCACCCCCACACGCGAGUGAGUCGCACGCGCCUGAAAGAAAAAAAAUAAAAAAUUGGGCCGACGCCAGGAUGACAUCAGCCCUAGCGUCACAUCCACUCGAGCUGGCAAUUCCUCAUAGGCCCAAAGCUCGGGCCUCCACUCUCCCUCGGGCUGUCCACGCUGGAGCUUCAAGGCCAUCUGGCCCUAUUUCGUUCCCCAUCCCUCAAGCACCAGCCCACGCUGGAGUUGCUCUUAAGGUAUACGUAGAAUCGCACCUCAAAGGCCAUAUCCUUCUGAGUUGUAACUUGAUUUCACAUGUUGCUUAACUAGUAUUGUAACACUUUUGAGCCAAGCUACGUUUAUGAAGAUUUGCACGUUAAGGACAAGUCAUCUGGUCUCGUGAAUUUUUUCAUGGGCAGGAAUCCUACACUUAGUGCCUCUUCCGGUUAGAGACCUGGGUUCCCGCGGAAUUGAAUCUUUUAGUUGAUGCAUUCAGGGGGAAGUCGUACAACUCAUCCACGUUUGGGUAUACCUAGAUGGGUGUCAAGGAAUUAGUUUACCCUUUCGCGCUCGAGAGCUUACCCCGAUGGGUGUCGGGGGAUUAGUUUACCCUAUCGCACUAAAAAGCAUACCCAUAUGGGUGUCGGGGGAUUAGUUUACCUCUCGCACUGGAGAGCAUGCCCAGAUGAGGCUUUGAGCAGUUGUUGUAGGCAGAAGUUGAGGCAGGUUUGUGAAUAACUUCUUGGAUCUUCAUUGAGAAUAAAGAAAUGUAUCAACUAUGCUGGAAGGUAGAAACUGCAUAACAACUGAGAUAAUCCUCGGCCUACGAGGUCUUGUUCGUCGAACUGCCUAAAGCUUCUAACUUAUUUAGAUAAGCCAAAAUGGAGUUCAGGAAAUGAUGGGAGAUUUUCCAAAGCAUUCCUUCACAAUCCUAAAUAUGGACCGAGAGUGCUCUGGCCUGGCAAAGAUGCCAUUAAUCUGCAUUGUCUUCAAUAGGGGUUCAGCGUCAGCUCCUCGAGGUAUUGCUUUCAUUUCAGGCAACCGUUAGUAGUGUGACCUUGCCCUUGGUGGAAUGCGUAAUACUUUGUCUGAUCCAUCUUGGUAAGAUCACCCUUCAUGGGUGGCGGCAGUUCAAACCAUGGUUCAUUCUUGAGCUUACAGAGAAUCUGGCCAAUCGAAACUGUGAACUUGGUGAAUGCUUUAGGCGUUGAGUCAUAUCUGUUUGGGGAAUGGUCCUUUCACUUAUUUCUUUACUUGUUCUUGCAAGACUGCUUAUACUCGUCCCAUAACGCGUGCUUCUCUGCCAAAGCAUACAAAGCUGCCAAGGUCAGCUCCCCGCCUAUAAUCAAUUUUCCAAAUAAAGGGUGUUUGGUGGGAAGCCCAUUCUUGAAUGCUGCCAUUGCUAUGCUCUCGUUGCAACCGACAAUUUUAGCCUUCUCCACCUUGAACCUCUUGACAUAGUUACGAAUUGACUAAUUUAGGCCCUACAUAAUGUUGAAGAUGUGGUUGGACGUCUUUUUGAUUGAACGGUACGACGAAUAUUCCUUGGUGAAAACCAAAGAAAGUUAGUUGAAGUUCCUGACUGAGCGCAGUGGUAAGGCAUGAAACCAGUUUUAGGCUUUGCCCCACAAUGUUGUGGCGAAAACCUUGCACAUGAGAGUGUUAUUUUUGCUGUAAAGAAUCAUCGCACUGCAGUAGCGCUUUAAGUGCAUGCCCGGAUCUUCAUGUCCCUAGAAAAUGGUGAAAUGCGGCAGGCUGAACUUUUAUGGCAGCUUUCUCUGCUCGAUCUCGUCUGUAAAUGGUGACCUACUUAUGUUGGCCACGUCUCUACGAAGGGUAUCAUCGGUAGUAUAAAUGUGCUAGAAUUCGCACAGCUGCUCUGUUACGAGCAUUUGUACCUCAUCCUAGAUUUGGGCCUGGUGGGGCAGCAGAGCCUCCAGCUACCCUCGAUGCUGACUUGUUAGUCCAUUUUGCUCUUCGGCAUGUUUUGCUCGUUUGUGAUGCGGUUAUGGUGCACGUGGUUCAUUUUAUGUUGCUCAUUUUUACGUUUGGUGUGGGCUGUCAGCGGAACUUGAGCUAAACUGCUCUCGUGCUCUCCUCGGUCCGCCAUGUGGCUGCCUACUCCAAUGCCUCUUUUGAGGAUCCUCUUGUGGGCCUAGCCUCAUGUGGAUGCUUCGACUGUAAUGUCCUGAGUGUUCGUCGGAGUGUGGACCCAACCUCGAAUGCGCACUUACUCGUGAGCCGAGUCAAGAAUGAAUGUUUCUUUGCGCAUCUAAGUGGGAGAAAACGUUUCCUCGAGGGCCCAAACGAGAGUACACACUAUCCGAACGCACAGUUCGUGGUGGACUAAGCGGCCAUUUGCUGGUACGUUGCUGGAAUGAGUCACAUUCAUCUACCCUCGUCUUAUUUCGAGACACCUCGUCGAGGGCACGUUGCAUCUCAAUGCACUCAAGAAGCUAGUUCACCAAGGUGGUAUGCUAACCUGUUGGGGCAGGUGAUGUUCGUCAUUUGGAUUGGAAGAGUCUGGAUAAUGGGCGUCUCCAUGUGUAGGGGAUUGCAGGUACAAAACUUGAGCCCAGAGCAGGCAUUCAUGCAGAAAUGUGAGGUGAAAAUAACCAUGAAUCGAUUGUAGGACUAGUGGUUGAAAUCUAGAUCACCGGAGGUAGCCUCAGAUUGGACUGCGCUGCUGACGGGGUCGUGAGGCGGGCUUACCCAGCUCGGUGGCUAGGCUAUGCGUGUGGGGGCUCGUGUGUAUGACAGUUGGUCUUGGGCUUGCGCUGUGCGCCCGGCCGGCACAUGCUCCUCGUGUUGGGCCUGGGCCACAUCUGCAUCAAGUAGAGCUCGGCAUUGGGCUUGGGCUGUGACAGCUUGGGCUGCUGGCUGGGCUCCGGUUGCUACAGCUUAGGCUGCCUGGCUAGGCUUCGGCUGCUGCAGCUUAUGCUGCCUGGCUGGCAUUUUGAGUUGCUGCGGCUUGGGCCUCUUGGGCUCUGCUUGAGGCUUAGAGGUCAUGUGGCUCAUGCUCGUGAGCCAUGGAAUGGACCUGGGCCUCCUGCCCAGGGUUUUGGGGGUAGGGCACUACAAGGGCAGCAAUGCCGAUACUUGGGUUGUGGCUUGGCGGCCUUGUCGUGGCUGCUGGGUCCCAGCAACGGUGGUGGUACAGCUCCAUGGUGGUGAGGCCCCUCCUGCCGUUGCAUUGAGCCUCGAGGAUCACCGUCACGGGGCUAUGUCAUCGUUUUCACUCUUCGGCUCAAAUUCUUGUACAUACGACGUUCCGUUUGUCGUGGUUUCGAAUUUCCUACCAUUGUAUCCUUUCUUUAGGGAUUGAUCAAGAAACUUUUCUAGGAAAAAUUAAUUGAUAUGACGUGUGAGAAAUUCAACGUAACAGAAAAUUCAAGAAACAAAUGCAAGAGGGUUCUUCGAGUAUUUGAAUUAGCUCUCAAUGAAAGCACCAAUUUAUCUAUGCAAAUUUUCUGCUGUCUUCAGUCGUAACGAAACAGCACCUGCAAAAAAAUCAACACCUCUGAUCAAAGACCUAAGCCUUAUGCACCCAUGAGGUGGGGGGUUAGGCCAAUGGAUCUCCGAUGCCUAAGUCAAUUUCUCUGAGGAGAGUAAAGUGUUUAGGACUUUUUUAGGGUAGAAUAUGGGGUAUAUAGGGAAGAGGGUUGCCAUAGUGUUAAGGUUUUAACCUGCACAUGGCGGCAUCCUAUUGGCCAAUGUUUAUGGAUAAAUAUUCUUAAGAUAUUAAAUAGGAAAUAAUAUUUUGAGAUAAUGGAGUAAUUAUCCCUAAUUGAUUUAAAUUGGGAUUACUUACUUGAUUGUAGUCAAUCUUCGAUUGGGAAUGUAUUAAAGAUAGUAUUUGGGUAAUUAAUCAUUAUCUUUAAUGCUUUGACUUUUCCUUCCUAAGGGCAAGUAAGUUGUGGGCAGUCGUAUUUCAGCUGCUGAGACAUUCAGGGUGUGAGUUGCACGUCAGAGUAUCUGAGGAGCCUACCCAUUUAAUGAGGGCAAUCUUGUCUUUCUUGUGCAAAAGUCCAGGUUUCGCCUCUAGGAUUUUGGGGAUUAUUUUAGGCUCCAUAGAUAAGUUCAUUCAAAAUUCAAAAAUGAGGAUCACAUAAUUCAAACGUGGGAGAAGAAUUUUGGAAACAUUACCAGCAAACUAUAUGGCUUCCUACGGAAAAGGCCACGUACAGAAAUAUAUUAGCCUAAAAGGAUAUAUAUAGAAUUUAAUAAUGAACAUUUUAAAUUAAAAAAAAAACACUAUAAUGACAUGUAAUCUAAAUAAAUAUAAAAAUGCUGACAUGACUAUCGUUUAGGCGUUUUAAUCAAAUCUCAAAAUAGAACCAAUGUUUGAUCUAAAGAGUAUUAGAAAACUGCAGGGGAUUCUAAUUUCUCCAAGAUUAUAACAAGUUUUGUUCUUAUGAUAUAAUCAGUUUAAUAUGGAGUUUUUCAUAUAAAAUUUAAAGCCCCACCGCCCUUGUUUGAUUUAAAAUUUUCAUAAAAAAAAGGUAAUUUCUCCCAUUAAUUAUAUUGCUAUUUUUGUCUAGUUUCUUUCAUAUGAUUUAAAGACUCUCAUAACAUAAAUUUCUAGUUCCGCCACUGAAACAAAUGAUACAUUCCAUAUAAAUAUAGAGCAUAUAAUACAUGGAAUGUAUGAAGUGCGUAUGAACAGAGGAAUAAGGAUAAUUUGUUUACUAAAUUUGGAAUUUACAACCGAUGGAAAGAAAUUGAUAAAUUUUACUUACCCUUAAGCCAACAAAAAUGUGAACCUUUCGGAAUUAGAUGGUAACACAAGUAUUGUCAAUGCAAAAUACUUUAGCAUUGAUGAUGUUCUAACAAUUGGACAUUAAGAAGAAGAGUAUUAUUAUCGUUACUUUGAUAAAUAAUGAAGAUUUGUGUUGAACUGUCGAGGAUUAAAUAACUAAUUGGAAAGACGAAUAUAGAAUGCCUAUUCACGACUAAUGAGUACUUAAUACAGUGAAAUUUGUUUGUUUCUUUCAACAAGUUUUUUUUUUCUAACGAGCCAAAUGUUUAAAAAGAACAAUUAAAAGGUCCAAGUCUAAAAAUUUUGGAGUGUCUGAUCCACAUAAUAUAGCCUGUAUGUUGAACCUGGUUAACUAAAGUUAUUGUUCAAUAGUGACUUUCAUAAAAAUCAUCUAUAAAACUGAUGAACUUUUUCCUUCAAAAGCUUUCUAUUCUUUAAGCCACAUUUUAUAGUUAUUAGUCAGGAUUUGAAACCAAUCAGUUUGUUGUGUGGAUUCCUGCCUUGUGAAGGUAGAUAGAACUCCGUAAACCUGCAUCUCAAAGAUGAUUAAAAUCCAUUGGAUUGAUAAACCCUAUUUGCUCUAUUGGGAAAUUCCUUUUCGGAUUGCUCUAAAUUUUAUGCUGAUGGCUGCCAGAAGAGAAAUAAUAAUUUUAUUGGAGCAGAUGAUGCUUUAAGAGAUUCCGAUAGUAAAUGGAUUUUCUUGGUUUUAUGCCAAUUUGGGCACAUGUGAGAUUCUCAAUGCUGAGCUAUGGAGUUUUUACUUGGGCUUACAAGUGGCAUGGAAAUUAUGGAUUGACAAAUUUGUGGAAUUAGACUCUGCAAUCACAAUUCAUUUGGUGUUGCAAGCUACUAGCAAUAUCAUCAUUUGAAUCCCCUUAUUUUGCUUUGCCUAGAAUUGCUUUCAAAAUCUUGGCAAUGUGAGUUUCGGUAUGUCAUAGAGAAAAAUAUUUUGUGGCAGACAAUUUAGCAACAUUUAGUCUUGGUUUGGAUUUAGGCAAUUUUUAUUUUGUUAAUCCUAAUUUUUUUCGCAAGAAUCGAGUUGAGAUGUCUUGGUCUAGACUUAUUAUUGAGUAGGUUUGUUUGGACUUUGCUUUUAGCCCUUUUUAAAAAAACAUAAAAAAAGAUUAUUAAAGCCAAAUCAUUUAAUCAUCAAACCAUGCGCAUGGACCGGAAAAAAAAAUAUAUAUGUUUGCUUGUGUUUUUUUUUUAAUUUAAAAAAAUGAUUCUAUGAGUGUUUUAAUUUUUUAUACUUCAGUAAAUUUUUCAAAUUUGCUAUAAAAAUAAAUUAUUCAUGCAUUUCAAUGCCAAAUAUGUAACAUCCCACAUCGUCCAGGGGAGUAGAUUCUGUAAGCCUUAUAUGUAUAUUUUCAUCUCUACCUAGCUCGAGGCAUUUUGAAAGCUCACUAGCUUUGGGUUCCAUCAGAACUCUGAAGUCAAGCGAGUUCGCGCGAGAGCAAUCCCAUGAUGGGUGACCCACUGGGAAGUUCUCGUCUAAGUUCCCAGAAACAAAACUAUGAGGGCGUGGUUGGGGCCCAAAAGAGAUAAUAUUGUGCUACAACGGAGUCGAGCCAGAGAUGUGAUGGAGCCUGGGCCAGGAUGUGACAAAAUACCUAUGACAAAAUCCAACCGAAAAACAAAAAGGGGGUAAAUUGGGUUUAUUAGUUUGUGUUGGGCGUUUUCACCAGUCCAUGAUCUUCCAUAGAGCUAACAAGAAAUUUGAGAUAUAUAUUUAUAUUGAGCAAAAUGGCAUCUGAAGUUUUCUACUUUUGUGAAUUUACUACCUAAACUAAAAUGAAUUACAAUUAGUCACUCGUACUUGAAACAUUUUGCCAAUAGCCACAUCAAAAUUUUCAGCCAAUUUUUAUGCUCAUUUCGUCAACUUAAGUCUCGUAACAUAUCAGAUACCCUCCUCCCCGAAAGGAUGUCAUUAAUUUCUUGCCAAUUGCAUAAAUUAGAGGCCAUGUCCUAUUGCAUACUUUAUUAUUCCAAUCAUUUCCCCUGAAGAUUUUGGUUCUGUUCAAGAAUGAUGCUUUACCAAUCUCAUUUGAUCGAUUAGAUUGUGAUAAACAUGAUGUAAAUGUAUACUUGUGAAUUGUUGAAAUGAGUCGUUUAGUUUUCCACUCUCCUUCUGCUUGUGAAUUGAUGAAAUUGACAUCAAAAAGUCCGUUCGAGCAGUUGAUGUGUAAGCAAAUUUAACAAAAUUGUGGAUGAAAAUUGAAUGUAACAUAUAUAUGUAUAUAUAAGGAUGUUACAUUUUACGUCUUGGAGGUUAGUUAGUAAAUGCGUGAAAGUGAUCAAGAUGUUACAUUUUACGUCUUGAAUGUAACAUAAUAAACUUAUUUUGCUUGCUUUGUACAUUUGAGAUAGCCCCAGACUGUAUCCAUCGAUUCAGGGAAAUGUUUUCCAAGCACCCCUCAGAGUCGAUAUUCUUUUAAUAUGGAUGUUGAUACAAAAAGAUGGAUUAAUUGAGAAUUUAGACUACUACGAAAGAGCCUAUGAAUUAAAUCUUGUUAGUUCGUAUGCGAAGCAUAUUGUUUAUGAAAAAAAUCCUUUGUAAUUAACAGUUUACCGCUUGAUCUUAACAUGACUAAAUUACCGUUAAUCAAUGUUUUGUUUGAAUUUUGAUAUAUAAGGAAAUACUCCUAUUAAGGUGCAGAAGGUGAUGCUUGAGUUCUAGCAUUCAUGGCAAUGUGUGUUGGAUUUUGUGGCUCAAUACUUCUUGGGCCUUUAGUUUUUUGUCUCAAGCCCAAAUAGGUUUGGCCUUUUGUUACCCAUUUGAAAGCCACAUGGCAGCUAGGGUUUAAUUAAAAAGGCACCAGCCUUAUAUAAGGAAAUUCAUGCCUUUUGGUCAGAAGACAAGCUGCAGAAAAGCAGCAGAAAGGUAGCAGAAAAGAAAGUGCAGCCGAAAGCAAGCAAAAAAGAGAAAAGGCAGCAAUGAUGAAAUUUGUUAGGAUGUUGGCUCAGGGAAGAAAAGUCAAGAGCUUUUCUUUUGGUAUUUUCAAGGCAGCAGCUGCUAUAUGUUUGAGGAGAAGCCGAGAGAAGAAAAACGGCAGAUUAGAGAGAAGUAAGAGAAAGGUUGAUGUUUUCUAUUCUUCCUUUGUUUGUAAUCUCCUUUGAUAUUAGUGGAAUUUCCUCGCCGUCUCGGAACUGGACGUAGGCUUACGCCGAACCAGUAUAAAUCCUUGUGUUCUUUGGAUUAUUUGUCUUGUCAUAUUUUACCGUAUUAGCUUAUUGGUUUCAUAUUUGACGCUUCCGCACAACAAGUGGUAUCAGAGCUCCGGGUUUCGACUUGGGGCUUUGUACUAAUAUGUCUAUGAAACCUUCGAAUAUGUCGGUGAAAUAUGAUAUUGAAAAAUUCAAUGGGAGGAAUGAUUUUAGCCUGUGGCGGGUUAAGAUGCGAGCUGUGCUAGUUCAACAAGGGUUGCUUAAGGCGCUACAGGGUGUGGAAGCCUUGCCACAAGAUUGGUCUGCUGAAGAAAAAGAAGACGCUUUGAAUCGAGCACAUAGUGCAAUUAUGUUAUCACUAUCUGAUGAAGUUCUUCGUGAGAUGGAAAAUGAAACUACUGCAGCUGGUUUGUGGCUUAAGUUGGAGAGUAUAUACAUGACCAAAUCCCUCACCAAUCGUCUGUAUUUGAAGCAACGUUUGUACACUCUCCGUAUGACUGAAGGUACACCUAUUCAAAACCAUCUUGAUGAGUUUAAUAAGGUUAUUAUGGAUUUGAAAAGUAUGGAUAAUAAAAUUAAUGAUGAGGAUCAAUCUUUGAUUUUGUUGUGUUCUUUACCUCCGUCGUAUGCGAAUUUUGUUGAAACUUUGUUAUAUGGGAGAGAUUCUAUUUGUAUGGAGAAUGUAAAAGCCGCUUUGAAUUCAAGAGAGUUAAAGAACAAAGUAUUUGGAAAUUUGAAUGAUUCUCAUUCUGAGGCUUUGAUAGCAAGAGGCAGAGAUAGGGAAUAUGGUUCAGGGAGUAAUAAAGGAAAUUUGAGAUCGAAGUCUAAGACCAGAAACAACACAUGCAACUAUUGUCGCAAGGAAGGGCAUUGGAAAGUUGAUUGCCCAAAACUGAAAGAUAAUGUUGGUGUGAGUGCGAAUGUCGUCGAUGACGACUUCGACUUUGUUCUAUGAUGACAGUUGGCUACACCAGAUUUGAAAUAAAAAUAAAAAUAAAAAAAUAAAAAAAAUAAAAAAAGGAAUCUGGUGUUGUGGGUACUCUUAAAUCUCUCUACUACAUAUGGAGAUUUAAGAGUUUGUAAGGAUUCUUUGUUAUGAUUUGAGAAAGUUGCUUAGUAGCCUCUAUGUAUGUUUUGUGUUAUGUCAGUUGCUCUUCAUCGGUGUUUUUAUUGUUUUGGAUAUUGGUAUGGUUUUUCUUUUUUUGGUAAAGUUGAAUUCAGUGAGGGCCAAUUUGUUAAGUUCUGCAAGUUUGGAUAGUGAGACACCACACUAUUUUGGAGACACCACAUGCACUGCAGAACAUUUGUGUGGAACCCUCUUGUAGAAGGCAAGUUAUAUGUUUUCUAACUUUGUUUGGUCUAUGGACAUUUGGUUGGAUUUGUUUGCCACUGCUAUUUGGUCUGUUGGUCUCCAUCAUCUGCAAUUAGUUUUCUUGAAGACUUCAGUUGAGGUAUGGUUUUGGAUCUCCUGCUGAUUAUUUGAAUUUGAAAUUUUGGUUGUCCUGUUGGUGCUCAUGUGAUGAUGGUAAACUUGAGAGAAGAGGCAUAUUUUUGUAUGUGGUAUGUGAGACUUUGUUGCCAAAUUUGUAAUCAGUUUUGACUUGGAGAAUAUGCCAUACUAUGUGAAUGAGUCUAUUGGUGCAGUUUCAGACCAUGGUGUUUGUGAGCAGGUGGAGUUCGUUGUGUGUCCAACUUUGGUAUGAUGUGCUUGAUCUUUUGUUGGUGAUAUUGAAGAAUUUCAGUUCUUCGUUUGAAUCACUUUUGUUUUGAUCAAGGCACUUAUGGUUUGCAAAUUUGGAGAAGACGGUAGAGAAAUGUUCACUUUCGUUGGCUUUGGUACAGUUUGAGUCGAGGUGGAAAUUGUUAUGAGUACCGGAAAGUUUGGUGAAUUUGAUUUAGCUUCCGUUGUCUGUAGUUCGUAUUUUGGGUGCUUAUGAUGAUUGUUGAGUCAACUCUGAGUUGCUUUCGGGAAUUUCGCCAAGGUGGAGAUUGUUGGAUUUUGUGGCUCAAUACUUUUUGGGCCUUUAGUUUUUUGUCUCAAGCCCAAAUAGGUUUGGCCUUUUGUUACCCAUUUGAAAGCCACAUGGCAGCUAGGGUUUAAUUAAAAAGGCACCAGCCUUAUAUAAGGAAAUUCAUGCCUUUUGGUCAGAAGACAAGCUGCAGAAAAGCAGCAGAAAGGUAGCAGAAAAGAAAGUGCAGCCGAAAGCAAGCAAAAAAGAGAAAAGGCAGCAAUGAUGAAAUUUGUUAGGAUGUUGGCUCAGGGAAGAAAAGUCAAGAGCUUUUCUUUUGGUAUUUUCAAGGCAGCAGCUGCUAUAUGUUUGAGGAGAAGCCGAGAGAAGAAAAACGGCAUAUUAGAGAGAAGUAAGAGAAAGGUUGCUGUUUUCUAUUCUUCCUUUGUUUGUAAUCCCCUUUGUUAGUGAUCACUCAAUCAAAGAUAUUUGUGCUACAUGUUGUGGCUUUUGGGAGAGAAGGAAUUUGAUAUGUGUUUCUUCUUCUCCAUUUGUUUCUUUGUUUGAGUGAGAGCUAUUGGGUGUAUGUGGGAUUUGGGUUUGAGAGUUAAAACUCUAUUUGUAAUCUUCUUUGAUAUUAGUGGAAUUUCCUCGCCGUCUCGGAACUGGACGUAGGCUUACGCCGAACCAGUAUAAAUCCUUGUGUUCUUUGGAUUAUUUGUCUUGUCAUAUUUUACCGUAUUAGCUUAUUGGUUUCAUAUUUGACGCUUCCGCACAACAAUGUGAGGGUUGAGGGAUGAACUGCCAGUAUGAGGAAGGUAAUGAGAAGACAUUGCAGGCACUGAAUUGUAUGAAACAUUAGCGAUACCUGUAUUUGGAACUUGAGAACGCAUGGAAUGUUGGUUUUGCUGUGGAUGAGAUGGAAAAAAACUGUGAGGAAUUGAAUGGUGGACUGACAGCUUGAUUCCUAUCAAAACAAGUAGCUGUAGUGUGUCCCACUCGAUGACAAAUUUAACAUCCACGCUAAAAACAAGUGAGUGCAGAGUGACCUUUUCUAUCAUAUAUUUGGCACACUUGUUGAGGAUUCUGAGAAGACUGGGAUCCUUGAGACUAAAAUGAGGGCUGUGAGAAUUGACUGGCAUUAUAAGAUGACUGAUGAUUAUAGUGAGACUAAUUCCCAGAGAAGAAUUUUUUUCCUUUUCCUUUGGAUUUAAAGUUGUUCCCCCUGAAAUUAUUAUAAGUACCCGAGCCAUAUUAAGAGACAAAUGCCUGAGGUCCAGGAAAUGGAAGCUGUGAAAGUUGAGGCAUGAAUGGCAUUGGAGCAAAUUGUUAUAGAAUUGGAGUUGUAGAAAAAGGCAACACAUGUCCAGAUGAUUGACCAAGAUUAGAUCCUGAAGCAUAAGGUUUUGUACCUGAAGAACCACCAACAUCAAAUGGAGAGCCAGUACUUUGAGCAUGCAUGGCAAACAUAAGAGGAAUCUAUCUAGUGGUCUCAUCUAGUAUAGAUUCUUCAACCCUCAGUUGUGAUCGAAGUUCUUUAAGCGAGACUAGAUUCUCACGACCACGUAUCACAGCUUUAAUGGUGUUAAACUCAAGGGGUAAACCUCGCAAUGCUAAAAUAACAAUGUCCUCAUCAGAUAUGAAUACCCCAACUGCAGCCAAUUGAUCCCUAGCAUCUUUGAUUCUUUGCAAGUAUGCAUCAAUAGUCUCAGAUCCCUUCUUAAUGUUUUGAAGAUCAAUUUUCAUCUGAACAAUGCUGGUUGUGGUCAUAUUGGCAAACCUUUCAUGAAGACAAGUCCACAUUUCUUUCGAGCUUUUGCAAUCAAUCACACAAGACAGAGCAGUAGUGGACAAAGUGGCAGUGAUGAGUGUCAUCAAAGCCUUAUCAUGAAUCUUCCAAAAUUAUAUCCAUUAGUUAACAUUUGUUCAUUUUCUAUUGUGUCAUUAUCCAAAUCAAAAUCAGCAAAACGUGCAGGACAAGGAAUGGAUCCAUCAAGAAAGCCACAAAUUCCAUUGCCUUCCAACAACAAUUCCAAUUGAAAAUUCCAAGUAACAUAAUUGGAGUCAUAAAGUUUGACUGUGACAAUGUUACUCACGCUCGGAAUCAAUGAAGAAAUUAAAAAUUGUGUAAGAGCCAAUUGUGCAGUGGUAACCAUGUUUACACAAUUAACACACUACAAAUCUUGAAUCACAAGCAAAACUCCAUAGAAGUGACAAAUUAUACCACAGAUAAUUCCAAAAAACAGAUCAAGAUCCAGAACGAUCUUAAUGUCAUAGUAGAAAGAUUACGAACAUAAUCAAGAAUCCUCAGCAACAAACCCAUAGAUUAGGGUUUCAGAAGAGAAGACAAAUAUCGCAAAAUUAUCAACUACACAACGUUAAUGCAUAAGUAACAUCACCUCGACAACCAAUUAUGAUGAGCAACAACACAAGAUGGCCAAAAAUCCCCAAAAUUCUAGGGUUUCACAAGCCACCGACUUCGAACAACAACGACUGAAAUCAGAACCACAACCAAAACACCUACGAGACAACGAGGAGCAAGAAAUCACAGCAAUACUCCGAGAUAGAGAGAGAGAGAGCAGAAGCAAGAAGGAUCGUCAACCGAUGGUGUUAACCACACUGGCGAAGAUACCAUGUCAACAUUGCAGAAAACGAAGAAAUCUUAGCUACGAAGGAAGAGAGAAUAAGUCAGAGAGAAGAAUAUUUUCCAACUGUAUUUUCUAUUUUAACUUAAUUAUUACAAGACACUCCUACUAUUUAUACUCACACUCUCAUAACACCCUCCACUAAUAUCAAUACAAGUGGCACCUUCUACAUAACUGAAAUGAUAAGAUACAAAUAUCCUUACAAAGGGUACCCCAAGUGGUUAAUCAUGUUGAUGGAACAAACUAUGGAUUGCCCGAUGGAUGGACUGAGGAACAAAAGUCGCGGACCUCUCUAAAAUAUUUGGGAAUAAAAGACAUGGUUAGUUCGAUUAUUAAUUCUAAUUUUUCUUUAUGAACUACAAUUUUUUGGUUUCAGAUCUUACUUUUGCUCUGUUUAUUUGUAUGACCCUUUUAUUCUUUUGCUUCAGAAUAUAUUAAUAAAUGCCAUCCCGAGAUUGAAGUGUGUAAAAAAUAGUUGGUGUUUGCAAUAGUUAGUCUUGAAUUUUAUGUACCACAAUCAUAUUCAAAUCCUAUUUAGUCAAUGGUAGCCAAUUAACAUAGGUUAAGUGCAGACUUUCCUUCAUCCUCAAACCGGAAAACAAUUCUGAUCGCUAGUAGGUGCUGUUGGAUAUAAGUCAACAAUCUGUGAUUUAAAUAUAUAUGCUAAUAAACAAUAAAUGCAAUAGGAAUUAACAGAAUAUAAACUAGAAUACGAAUUAUAAAAACAGACAACUUGAAGAUCGAGGCUUGCGUACCGCAAUGUCCUUGAAACAGAAAUUUCGUCCAUACUCAGUGCUUGUAGUUCUACGGACGUCUACUUCACCAGGAUUCAACGAUCUAAGUCAGAAAUUCCAGCACCGGAAAAUUGACUUCUGGCGAAUAUUAAUGUGGUUCUCUCAGAAAGGAUGUUUAUGAUUGCAUGAGAAGAUUUAUGAUUUUUCUAUAUUCUAAAUGCCAUGCAGAUAGAUGUAUAUAUAAUGUGAUUAUACCUGUUCGCAACAGGUAUGAGGAAGGGAUGCAUCUGUUGGGAGACAUCUGCUGAAAAGGGUGUUUUUGUUUCUGCGUUUUCACACUUCAGACUUCAUCUGAAAAGAUGAGUCUGUUGGUAAAAAUAAAUAAUUAAUUAAUUUAAAUUCGAAAUUAAAAAUAAUUAAUUAAUUCCAAAAAUAAUUAAUUAAUUUAAUUAUUAGAGCCCAAGGCCCAUCUUUUGACAAUUAAAUAUAUAUUAAUUAUAUAUUAAUUAUAAUUAAUUAUAUAUAUUAAUUACCAAUUAAUUAGUACACCCGAAAGCCCAACCCUAAAGGUGAGCCCAAUUUUAGUCUCCAGGCCUAUUACUCCAAUCAUUUUCUAUAAAGGACAAAGCCUUGUAAAGUGAUAAAAUCUUUUGGGAAUGGCCAAUAUGGGACAAAGAAAUUUCAACUCAAACUAUUCAAAUUUCCAACAGGUGCUAAGAAAUGGAUCAAGGAAAAUCAAGGUGAGCUGCCACAUGAGGCAUUCCAAGUUGGUGUUUCCAAGGUGAGCUCAUAAGUUUAUUUACAUAUGAAGAAAUAAUUUUAUUCAACGAAACCUUAAAUUUUUAAAGAUCGAAGGCUGUUAUUGUUGACAUGAUGACAUUCACCAAGUCAUGAACGGUUGAUGUUUUUGUAUAUUGUUCUCUUGCAGGCUUCACAGAGUUCAGAACCUCCUCAUGUAGCAGUAGAAGGAAGAAAGCAACUAAACAUAUGCACUUUGACUUUGCACACCCACCAGAAAACAUAACAUGGGUCUUAACUGACACUGAGACUGAUGGAUGGAGGCUGUAUGUGGGAGAUACCAUGGUUCCUGAUCUGGUAAAGAAUGUUUGGGCCGAUAGAUUUUCAUCUGCAAGUUUUGGAAAUGUAUGAAGCAUCUUGCUAUUAUUCGAAAAAAAAUAAUGCAAAAUAAAAUAUAAACAGAUCUGGUAAUUUUUUUUUGUUUUUUAUGUCGUAAAUUUGCUUUUGUUUUUGGAAAAGAUGUUUUAUUGUAAACAAAAUGAUUUUGACGAACAAAAACAUAGAUAUGGCAAUUUUUUAUAUGGCCCGUUAACACGACACGUAAACAAUACGAAAAUAACGGGGUUCGAAUCAACACAAUAACUAAUCGGAUCAUUAUCGGGUCACAUGAUAAUAACCCGUUAAUAACGGGUCCUUACCAGGUUUAUACGAAAGUGACACGCGCGUAACCUGUUUUGACACGAUAAGAAAAAAGUUAUUUUUAUAAUUUUAAUUUUUUAAACUACUAAAAAAACUUACUAUAAAAUACAAUAGAUAUAAUGAAUAUGUAUAUAUUGUUUAUUAAUUAUUAUUCUAUAUAAAUUUUAAAAUUUACGUUUUUAUUUAUUUAUUUAUUUUUAUAGUAUUGAGAUUAAAAAUCAUAAAACACUUUAAAAAUAAAAAUAUCAAGUAAUUUAAAAAUACCAUACACAUUAAAAAAAAUUAUAAUAAUUAAUUUACAUGUACGAAAAAUAUGAAAAAAAUAUGCAAAUGCUCGUAGUCGCAUCCUCUACGCUUUGAGGAUGGGUAUAUGAUUGUUUGAAUUUUUAAACCAUACAAACUCUCAUGAACAGUAUUUUUAAAGGAGUUUAAAAUAAACAAAAUUCAUAAUCAUUAAUGUAUAAGUUUGAAAGAUGUGAAAGCAUAAUAAACAUUCAUAAUUUCAUCCUCAACGCUUAGACGAUAGUUACAUGGUCGUUUAGAUUUUUAAAACCCUCCAAAUCUCAUGAACAUUGUUUUUUAUUUGAGUGCAAAAUUAAUAAAAUUAAUAAUAAUUAUUGUAGAAGUGUGAAAAAUGUAAUCACUCGUAAUGAAAAAACUUUACAACUUUCAUGAAGGAGUCAACUCUGAAAUUUAGUAUGUAUAUACUAAUUUAGUAUUAUGUUUUACAUUUUUUUGGGUCAAAUUAUGUUUUUCAUUUUCAUUUUUAUUGAUUUAAAAUAUUUUUUUCUUAAUGGGUAAAGGGUCGGGUCAUAAUACCUGAUAAUAUUAACGGAUUGAUUUUGGGUCAGGUCAUAUUACCCGUUUACUUUAACGGGUAUUACACGACACGCUCCAUUAAGCUAUUGGGUAUGACACAAAAACAACACAAACACGAGAAACACGACAUGAAUGCCAGAUCUACAAAAACAUCUUAAAAAUGAUGCACUUCAGUGGAAAAAUAAGCAGAAAAUACUGCAAAAUAAAAUAUAAACAGAAAAAACGCCCAAGUACCCAACAAAAAUAUAAACGAUGCGCUUCGUACUGUUAAACUACCAUUAAACCACUUGGGAAAAAUACUAUAAACCUAACAAAAAUAUAACUAGAGGAUAUUAAUCCAAGAAAAGUAAAAUUAGAGGAUAUAUAUAUAUUACUGAAUCUUUACUCAGUCCUCAGGAAAAAAAAACUAUAUAGUAAACUCUAUGUCAAUAACAGACCCUUGGAUACACUUGUAAUUUUAUAUUGGUCUAAUGAGUUGAAUUCUUAUGACAUUAUUGCUACAGUGAUAUGAAUUCAAUAAAAGUGAGUUCUUUAUUUUAAUUUCUGGACCCGUUAAUUUUUUCUUUUUCUCUAAUUUAUGAUCGAUUGUUCUCUUUUCUCACUCUCAGAUAAUUGGCUAUUUAUCAUAUAGGAACAUAUGACUUCAAUAUAUUGAAUUAUAAAAAAAAAAACCGCUCUUAUUGGACUAAGAUUUUCAGGCCAUUAUAGAAGUGUAAUUCCUCCAUUAUUAACAUCACAGAACUUUUCGACCCACUGUGGAAGGGCUUAUUUGGUUAUAAGAUUAAUGAUCAUAUAUGACUAAUAUUCUGUGGGAUUGAAAUUUAGUUUAAAUUUUUAAGUUUAGAGUUUUUUCUCUGUUUAUUUUACUUGGGAGACUAUAAGGCACAACCGUACACAACUGGACUUUAUGUGAGGCCUAUGAUAAACCCCGGAAGGAUACCGUUUGAGACCACGAAAAUCUCAUGAAUUAUAAUGUCAGUUGUUGGAUUCAUUUGCCCUUAAUGUAUGAUAUGUAAUGGCCCUAAUCAGGUAGUGAAUUUAUGAGUUUUGACUUUCAAUUGACCCUAGCUCUAAAAAAAAUGCUACCAACUUUCAGACAUAAUUUUGGUAAUUUAAAUUUAAAGGUUUGCAGGUUUAGUGCCGUCUAGGUUGUUGGUAGUGGCCGCACCCAAACGAUAAAUGGUUUAAUUAGAUUAGGGUUAAAAUCUUUAGGAAAAUCCCGUCAAGAGUAAUAUGGUGUAUGCAUGGCAAAAUUAUCAUAUUUGGAUUUGGGACAAUGAAUGUAAAUGUGUGAUGAGAGAAUCUGGUUCAGAUUUUAUCAGGCACUUUCCCUCCAUUUGCAAAUACCACCUUUCGUAAUUGGUAACGAAUUGAAAGCUCUCACCUAACCUUUUUUGCAGGCACUGCUUGGCGAAGGUACAUGAAAGUCGACCUUCUCUCAUCCCUAUAAAACUGCAACACUUUCUCUUCCACAUCCCAUCCCUUGUGCUUUGCUGCCUCCUAUAUCUCUCUGUCUCUCAGUCUCUUUGAAGCUCUCUCUCUCUCUCUCUCUCUCUCUCUCUCGCUCUCGCUCUUUGUUCAUUAUGAUGUCUAUGUCCUCUAAACCCUCAUCCCUUGAUGUAUUGGCUGUAGUGGCCUUAGCCUCUUCCGAGGAGGCAGAAUCUAAAUAUGACUUCCCUGAAUUCCCAGAAGCAGAUUUCAUGGAAAGCCAUGAGAUACAAACCACUGUUGGCUCGAGUAGUACAAUACAAGAGGAAAAGUUGCGACAAAUCAAAAUCUUGCUUCGGAGAAUGAUUAGGGUGAGUCUCUGCCUCUUAACUAAUAUUUCGGCCCCUCAAUCUCCAAUUAAAAUGUACUUUGUAUACUUGGAAUUUGAUUAUAUGGUUAAUUGUCAGAACAUUUUCAUUUAACACAGGAAAAAACCGCAGAGUUGAAGGCCAGGUGGGGAAACCCUGAAAAUAUGCAGAUCGUAGUGUACCAACCACCUCAACAUGCUGACUACAUGAAUAUGGCAGCGAACAUCCAUGUAUAGUUUCAUUCGCUUAAUUAACCAUAUAUAUAUGUAUAUAUGUAAUGGGUUUUAGGUUUUCUAGCGAAGUGUUAUAUGAUUUUCAUUCUCACCUAAUUUGUUUUGCAUAUCCAGCCAGAGGUCGCACAAGUUCAAGAAAAGCCAGCAAGAUCGCCGACAACUGUAUUGAUCGGAGAUGACAUAGUGUCAUUUGAAUUACCGGAAGAUUUUUCUGAGGAUUUAAAGACGGUAUAUACAUAGCUUUACUACUUUAUGUACUAGUUAUAUGUAGUGUGAAAGGUCUCAUAUUAAUAUCAUGUGUUUGUGAAUGACUACAGCUGAUACCGGAAGGGCCUCCUCGCCGAUUUUCCUUCUCUGAGAGACUAGAUGGCUGGAGGAUUAGUCGAAGACAACGAUCCGAUGGAGGGAAGGACAUGGUAAUUAUUCGCUAGUCUGUUGGCACCCGCUAAUGCGCGAGCUAGUUUUUUUUUUAAUUAAUUACGUGGAAAUUAUUUGAUUUUUAUAAUUUUGUACUUUUUAAUAUUAACUUUUCAUUAUUUAUUUUAUUGUUUUAACUAGUAAAGAAAGAAAAUAAAAGCAAAAAAUUGGAAAUAAAUGUGUGUGGGUAGUGGGUUUGAUGCAAACAAACAUCAAUUUCUAACCCUCGUUAGUUCAGUUGUUAUAUUUUAAAAUCGUCAUUGAAUCGAGAUUUGAGUCGUCUUGGAGUAAAGCCACAUACUCAACAACGUCUCUGUCGGCGAGAACAUCUUGAUCGAAAGCUCCAUACGCUGGUUCGAUAAGCCAAGGAAAAACAACCAAAUGAAUCUACCGGUGUUAAGCAUCUAACUGGCAUCUUUUUCUAAAGGCCUUAGUAAGGAUAGGUGGUGCAGGUUAUAGGGUCCUUGCCAAACUCAGUCAUUUAUAUACAAAUAUAUAUAAUAGAGAUUUUUGGUGGAGAAAUUGAUUAAGCAAUUUUGAAAACCUAGUUUUCGUUUCUUUUUGCCCUCAAAAUUCUAGAUUUAUAAACUUUUCGUUAAAAUCUUUAAAAUGCAUUGGAGUAAAGUAAUUUCAUCACAUAUAUAUAUUUUCUAAAGUUGAAAUGUUUCAUGAAGUACUAUAGACAUGAGAAAUCAAACUCCUGUUUGAUGAGAUCGAUUAUCGAAGCAAUUAGAUUCAUGAUGUAUGAGACAUACCCAAGCUUAAAUGAUGAGGUGAGUUACAUCAAUCAAUUUCAUAUACGCAAUUGAUUUUGUUCACUAUACUGUACAUAUAUCUUUGGCAUGUAAAACUUUGAAAUAUAUAAAUACGCAUUUGAUUUUGUUCACCAUACAACAUUUUUUGGUUUAUGUUUAGGAUGAAAGAAAGACAAGAUCAGCACCAAGAAAGAGAAAAGCUUCGGAUGUUGGCUGUAGCAGCAAUGAUAUCUCGGAGGAAAAUAUGCAAGGUUUUGAUGGGGAACCCUAUACGGAAGAAAGGGUGACAGAAUUCUUUAAGUCGGCCUACGAAAGAUUGGUGAACCUGAAAUUUGUUGAUAAAACGGAGACCGAAAGUACUCUUCCUAUUCCCUGCUCCUUGUACCUAUAUAUAUAUAUAUAUGUAUACGUAUGUGUGUGUGUGUAUCUACAUUACUCUUUCCUUCUAGUGCACAUCAAAUCUCUUGAUAUUUCUAAUGGGCUGAUUUACUCUCCUUUAAUCCGUUGAAUUUUCUCAGGACCAAAACCAGAACUUCAAAAUAUUCCGAAGGAAAACCAAUCUCCUCUGCGCACUUUUUGUUCUUCUCGAGAAGGAGAUGCUGACAGUCACUCCGCUCCUUCUUUGUAUGUCGGCGGUAGUGUAAAAGCAGGAGCAAUAGCUACAACUGAGAUAUUUCAGGACUUAACAGGCGAUAUUGAGUUAUCCGAGCUGAUUAAUCAAAGGGAGUGCCCUAAGUUGGAGGAAGUCGGGAUAACCCCCAUCCGGCCUCUGUCAUAGCCCGAUGAUCUCGACAACGCAUGAUAUUGAGCUAUAUUUUAAGGGUAGAGUGGGUUGAGUUGGGAAGAAUCUUUCUUGGGCAAAUUUUUUUUCUUGAUCCUUGUAGUGAGAUACUACUUUUAAAUCGACCUCUACAGUGAAAAAAGUGUUAAUCUUAACCCUGUGGUGAAGUUCGUUAUCAAUUGUAGUCCAAAUUGAAAUUUCUGUUAAAAUCUCAUCCACAUGAAGGGGUAAAAGUCAUUCCAUUCUUUUUUCUUUUCUUUUUGGUAAUUCCACUUUUUUUUAUAAUCAACAAAAAUAAAAGGAAAACAAAAAUUCCUCCCCAAUCCCUACUCUUGUCAGCCAUAGCCACGACGACCACCCACCACCUUCCCCCCUCUCUCUCACAUAACCCUAGCCAUCCCAUCCACUAUUGUUAUUAAAAUAAAACUAAAUUCAAUGUUUGCAUAAUAACUUAUAUUCUAACAUAAACGCAGUGAGGUACUUUGUGAUUUUUUAAAUCUUGAAUUUGGACUCUUGGCUCUCUUGAAAUGAGAAAAUCUAAUAAUAUGAACCUUGUCAUUUUAUUGUUUAUUUAUUCUUUUAUUGUAGUUCUAAAAGUUUUUUAAAAAAAAAAUUGUGUUCAUAUGAUGCUUUAUGAUUGGUUCAUAGAAUCAAUAAAAACGAAAAUAACAAUUUUACCCCUACAAAUGAUGGAAGAAUGAGGAAAAAUCCAAUUUGGACUAUGAUUGAUAACGAAUUUCAUCACAGGAUUACAAUUAAUAACUUUUUCACCACAAGGGUCUAUUUAAAAGUAGGAUAUCACCACAAGGAUCACGAAAAAAAUUUGGCCUCUUUCUUGAGCUUAGCAAGCAGGUGGUGUUUCAUGGAGAGCAAACUCCCGAGAUAUUAGUGUUUUUCUUUUUAUUUCAGUUUCUUUUUGCUCUUUUGCAUACUAUUCUAUUAUUUAAUGAACUGAAUUUACAUGUGUUUAAGAGAAUAAAAUAAAGGUAUUUAUUGUCAGUAACUACUUCCUCUUCCUCUUGUACUUGAGGUAAUUUUAUUUUGUAUUUUUAGAGUUUUUUUUCUUUUUUUAAUUAUUGCAUUAAUUCCUUAAAAAAUUAUUAAAAAGUAGAGAAGUAUUAUAGUGAUACUGAAAGCUUAUUGCAUAUGAAACUUAAGGAUAGUGAUACUGAAAGCUUACUGCAUAUGAAACUUAGGCCAUCUCCAAAUGAAAAAGCUAUGUUUAGUCGCCGUUCAGAUUAUAGUCCUGCGAGAAAUGAUUUUUUAAUUAACAAUGCUAGACCAUAUUUAUAUACCAUCUCCAACUGAAGGAAACUGUUUUUAAGCCCCUCAAUAUUUAUUAUUUUAAGUUUGUUCUUUAAUUUUAUUGGUUAAUUAAAUUAAACUAUCAUAUUAAAAUAAGGUUAUUGCUUAACCGGACAAACGGAAUUGGGAUCUCUUUUGCCUCUGGACAUAUUUUAAGUGUCACUUGUCACUAAAUGAAUAAGUCUCCGAACAUAUUUUGAGUGCCACUUGAAGAUGUGGCCAUUUGAAAUUUAUCAAAAAAAAUAAAGGAAAAAUUAUUGGAAGAGGUAAAAGAGGGGUUUGUAUGAAAAGAGCGUUUAAGGUAAAUAGAAUGUGAAGAAUUCAAAUAAAAUGAGGUAAGAUAGUAUAGAAGAGUGAAAAAGGAUGUGAGAAAUGGUGUAGAAAUGUUUUAGGUAUUUAUAGGAAAAAAAUAGAUUUUUUUUUUAAUUUCUCUUAAAAAAAUCCAGCUAGGCCCAACUAAAAAGGAUGGCUGACUAGUUAAAGAUGGCCAGCCCAUUGGCCAUAUCGCUGGAUUUGGGCCCGAUGGAUCCCAAGAUUUUUUGCCCCAGACCUUCAUUGAAGAUGGGUUUUGUAUCAAAAAGGCUAUCCUUUGGCCUAUGGCCCUAUGAUGGCCCAAUUGGAGAUGGCCUUAAGGAGAUUCAUUUGGUCCUUUUCAUUUUUUUAUGGGGUUUUUAGAUUUUAGGGCUUCAAUAAGAUUGUUUUUAGAUUUUAACAUGAAUGGUUUUCAAAAUCUAAUAUAAGUCCUUAUUUUUAAAACUUACCAUAUAAGUAAUUAUAGCACAUUUUUUAUUUAUGUUACCCUUCGAAAUUCUUUACCCAUCCAUAAUAAAUGAAUAUUUUUUGUUCUCCAAUCAUAUUAAUAGAUAAAAAUUUAAUAAAUUCAUAUUCUUAUUAUUAAAAAAAAACAACAACAAAACAAAAACAAUUUAUACAUUUUCGGUACCUUAUUUUAUUCAUAGGUACGGAAGUAUUGGUACAUAAGUUUCGGUACGAAUGUAUCAAUACAUAACUUUAGGUACCUUAUUUUACUCAUAGAUGUAGAAGUAUUAGUACGUAAGUUUCGGUACAAAUGUAUCACUACAUAACUUUCGGUACGAAUGUAUAUAUCGAUAUAAAUGUGUCGGUACAAAUGUAUUGAUAUGUAACUAUGGUAUCUAAACAUACAUAUAUACGUAAUAUGCAUAUACAUAAAUAUGGAGAAAUUUACGCACAAUGAAAAAUAUAUGAUAAAUAACAUUUUUAAUUUUUAUGAGAAAUCAAUGUAUAAACUACAAACAAAAAACUCAAUAAUUAUUACAACCUAUUUAAUAUUCAAAAAUUAAAAUUAAAUGUCAAUGAUUAGAAUUAGUUUUUAAUCUUAGACAAGGUUUUAUUCAAAAAGUAAUCUUAGACAAGGUUUUAUUCAAAAAGUAAUCUUAGACAAGGAUUAAAAUAUAACUUUUCGGUUUUUUUUAUCUUAUUUGUUCACCACACUCACUUUUUAGGUGAUUGCAUGCAAAACGCUAACAUUCUUCAAUAUCAUUGAUGCAAUUGUAUGUCCAUUCAAGCUUAAGAUAUAUCAAAACCGUCCUCUAAUUAGACAUUCAAAUGAAGAUUUAAGACUCCAGGCCAGGCCAGACUCUGUGGAGUUUUAGAGGAUCUGCUUUGUACAUUAAAAUUCUAUGAAUUAAACAAGAAUUUGAACCUGCAUGCGAGGUGGCUUGUCCACUUAAUUGAUCUUUUUAUCAGUUGACACAUUGUGCGCACAUAUACAUACAUACACAUAUAUAUACAUAUAGGAUUCGUAUAGAAAUGUUCUCGUGACUAUCACAUAACUUUCAUUGCCUUUCAUGUUAAAGGAAGGAAAGAAAGCCAACACAAUUUGGAUGGGAUAAAUAUUGUCGACUCGUUCAAGCUUCCGGGAGAUCUCCCUCGGGCUGGUCUUGACAUUGAGAAUGUAAAGUACCAUUCCUAUAAACAGUGAUCUGUACCAUGACAUGCAUAUUUUUCCCCCAACUAAUUGUACUUGUCAACUGCAAAAACCUUUAUAUAUGCUAUUUCCUGUAGGACGUUAUGUGAUGAGGGACUCAUUGUGUAUUUUGUUCAUUGCUGCAGUUAGUGCCCACGGACAAUGGGAUCCGUGAAAGUAUAGCUGGAAGAGUUUGCAGAUUUUCUUUUGCAGAAAGACUCAAGGGUUGGAAGAUCAAGUGCACAAAAAGAAAAUCAGGAAGUCGUACAGACACGGUAAUUUGAUUUUGAAUUUGUUUCUUGUUUGGAUCUCACUGAACUCUUUUAGAAAGUGUUGAAGAUCCUAAUAACCCUAAUUACCCAAAGUCCCUUUAUGUGAUUAUGGAACCAUAACUCCGUGAUCUUUUCUUAGAGAACUCCAUAUAUAUAAAUUGUUUAACAACAACAACAACAACAACAACAACAAAGCCUUUUCCCACUAAGUGGGGUCGGCUAUAUGAAUCCUAGAACGCCAUUGCGCUCGGUUUUGUGUCAUGUCUUCCGUUAGAUCCAAGUACUCUAAGUCUUUUCUUAGGGUCUCUUCCAAAGUUUUCCUAGGUCUUCCUCUACCCCUUCGGCCCCGAACCUCUGUUCCGUAGUCACAUCUUCGAACCGGAGCGUCAGUAGGCCUUCUUUGCACAUGUCCAAACCACCGUAACCGAUUUUCUCUCAUAUUUCCUUCAACUUCGGCUACUCCUACUUUACCUCGGAUAUCCUCAUUCACAAUCUUCUCCUUUCUCGUGUGCCCACACAUCCCACAAAGCAUCCCACAAAGCAUCCUUAUCUCCGCUACACCCAUUUUGUGUACGUGUUGAUGCUUCACCGCCCAACAUUCUGUGCCAUACAACAUCGCUGGCCUUAUUGCCGUCCUAUAAAAUUUUCCCUUGAGCUUCAGUGACCUACGACGAUCACACAACACGCCGGAUGCACUCUUACACUUCAUCCAUCCAGCUUGUAUUCUAUGGUUGAGAUCUCCAUCUAAUUCUCCGUUCUCUUGCAAGAUAGAUCCUAGGUAGCGAAAACGGUCGCUUUUUGUGAUCGUCGUUAGAUUGCUCCGGUCAUUAGUGUGGAUAAGUAUAUAAAUGGAUAGAGAUAGGAAAGCAAACACCAGAUGUACGUGGUGUUUGCAAGAUAUAAAUUGUUUGUAUCUGUAAAAUCUUGCAAGUUGAAAAGAAAGAAUUCUAUGAGUAGUUUUUUCUGAAAAUGAAUGUUUAUUUUGCAGUUACGUACACACAAGAACUCUGUCAACUUUAGAUCGGCAGUUGAAGUGGUUACCUUCAUACUGUAUGAAGCAUACCCAUCUGAUAGACCAUCAAAAAGGGAGGCGCAAGUAAAUGCCGAGGAACUAAUGGUCGAUGAGGAGGAACUAAUGGUUGAUGAGGGUUUGUUCGAAGGACUCGAGCCGCUAAAUGGUAGAGUUUUCGAUCUACCGGAAGUUGAUGAAAGUUUUUUGUUGCAUGUCACGAUGUGAUGACUAAAAGAGCAAUAGUGAUUGCAUGAAUGGUUAUCCGUCGUUAAUGUAUGUGAACUUUUUAGGUGAUUGCAUGCAAAACGUUAACAUUCCUCAAUAUCAUUGAUGCAAUUGUAUGUCCAUUCAAGCUUCAGAUAUAUCAAAACCCUCCUCUAAUUAGACAUUCAAAAGAAGAGUAGGACUCCAGGCUAGGCUAGACUCUGUGGAGUCCAAACAUUUGCAACUGUCACUUGUGGAAACCUACUCAGUUUCGAGCCCAAAAAAGGAUACUCAAUGCCGGAUUGGACUAGCACUUGUAAUACAAAGAGUUCGAAUCCCCUUCCUCGUAGUCAGAUUAGUUUAAAACAAAGAGUUGGAUCAUUUUUCAGUAGGUUCAAAUACGGAAGCAUAAGUUUUCCAGAAACAGGUAAAAAUAUAAUUGUAAGAACUGCGAAAAGAUAAUACAGUCAUUCGGUCCAGGCCAAUAGCCAGACGGUAUACGUAAUAAAACACCUAUGACAGCAUUUCAGAUCAGAAUGCACACGAGAUCAAAAGCAAGGAAAGAAACAAAGCAGAAAACAGAAAUAGAAAUAGAAAUUCGGACCUCAUGCGUCUACAAUGACCAUGUAAAACACAUAUUUCUCACCGGCCGUUAGGCUCAACAAUCCUUGGUCUGCCUCCCAUCUGCUCGAGAAACUGGGAGAGACGCAAAUGCUUCGCGGCCCAUUGCUCAGCCAACUUCUGCUCCUUUGCUUCUGCAUCCCUCCUUAGCCCUGCUAACUGUUCCCUGUAUUCUGCUUCGAUCCUGUCUAGAGCAGCCUUCUGCUCUUCCCUUAGAGCCUUCACCUUGGCUUCAAUCUCUUCCAUCUUCUCCCUCCUCCGACAAGCCUUCUCCGAAUCCAGUUGCAACUCCACCCUUCUUAACCUCCACGAAGCUUCCUUCUUAUGCACUGCCCAAGCACGGUGCAUUUCCUCCAACUCUCUGGAGCACUCCACCAACUCAGAUAUCACUAGGUUCUCCCCACAAGCGGGAACUACACCAUGAUGUGGCAAAUUUCCCACAACAAAACUACCAUCUGAUCCUCGAUCCUGCUGCAGCCAAGGGAUUGGCGGAGAGGGUGCCACUGUCGGGGACAGACUCAGGGUAACAGAAGGAGAUGGUGGCCUCACAUUGGGGGACACACUGGAAUUAGAAAGCCAAGGAGGAAGAAUCGUUGGCGCUGGAGAAGAUGUUUCCGUAUGAAGAUAGGCCCCGUUUGAAGUAGCCAUGAGAUAGGUUGGCGCACGCUCCUUCACCAACUUCUCGGCAAAAGUUUCAAGUAUUGUAUCGUAUUUACCCUCCACAAUAGGGUCAGUUAUCUUCUUGUUCUUCUGUUCUCUUUGCUGCUUCUCUUUGAACACUUCCCACCACUUUCCCAAUCUCUUAGCCGUACGACCAGGGACUUCAGCAGCAAUUUUCUUCCACUUAUUACCGUGUUUGGCUUGAAGACAAAUGACAAGGCGCUGCUCCUCUUCAGUUAGGGAUCCUUUCUUAAUGCCGGGUUUGAGAUAAUUCUUCCACCUUUCUAAGCAAGAUUUAGCAUCCCUGUCUAGGGGUGUGUUCAUGCGCUGCGAUACAAGGUUCCACUCCCUUGGUCCAUAUUGCUUCACAUAUGCACGUAACAAAGCGUCCUCUUCAGCACUCCAACGCUGUCUCUCCUUCAUCUCCAGGAGCACGCACAAUUGUCCAUUGCCUCAAACCGAAACUCUUCAUAAUGUAUCUGGGAUCCAGACGCCAUUAUAUUAGUCGAUCUCCUACUGUGAUUUUAUGAUAUGUUAAUGUCAAAAAGGAAAUAAACAACUGGAUAGGAAGGAACUAACUAGCUAAGACUAUGAAAACCAAAAGAAGCAGAUACAGCUACCAGAUGAUAGAAACAAUGAGGCUAAUAUGUGCAUCAAACGGUAAAUUUCCUCUAAUGGAAUGAAAUUGCGGCCACCAGUUGCAUGCUUGUUUUGAAACCAGGAUAACAAUUUCAUCGCCCAUGCAUGCAUUUAAGACAAGAAAAUAAAGGAACCUCCAUAAAUUCCUGGUGCCUUCACCAGCCAUUCAACCACUAAUAGUCAAAUACAGAAACGGAAAAAAUUUAAGAAGAUGAGCAUUCUCAUUGUAGUUCAACAGUCGAGACAUCAGCAAAAUAACAAACUGACAAGUAAUGCUGGAUUUAACUAGGAUUAUGUUAGAGUUUUGAUGAACAAAAGGAGAAAUGCUUAAUCCUGAAAACUGGUCAAAUAUAUUCCAAUUGGCAUACAACGAACACAAUGGCUAUUUCUUCAGCCAAAUCAUUAAACUUAGAGAGCAUAUCGGGUCUGGCAUGCGUAUAAAAAAGUUGAGAACAGGGCAGCUCUUUGUAAGAAAUCCUUUCCAUACAAACUUAUUAACUUUAGACAGGAAAAGGGACGAUGACAAACUAUAACAUGAUACAUUUCGAGAUGAAUAAUUCAAUUAUUUCCAUAAUUUAAUAUACAUUGUACUUAUUAACUGGUGUACUUAUAUACAGUAAAUGGAAGAUAACAAACAAGCACAUAAUAUAUUUCACAAAGUUUGAAUAAUUCAAUUAUUUACAUAUGUAUUAUUUAUUUUUAAUUUGGUAAUUAACUAAUAGGUAUUUAUUAAAAUAUAAACUUAAAUACUCCCUACUUCAGGGUAUAUGUAAUGAUUCAGAAUAGCCAGCAUAAUAUGAUGAUUUAAUUUUAUAUAGGGUGUGAUUUCCACUCUCCAUUGCACCUCUUGCACUCACCCCUUAAUUUUGUUCCUUGAUUUUUUUUGUUCCGUUUCAUUAAAUGACCAAAAAGAAAGAACCAUAACGAAAGAAGGGAGUGCGUAAGGUCAAAACGGAGUGCAGAAGUCACUCCCCUAUAUAAACUAAAGUUAUCUUUCUCACAACAAAGGUAAAAAUAUUACAUUAAACACAAAAACAUCAGAUACCGAAAUUAAUCGAAGCAACUGAUUGAUUUUAGGUACGGUAAUUCAAUCGAGGAUCACAAAACAAGGUGAAAAAUGAAAACUGAUCUCACCAACAAACGCUCAAAAGUUCAUCUUAGGAUACAGAAAUUAAUUCGAGACACCCGAUUGGUCACAAAACAAGGUGGAAAAUAAAACUGAUAUUCACGUUUGGGCUGCGGAUAGACCUUCUUAGCUAUCCAAUUUUGAUCUUAUGGUACAUUAUUUUUUUCUUUCCAAAAUGCCAACAACAAAAAACACUCAAAAGUGACAGAACACUGCCAGAUUACCAAUAUGUUUACAAAUAUGCUCCAAUGCUUAAUUAACGGCCCACUAAUAAACCAAAAAUUGUCAAUGAUCAACCAAUUAAGAACCAAAUAAAAAGGCCAACCAACCGCCAUGAUUUAACAAUGAGUAAUGCUAGAGAGACACCAAGCCUUGGAAUAUAUCACAUUUUCGAGAAAAACACUUCAAAAACGAUUGACGUUACUGUGGAAGAAUGACACCAAAUUAACUUGACAACUAAUUAUCACUUAGUGCAGCAAAACUUAUAAUUGUCCGAGUGUAAUUUUGUUUUCUAAUUUACUAUCAUAGUUAAGAAAAAAGUAAAAAAAUCCGUACUUUAUAGCUUUAAAUGUUUUGAUCAUCUCUUACUCUGCAAUUUGGUUUGUGGGGCUAUGGGGUCUAUUUUCUAAUUUACUCACAUGAAAAUUUCAUCUCUAAAGAUUAUAAGAUCUUACCACACAUUUACUUUCACCGACACCAUUAAACUAAUUAACAAAACAAAGUACAACAAUCGAUAUCAGAAUUGAGACAACACGCAUAGAAAUUAGUAAAUUAUAAUCAACAACCAACCAUGCAAACCAAUCGUCACUAAAUCACUCUAAUACAGCAGAUUCUUAUCCGCAGAAAACAGAGACUGGAAUUGCAGACAAAACUAAGAACAACCCAAAAUCUUGUUUUGAAAAAAGAUUAUGUUUUUCCCCAUAAACCCACAACCUAAAUUGUAGAAUUGGUGAAAAUCAGAACUUUUAAGCUAUAAAGUACGAAACUUUUUGCUUUUUUUUUCUUAAAUAUUUGCACAGUUAUACGAAAUGUGGAAAUUAGGAGGAUGAGAGAGAGGGACUUACAUAUCUGCUUAAGUGUACGACGGAACCAACCUUCGUCCACGACGCAUCUCCGCCCAAAACUGAUAACGGAGAGAAUUGGGAGGAUGAUAAAACAGAGAAAGAUGUGAUCUUUCUGUGUUUAUGAAGCAGACAGAGAAAAGGGAGAGAGAGAGCGCUCAAACUCCAAAAACAACCUAGAGAGAGAAAAAAAUCCCUGGCUAGAGAGAGAAGUGAAGAAAAAAGGACAGAAGCGACUAGACUUAUAUGUGUAGAGAGAGAGAGAGAUGGGAUGUGACGGAACAAGAGGAGGGGAGAAAUCUGACAGAGAGCGUAAAAGAAGGGCACGCGAAUGGAGAGCCAAGGAGGCAAAAGCAGCCCCAUGACGUCCUUUUUAUUUUAUCAUAUUUAGGAAAUUUAAUUUCCCUAAAAUAACACAAUUAAAUUUGAAGAAAUAGAAAAAAGAAAAGAAAAGAAAAGCAAGGUUUUUACUGCUGAGCUCCACCACAACCGUCGCCAGCCUCAAGGACAAUUUAAAAUUUAUAACACAUAAAAGCUGCCGCGUUACUGCUGCUGCUGCCGGUUGUGGAAAGGCAGAGGGAGAGGCGGAGGCGCUCGAUUUCAGCGCUUAUAUUGCGCCCCCCAUGUAUCAGUGUUUUGCGGGAGUAAUGGCGAAAACAUGAUGGUGAUGAUGAUGAUGAUGAUUAGGUUUAGGGUUAGGGUUAGAACUUAACAUAUCAUCCUCUCUUUUAACUAUAUAUAUCAUACUAGUAUCUGCAUUUACACAUCACAUCAUCCAUGUUAGCAAUCUUAGGGUUGGUUUGUGCGUUAAUAAACAUUCAUUCAUUGCAUGCGAUAGGAUAAUUUACGUGAUGGGGUGAUAAGAGAAUGUUCGGUUUUCUUAACAUUUUAUGGUGGGUGUAUCAGCGCUCAAAUUGAGUGCUACUUACGUACUCUAUAGUAUUAUUUUUUAUGAGAAAUUAGCUUCUCAUCAUUUCUUUUACUACUCUAUUGAUUAAAAUCUUUUUUUUUUAAUUUUUUAUCAAGGUUUUUGGGUAUUAAUAACAUCAUUAAUUAUUUCAAUAAUAAAGUAUUUUUACCUAAAAAUAUUCAUUUAGUGUUAAAAAUGUUACAAUUAGUAUAUUUAUAUUUAUGGCUAAAUUUUUUAUCAUAUAUUUUUAUUUUUAGGUGUACCCAUUUUUAAUUUGUACCAUUAAGGUUUUAGUCAAAGAGUGUUCGAGACUAGGAACCACAUCCAAAGUAUCCCUAUUUUUUUAUAUUUGCAUUACCGUUCAUCGUAAGAUUGGUAAGGGUGAAGAGAAGAUAACACACUAUUUAAAACGUAGGGUUUUCUGAAAAUAGGUGUUGCAAAUCAAUAUAGUCAUUCCGUCACAAUUAUGUUAAGUGCUGAUGUGGUACAUAAAUGAGCCCCACAAGAUUUACGAGUUUUUAUCACAAAUAGUCCCUGAAAUUGACUCACACCAUUAAGACGGUCCCUGAAAUUGACCCACAUCAUCAAGAUGAUCCCUGAAAUUGAAAAUCGAUGAAUGUAGUCAUUGAAAAUAGGUGUCACAAAUCAAUAUGAUCAUUUCGCUACAAUUCUGUAAAAAAAAAUAUUGUUAUGUGCUGAUGUGGGUUUAAUAAUUAAUUUAAAAAGUUGUCUAAAUAGAGCUUAACCAAGCCUAAGAGGGGUUUGGAAAUAGUUUUCAACCAACAAUAGACGCAUCUCGAUUAUAACCUCAUUAACCAAGGCCUAACGAUGAUGUCACAAAAAUCGUUGCCAAUCAGCCAAACCGUCAACAAAGGUGAUCUCAAUCUAGGUUCAAUUCGAUGAAGGUGUCAAUGUGUGUAAAGAUGAGUGUAUUGAGAUUUUUUUUUAGAGAAUAGACAACAAAGGAGGUACAGGAAUGUGGACUGAGAUUGGAAGUGAUUGCAAGACUAGGUUUUUGGGAUUCACAACAUUUUAUACUAUUAAAUUAUUAAACCUAUUUGUAAUUUUUUUUAAAUUUAAUUAGACUUGUGUGAUCCAUUUAUGUGUCACAUCAACACAUAACAAAUUUUUUUACAGAAUUGUGAUUGAUGGACUACAUUGAUUUGGGACACUUAUGGAACUAGAUUGAUCGAUUUUCAAUUUCAAAGACCAUUUUGAUGUCGUAGGUCAAUUUUAAGGAUCAUUUGUGAGAAAAAAUGACUUAUGUUUAUACCAUAUUUAAGGCCUCGUAUUUAGAUCUCGUACAAAUACUCGGGGGACUUAAAUGUAAUUAUGUGAUAAAGAAAAAGGCAAAUAUGUAAUAAGUGAGGAGUCCUUAUUCUAUAAAAGGACCCCUCACCCUCACCCUCACAAUUAGAGGAGGCCAAUUCCUAGCCCUUUCACCCCCUCUCAAAGCUCUCACUCUCAAAGCUCUCUCUCCCUCAGAUAAAUAAAUAAUCAGUGUGGACGUAGCCCAAACCUUGGGGUGAAUCACGAUACAUCUUGUGUUAUUUACAUUUCAUGCAGAUUCACAGUCGGAUUUACGUUGUUCCAAGACCUCCGGUUUUGUGUAUCAACAUUUGGCGCCGUCUGUGGGAAUCGACACGAAAAACUAUGUCGGUUCUCUUUCGUUUUUUCACCUCCGCCGUGGAUCUGCAAAACCCACAUAGAGACACAUACACAGGGAUUCCAACUGAAAAAAUGAGGAAGCAUGGAUGGCCUGGUGGCGGCUCUUCUUCAAGAUUGGAUCAAUCUCUUUCUGCUCAUUUCCAAUGGCAGCCAUAACUCGCGUCUCCAGGAGAGCCUUAACCUCUUUCUCCAGCUCAGCCCAGUCAUCCGCCUUCCACCGCACCUUCUCCACCGAAGCAGCAAAAGCCACGGCAACAACACCCUCAGAGAGAGGAACAAAUGUGCGGAAGCAAAGGUGUUUGUAACCAAAGUUAUGGGUACUGAAAACCCUAGUCGUCCAAAUUUUAUUGCAAGACCUGCCACUGCACCUUUUGCGGCUCCUCCUCAAAACAUAAUGCCUUUUUCAUCUUCAGGUCCCAUGGGUGGACAGGAGGCAUACGGUUUUAAACCUCCACCUGUCACGCAACAGACACAUUUUUUCAUCAUCUGAGCUUGUGGUUGGACCAAAUGCCUCUAACUUCAGGCCUACUUCAUCGGUUCCUCCACAAACUAAUGUGCUGUUCUCAUGGGCUCAAUAAUUGGAUUCAUUCAUUUAAUCAAAUUAUUGAUUGAUUGAUUGAUUCGCGCGAAAUCGAAAUUCAUAAUCUAUACGACGUCAUGCUGACUGAUCAACGACUUUCACGACGACGACGAGACAUGGUGGGGGCAGCGGUAUAGGUAUGGAUUUUCUGACCGAAGAGACGGCGUCGUCCUUCUCUUCGCCUCCGAGACUUCCCACGAGGCUCAGACGGAGGCUCAACCUUGUCUACUCAAACAAGACUCCAACCAGCUGCCGCGAACCACUCCAUACCUGUCGUAACUCCAAACUAUUCGCAGGGUUCCAAUGCCCAUACACCCGUGGAGGUAGAUGAGGAGUUCGAGCCUCAAAUCACGGACCGAAUCCAGAUCCUGAGUCCCAACCCGGCCGACCACUCAAGCGGCUCAAGAGAGGGGUGGCUGAGAAGCGGGAACCUACGCCAGCGACUUCGUGUCGUAAUGUUGACGACGAUACUGAAGAUUUCCCGUCUGAGGAAGAUUUUGUUCAAGGUUUAUCGUUGCAAAACUAGGCAGGAAUUAAGUGGUUCAGCAGUUUGGUGCCGGAGACAGGUCACGAAGCUUGCUCUUCAAUGCGAUCGCAAAUCAAUCAGCCUGGACGACGACGUUGUGGUCUUCUGGGUUUUCAAAAUCAGGAAAUUGAUUCGACUUUGUUAGUGGUUUUGGAAAUCAGGAAGGACCUCCGGUUUUGUUAGUGGUUUUCUGGGUUUUUCGAAAUCUGCCGCAGAUAAGAAUUGAAAUUGAUGGGUUUUGGAAGAGUCUGGUGGGUCCUAUAAUUGUAUGACUUAUCUCUCUGGAGUAGAGGGAGAAUCAUGGGGGAGCACAUGGCGGACAAUGCAAAAGAAAAAGAGAAAGUAAAGCAGAAAAGGAAAAGAGAAAAGAAGAAAAAGGGCAAAAUUAUAAUGUUCUUAUUAUUACGAUUCCUUUUGUCUGCCAAAUGAAGAGACAAAGAGAGUGUAGUAGAAAAACACAAGCAAUAAACACCCGCACUGCAAAAACAAGGAAUAAACACCCCACCAGAGUGAUGUGGUUUGCUUUUCUUGUUUUUGUAUGAUGUAAUUUAUUUUUCUUAUCUUUUGGAGAUAUCUGUAUAAACCCCAUCAGAGGGUAAAAAAAAGAAAAAGGCAAAGCCCAAAAUAAAUAGGCUGGAAUGUUGUGUAAAGAGCGAAUGCUUAUAAGCCCAAAAUAGCACCAACCAAGUGAACCAAAGUACGUCCAGUAACACAAAAAAUUAUUCGGCACCCCGCCGCUAUUAUUGCCAACCAGGUGAUGAAAUGUACAACCCGUACUCUAAUAUCAUUUGGCAACUUGCCACUCAUGCCACCAACCAGGUAAAGAAGGAACUCAUCUUCAUGUCACCAACCAGGUGAUCAAAAGUACGCCCAGUACUCCACAAUUAUUCGGCAACCCGUCGCUAUUACCACCAACCAGGUGAUGAAAUGUACAACCCAUACUCUAAAUAUCAUGUGGCAACUAGCCAUUCAUGCCACCAACCAGGUGAUGAAAUGUACAACCCGUACUCUCCUUCAUGCCACCAACCAGGUGAUCAAAAGUACGCCCAAUACUCCAAAUUAUACAUGAGCAUGACUCAUGUCAUUCAUACAUAAACAUUUAUGAGCAUCACUCAUAUCAAUCAUACAUAAACAUUCAUGAGCAUCACUCAUGUCAACAUUCAUAAGCAUCACUCAUGUCAACAUCCAUGAACAUUACUCAUGUCAAUCAAACAUUCAUGAGCAUCACUCAUGUCAAUCAACUUCAAAAGCUUCAUUUACAAAAGCUCUAGCUUCGAAAGCUUCAUUCACAGAACUACAGCUUCAAAAGCUUCAAAAGCUUCAUUUACAAAGCUCCAGCUUCAAAGCUUCACUUGCAAAGCUUCACCUACAAAGCUUCAAUACAAGGUAUACAAAUACCACCUCCGAACAACCGCCACUUCGGCCCAUACACGGAUUUAAUUUGAAGUCUCCAGCCAACAGACUCUAUUGACCGAAGACUUGGGGGACUACACUAUACACCAUCUAUUGGGCCUCAACUGGGCCUCAUGAAAAAUACUUGGGGGACUUAGCCCAUUAUUUAUGUAUUGAGGAGCGAGCCCUUAUUCUAUAAAAGGGACUUCCUCACCACCAUUAGAGAGCAUCGCCGCCUACUGAGCAACCGCCUCGCUGCGAGCAUCAACUCUAGCCCAUCACUUAUGUACUGAGGAGCGAGCCCUUAUUCUAUAAAAAGGGACUCCCUCACCUUCAAUGCCACAAGCCGAGCCAACCAAGGUAACAUAAGCCACGAGCUAAGCAGCCUUGCAGCAUGUGCUACUUCUAAUUAAGCAUCAUUUUAGAUUGAGCACUGCCUCAUAUCGAGCAUCAGUUCAAGACAACAUCUAGUUACUUCGGCCCACACAUGGACUGAAUUUCAAGUCUCCAGCCAAAAGACUCUUUUGACUAAAGACUUGGGGGACUACUGUUUAUAUCAUAUUUAGGGCCUCGUAUUUAGAUCUCGUACAAAUACUUGGGGACUUAAAUGUAAUUAUGUGAUAAAGAAAUGGGCAAAUAUGUAAUAAGUGAAUAGUCCUUAUUCUAUAAAAGGACCCCUCACCCUCACAAUUAGAUGAGGCCAAUUCCUAGCCCUCUCACCCCCUCUCAAAGCUCUCACUCUUAGAGCUCUCUCUCCCUUAGAUAAAUACAUAAUCAAUGUAGAUGUAGCCCAAACCUUAGGGUGAACCAUGAUAAAUCUUGUGUUAUUUACAUUUCAUGCAGAUUCACAGUCGGAUUUACAUUGUUCCAAGACCUUCGGUUUUGUGCAUCAACAACUUAUAAGACCCAUUUAUGUGCCACAUCAACACUUAACGAAAUUUUUUAACAUAAUUGUUACGGAAUGACCCUAUUGAUUUGCCACACCUAUUUUCAAAUACUACAUUAAUUGAUUUUCAAUUUCAGGGAUCAUCUUGAUGGUAAGAGUCAGUUUCAGGAACCAUUUGUGAUAAAAACCCUAAAACUUAUUACAUGUGAUGUUCUCUAUCCCUGAAUUUCACAUUUGUGUUACAAAUAAAUUGCUUUCACACAUUUGUUUUGAUCUUAUAUAUUUUUCUUAGAAAUUUUUUGGAUAAUCCAAAACACCAUAAAAAAUUUACUCCUUUUAAAUUGAAUAAUGUAAUGUUUGCCAAAGAAUUAUAAUGACAUAAUAUAUGUCACAUGGAUGGAUGUAGAAUUACGAAAAGAGACAUAUAACAAGGGCAGCAUUAGGUGAGUGAAUCAAUGUCAUCGAGCGCCUGGGUCCUUUUUGGUCCCAUAGGUGGGUUGCCCGAGUGGUAUUAUUUUGGAAAGUUCAGAGCUGAUGAUUGCGUAGGAAGAUUCCUUCCUCUCCUAAUCUCUUUCUGUUUUUUAUUUAAAUGGUUACGAUUAAGCCACGUUAACAUUUUAUAUCGAUUUUUUUUAUAGAAACAAUAAAACGAAAAACAAUAAGAAAAGAGGAGGAAAAAAUAUGAAAAUAGAACGAAAGAGAAUCUUACUAUGAUGAUUGCCCCUGAGUCAGUAGUCGAUGGCGUACUACAAUGACCAAUAAGACCGCAUUUGGCAUUAUUCGAUUGCGGGCCAUAUCAUUGCACGUGUCAACUAGUUGGGUCCGGAACCCUCCUCCCUAAACUAAGAAUUUGGGAUCUUCUUAUAUUUGAUUGGAAGUUUGUCAGACUAGCAUCAGAGAUCGGUUGUUCUUGAUAAAACAAGAAAAGUCUAAGAAAAGUAUCAAAACAUAGAACUUCAGCUGCGAGGUUCUUACUUUACUUGAGUUACGAAUUUCUUGAGGAUUAAAGUCGGGAAAAACUCCAUAAGCUGUUGAAAAUCAACCUUGUUAGUUAGAUUAUAACAAGACAUUUGUUAGACCACAAUAUAAGAAGAAAUUGAUGCAUGUUCUUAUAGCACAUAAAAGUGUGAUUUCGUCGAUAAAUGUCUCGAAAAGCUGAUUAGUCUUGGAAUGGAACCUUAUAUCUUUUUUUUACAGUAGAGUAUGACUAAUUAGUGAGAAUUAAACUUCAACUUUAAUCAUAGUAUCAAAGUGAGUUGGUAUACGUAGGAGUGUACAAUGAUUAUACUAUUCCACGUAACUCAUGGUCACUUUUACGAAUUAAAAAGAAAUAUUCUUUUAAUAUCAAGUGACCAAAAAAUGUAUGAUCACUUAUAAAUUGAAUAUGUUUUUAAUGUUUUAACCCAUAAUAUCAAACCGACAGUAAAGAGAACGAAACUCGAAGAAUAAAAUUUCAACUUCCUUUUAAUUGAGCCCUAAUUAUAUAAUUGAACCCUUUAACAAGAGCAAUGUAACCUAUUUACUUCUUUUGGCAAACAUUGUAUAUUUCGAAGAAGUUUUGUUUCAUAAAAUUUGUUUUAUCCCAGUUUUGUAUGAUUGUAGUAGGGAUGCAAAUUAAGAGCGCCCCCGUGCAUGCUGCAAAUCUGACCAUCGAUUAAAGACAUCAAGAACGAAUUGAGAGAAAAAAAACUAGGAUUCCAAAUCCAUUGACAUUAGGAUCUUCCCAGAAGAGACAGGGCUAGUGCUAGGAUUGUUUGUUUUGAUGAUUCUACAUAUGUACCUCGCACCUUUGUAAUUACCACCCUACCCUAAGGAACCCAUCUCGAGCUACCCUAUUAAUUGGCACCCUACCCUACGAACCCAUCUCUUUCCCAAAAAGACUUAUGGUACGAUACGUUGAAAUCCACAAAAAAAGAUAAAAACAAUUUAAAUAGAAUUAUCUCAUUUUAAUUAAUAUCGAGUUUUUUUUAUAAAAUUCUAUACCUAACGGAUUGUGCAAAUGGUAAUUACCAAGUUGAGACAAUAUUGAUGUUGUUAGAAGUGGGUACUCGGCCCUUCUAUUUGAUAAUUCUACAUGAUAUCAAAGCUAGGGAGCGGACCCGUACUACCACGUCCCUUUGGCCACGCUCGAUGAUGGUGGGUCUGUUGGCCCUGCAUGUAGGGUGAGUCUCAUUGGCUUCGCAUGGUUGCCGAUGUGUUGAUAUCCACGUGUGAUCCACAAAAAUAGAGUCUCACAUGCGGGAGCAUGUUGAAUCCCACAACGGCUAAAGGCAAAGGAUAAAUGCAAUUUAAAUAGAAUUACCCCACUCUAAUUAACACUGAAGUCUUUUGUGGUGCAACCCCACACCUGACGGAUUGUAAGCCAUUUAAGCACAAUCAAUCAGUUAAUUAUUAGAAUUCAACCGUGAAGGGACCAAAGAAUUGACUACGUUACAAAAUUCUCUCAUCUAUGAGAGCACUUCUCUAUGAGAGUUCCUCCACCGUGCGGGUUUGCUAGCUGCCUUAUGAUAAACAACCAUUGAAUACCCAUCCACUGAUCAAAUUUAUUGCUCACUCAACCAUCAGAUCCCUUUGAAAAAAUUUCAAGUAGAACCCCUUUGUAGAAUUUAAUUCCUACCAACCAAACCCAUUUCCACCAUAAAUUCAAAUCCCCUUUUCCAUUUCUAUUCUAUUUAAUCAUUUCAACACAAUUUGUAUUGUAUCCCUUUCCGUUGUCAGAUCAUUCCCACUGAGGGUUAGAUCUGGGUUUGAGGUGCCGUUUACAGGGAUGGCAAGAAGUAGACGGAACAGGACUCCACCCACCAAACAUAAAUGCAUCAGGAAACCUAAGGAAGAUGGCAGAUAAAAAACGCAAAGCAGUGGGUACAACCAUAAAUUCAACCAACGAAACCUAGGUAAUAAAAUAAGGCAAAAAUACCUCCAACUGCUCUCUAUAUCAGCAGUGAAAGCCAACUACUCAGCAAAAAUUAAUUUGGGCAUUAAUGUCAAGGUAUAUGUUUCAAUAGAUGGAUACAAACCCAUAUUAUUAUGCUUGUGGUACUAGGGUACCUACAACUAGAAUCAAAAAGUUGUGAAGGCCAAAAGAGAGUAGAAAAAAAAAAAAAAAACAAAGUGAGAAAUUGGGUAUUGGGUAGAGACUCAAUUGUCUAUCUUUCGUACACUUCGAUCAAACAGUCUGUGAAUCCAAUCAGACUCAGAGACAAAUGGCAUGAGCAGAAGUAGAGAAGUUAGUGGUCCAUCUGGAGAGAAAUAUGGAUCUAUCCACCAUGGAACAAAGAAUCAAACUAGUGGGCACUGCAUUGGUUAACAAAACCUUAACAAAUGGGGCAUUCGUAAUAUACUUAGAUCCUCUUAGAAAGAGUUAAGGGAGGUAGAAGUCAAGUGGGUUAAAGACAACACUUUCAUUAUCACUGUCCAAGAUGAAAGCACCGCAACUAUGAUCCUAAACUAGGUACCGUGGGCAGUCAUGAAGCAGAAUUUUUCAAUCAAAAGAUGGCCACAGAAGUUAGCAUUGGAGGAAGUCAAUAUGGAAGUUGUCUUGUUUUGGAUACAAAUCAAGGGUGUGCCGCCUUAUCUUAACUUAGAAGAAAAUGUGAGACGUCUGGCUUCAAAACUUGGAGAGUUUAAGGAAUUUGAAGAUCCAGCGAGGGCAAAGGGAUUCUUGAGAGUGAAGGUAGCUAUUAAUACCUCGAAACCCCUAAACAUUAGGUGCUGACUUCCAAAUGACAAUGACAACGAGACAUGGAUUAAGUUUUGGUAUGAAAGUGUAAGAUCCCAUAUCGUCCAGGGGAGAGGAUGUGAUGUGCCUUAUAUGUACAUGCCCACCUCCUAAUAGUAAGACGCGUUUUGGGUGGGAAACCAAAAACAAAACCAUAAGGGCGUGGCCCAAAGUGGACAAUAUCUUACUAUGCAGACUGGGAUAUGACAAUUUAGUAUCAGAGUCACUCCCUAGCAGAAAGUGUGCUGACGAGGGUGUUGGGCCCUUAAGGGGGGUGGAUUGUGAGAUCCUACAUCGCUCGGGGGAAAUGAAGUGAUGUGCCUUAUAUGUACAUGCCCACCUCCCUAUAGUAAGACGCAUUUUGGGUGGAAACCUAGGAACAAAACUGUGAGGGUGUGGCCCAAAGCAGACAAUAUCUUACUAUGCGGACUGAGAUGUGACAAUUUGGUAUCAAAGCUACUCCCCAGCCGGAUGUGUGCCAACGAGGGCGUCGGGCCCCUAAGAGGAUGGAUUGUGAGAUCCCACAUCACCUGGGAGAGAGAAGGUGAUGUGCCUUAUAUGUACAUACCUACCUCCCUAUAGUAAGAUGCAUUUUGGGUGAAAACCCAAGAACAAAACCGUGAGGGCAUGGCCUAAAGCGAACAAUAUCUUACUAUGAGAACUGGGAUGUGACAGAAAGACUACAGGACACCUAUUACCGAUGUGGGAGAAUUGGACACUCAAACACUGAGUGUUCGUUUGAAGCUAUGAAAUGUGGUAUGGCUGGGUAUGGAGAAUGGACAAAAGCAGCAUCAGUUCGGGACUUCAUUGAAUCUCCAAGACCUCUGGCUAUUACUUCGGGGAAACCUAGGUACGCUAGGGCAACAAGAGUAGGAUCCAGGAUCUCGAAUCAACGACGGAUAGGGAUUGUACCGAGGAAACAAGUGUGAAAAGUGUAAAUGAUGUUGUGGACCCCAAUCCAAUAGGACUGUAAUAGGAAAAAGGUAAAAGAAUGAAAAGAUGGCAUAGAUUACAAAGAAGAAGUGAAUGACAGAACCUCAACCUGGCCUAGUGGAUAAUGGAAGGCAGUAGGCCUCUGGGCAUCAUCAAUUCGUUAUGGGCUUCAAGCUUGUGAAGUUACGAAGUGAGUAUAGAAGAAACCCAUCGGUCAUGAUUGAGGAAAUUCAGGAAGAUAACUUUACAUAAUCCGAAAGAGUAGUUGUGGUGCCACACACCUAACCUCAAAACAAAGUCCAACAUGGAAAAGUCUGAAAGUGGGAGUGAUUAUACUCCAUAGGUGGAGGGUUACAGAAGCCCUACAUGGGUAAAUCAAGAAACAUAGACCCUCUAUGAUCUUUCUUUCAGAAACAAAAAUGAAAGAUCAUAGAAUAGUAGGGGUGAGGCGGGGUAUGAGAUACUCUAAUGGGUUUAAUGUUGCACCGAUAGGAAGAGCGAGAUGUCUUAGCCUCUGGUGGGAUGAUUCGGUACAAGUGGAAAUGAUAGAUUCAUCAAAGCAUUUCAUUGAUGCUAAAUGUGAUUUUGUUUACUCGCAAUGUGUGUUCCGAUUCACGAGAGUAUAUAGAACGUCUUAUCGAGCUGAGAAGGCAGAAUUUUGGAGGGGAAUGAUUCAAAAAUUCGACCUAGACAACAUCCCAUGGAUAUGUGGUGGUGAUUUCAAUGAAUUAUUGUGGGGUCACAAAAAAUCGGGCGGUGCCGAAGUGGGAUACAACCGACCAAGAUACUUGGAGGAGUUCAUGUGCAAGUUGGAGAUCAUGGAUUUGGGUUUCAAUGACCCCAAGUUCACAUGGAGAGGGACAAGAAAUGGGCAAUUGGCUCGGCUCGGCUCGAUAAGGGGCUUAUGAAUGAAAGUUGGCAGUCACUUUGGCCCAACACUACAAUCACCAAUGGUACAUGUCCAGUAUUAGUGCAAUGUGGUCUGUAUGUUAGAAAAAAGAAAAAGCUGUUUCAUUCUGAGGCCUUCUGGGCAAAAGAUGCCGAGUGCAAAUAGAUUGUGAGAAGAACAUAGGAUAACACCUGAAAUGGGAACUCUUUAGAAUGAUGGAACUUUAAGAUCAAUGCUUGCCGAGCCAAUUUAAUCAAAUGGAAUAUAGAGAAAUUCAAAUAGCGAGGGUGGUAAAUACAGGAGAUGAUGAGCCAACUGGGUAGUUUUCAACAUGAUUGGAGUAGUAACUCUCAAAAAAUUAAAGCUCUAUUAAAAAAAAGUGGACCAUCUGUGGAGUUAGAAUGAGAGUUUUUUGCAACAAAGAUCAAUGGUUCAAUGGCUAAAAGAAGGAAAUGCCAAUACGAAGUUCUUCCAUGAAUCUACCCUACAUAGAAAACGAAAGAACAAAGUGGUGUCUUUAAAAAACAGUAAUGGGGAUUGGGUUGGCAAUCCAAGUCAAGUUCGACGGUUGAUUGAUGAGCAUUUCGUGGACCUGUUCACUUCAUCGAGGCAGCGGGAUUAAGGGCCAUCUUAGAUUUUGUCACCCCAAAGGUUAUUGAGGAAAUGAAUGCAACACUCACAGGCUUGGUCUCAGUGGAUGAGAAUAAAAUAGCAGCUAUGCAAAUGAGAGGUCUUAAAGCUCCGAGCCCAGACGGCUUUCAAGGGAUUUUUUUACCAAUCUUAUUGCGAUAUUAUUGCAGCGGAUGUGAAUGAAAUAAUUGGAGAGAUGAUGAACGGGACUCAGAAUCCAAUACGGAUCAAUGCUACUCAUCUAGUGUUGAUUCCGAAAGUUCAACACCCGGAGUCUGUAUCUUAGUUCCACCCUAUUAGUUUAUGCAACUACUCAUAUAAAGUUCUUUCGAAGGUCUUAGCUAACCGUCUCAAGCAGCCUCUGUUAGAUUUGAUUUCACCAACCCAAAAUGCAUUUGUGGGAGGAAGACAAAUUCAAGAUAAUAUAGGCAUUGCGCAUGAGCUUUUCCACCUCCUCAAAACGAGAAAAACGAAAUGCAAAUUUGAGUUGGGAAUCAAACUGGAUAUGUAUUAGGCUUAUGAUAGGGUGGAGUGGGAUUUCUUAUUGGCAGUGAUGGAGAAGAUGGGUUUUGAUAAUCGAUGGAGAAGUCUGAUAUUGGGUUGCAUUUCAUCGGUGAACUUUGCCAUCCUUCUGAAUGGACAACCUGGCUUCAAAUUUGCUCCAUCGCGAGGCCUUCGGCAGGGAAACCCUUUAUCUCCAUAUCUAUUCCUCUUGGUUAAUGAAGUACUAUCACUUCUUAUUCAACAGGUCAGUGAUCGGAAAUAGAUUGAGGACGUACAUAUGAACCUAACAAGUCCGACAAUAUCCCAUAUCUUUUUUGCAUAUGACACACUUGUCUUCUUAAAGGCAAAAAAGGAAAAAUGUCAACACCUAAUUCAGUUGAUUGAUAAGUAUUGUUCGGCUUCGGGAUAACAAGUCAAUAAGUCAAAGGCAAGUGUUUUUUUGGGCAACGUGCCUAAUGCAUUAUUACAACAACUAGUUGGCAUUCUUGGCAUGGAGAGGGUCGGGGACCUGGGAUUGUACCUGGGAGUACCUACCAUAUAAGGCCGAUCGAAGAAAUACGGGCUAGCCUAUAUUAAAUGAAGGUUAAUGGGAAAGAUUCAAGGGUGGAAGCAAUCAACUCUUUUACAAGCAGGGCGCGAAGUUCUCACAAAGGUGGUAGCACAAGCAAUUUCGGCGUACCCAAUGAAUAUUUAAAUUUCCCACGUCGCUCUACAAUGAAUUAGAUGCAAUGAUUUCAAAAUUUUGGUGAGGGCAAAAGAGGAAGAGAAUCAGAUUCAUUGGGUAUCCAGGGAGAAGUUGGGACGUUUGAAAGAGGAUAGUGGCUUAGGCUUGAGGAGCUUUUUGAAGUUCAACGACGCCCUUUUGGCGAAGCAAUGUUGGAGAUUGAUAAUGGAGCCAAGCUCCUUGUGAGCGUCAGUGCUUAAAGCUCAAUACUUCCCUAAUUGUUCUUUCCUCGAUGCAAAGUGGGGCGGGAAAGCUUCAUAGGCUUGGUCAAACCUUUUAGUUGGAAGAGAGUGGUGGCGCGAGAUAAAGAAUGAAGGUUCUUGGCUACUUAUAGGUAUAGACUGAAGGCUAUAAGUGUAGCAAUGGCGGAAGUAAUAGCUAUCAUGCACGGAUGUAAGCUAGGGAUCCAUAUGGGUUGGAAUUCUGUAAUCGUUGAGUCAGACUCCCCGGAAUCAAUCUCUUGCCUCCGGGACACGACAACGAUGGGCAGUUAGGAAUCAUUUCCCAUUCGAGUGAAGAGCAAUAGAUUGGGGGAGGCUUUUCAAGAUUGCCACUGGUCUUGGGUUCCAAGACUGGCCAACAUGGAAUCGGACCUUUUGGCGUCGUAGCAAUGUAGGGAAGUAUGUGAUUAUAUUUGGGACAAUAGACCCCCAUCUUCCCUUCUUCAUAUUCUGUGUAAUGAUGGUCUUCCCUGCCCCCCCUAAGUAUUUAAAUGGUACUGUGAGGGGUGAUGCUUUUAGCAUUAGAUGCGGCGUCGUGGAAUUAUGUACCUCAUUGCACUACUCGAUUUAAUAGAUGUUGUUGGCUAUUUGUCUUAGGGUAGGCCUCUCUAUAAAUCUUUGACAUCUUUGCCCAGAUAAUAAAAUGUCUUGUUCAACGAAAAAAAAAAUCAAUUAAUCAUUAGAAAAAUUUUCAUGUACCAGUAUGAACAUUUAUACCUGAGUACCGACUCGUGUGCUAGCUGCAAGUGUACCCGAAACACAAGUUUAUAGUAUAGGUAAUGCUAAAGAGAUCAAAUUUUUUUAACUAAAUUGCAACUGUUGGCCAAUCAAGGAAAAAAAAACUUUUUUUCCACUUUUAUAAUAACAUAUGAUCUACUGGUCUAUGUUUUUGACACACCUCUUGUUAAUUUAUGUCUUUUGAUCUUUUCUAAUUUAUUCAAUCCGACGAUCGAAAUUAAAAAAGUGUGUAAAAAAUAAAAAUGAACAAGUGAAUAGCAUCUCCGAUAAUGUGUAAACCCCAAUACGAUAGAAGAGAGUAGAGUAGGAGUAGAGCGUAGGCAGGCUGGGCAGGGAUCAAAUUUGAAAAGGGAGAAAUGUCAUCAUGAGGAGGCAGGAUGGGACCUAGCGGUGAUUGGAGGGGACUGUAGUCCGUGUUUCGCGGCACAAGGAGACGAAUUUGAUGGAGACUCGACCUUCUGCUCCGCUCAGAACCCCCGCUCAGAUGUCAGUGAUACGUCUUACGUCCAUUUUCCUUAAUUUGAAUCAAAAUUUUAAAAUUAAAAUGCUCUCUCAUUCUUUAUUUAUAUUUUGGUCUUGUCUAAAUUGGCACUAAUACAAUGAGUUUAUCUUUGGUCCUUGCAGUUUGUUUUCUGAUUGCAAUUUUACCCUUCCAGUUGAACAAAUCUUGUGUUCAUACGGAGUAUAACGUUACUUGCAUGCUCAUAAACAAAAUCAAAGGGGACUCCUCCGUAGUGAGAACCAUCGUUAGUUUGCUUUCGCCAAUUCCGGUAUAAGCGAUGUAUAGGCGAACGAUGAUGUAGUCCUCGAGUGAACAAAAGAAUGAAUUGGCAAAUCAAGACAGUGCUAGGUUUAGGAUUAAUGAGGUGAGACUAGCGAUCCUAUCCCAUGUCAGCUGAUGCGUGUGAGUGUCGCUUCUUACAUCGCCCCCCGCCACUUUAUUCUGUCAAAUUAGGUAAAAUUUCUUCAAAUUUACUAAGAAACGUUUCAUAUUUCAAAAAACUGAAAAGAAUUAGGUAAAGGUCGUACCCAGUGCACAAGGCUCCCACUUUACGCAGGGUCUGGGAGAGGUGAAUGUCGGCUAGCCUUACCCCAUUUAUAAAUAAAAAAUGCUCUCUCAUUCUUUAUUUAUAUGAAAAGAAUUAAAAUGCUCUCUCAUUCUUUAUUUAUAUUUUAAAAUUAAACUGAAAAGAAUUACCAAAAAAAAUUUAAUAUUCCAAAAUAUAAAAACGAAAUACUGAAAUGGUAGAGAUACGGCAUGCCAACGCAUAUAUAUUUCAUCUCUACUUUAAAAAUGGUAUACAAAUAGAUAGUUAAAAUAAUAUUUUAGCGUUUGUUAGCAUAUUGAGCCAUAUGAAAGAAUAACGAAACUACAAGAAUGAAAUGGAAACAAAAAAGUUACAAGAACAAAAGUGAAAACUCAAACAAACUAGGGGGACUUGCUAGGGCAACAUGUCCUUUGGUUACUAACCGCAUCUGCCUUAGCUGCAGUGCUGUGGGUGGUGGUAAGGAUCUUUUAUAUAGGGAGUGACAGCGCCAGUGAGGAAAAACCCUUCAGGCCACCACUUGCCACUUCCUCCUAAUAAUAUUACCACUGCCAAUCUGCCAUGCCAGCUGAGCUGCUGCUGCUACCAUCUCAAUUCUCACAUUCUUUCUUUUCUUAAUCUGCUUACUCAACUUAUUACCAUUCUCAUAUCUCAGAUUCCCUGCCUUUAGUUUGUAGCUGACUAUUUACUGAUUGGGUCCUAUAUAAAUCUUUUUCCUGUCUUUUAUUAUAAAGGACCCUAAACCCUAAUAUGCUGCAACAGUCUCUUUUAUUUUAUUUUAUUUUCCCGCUUGUUGACUUCGAAUUUUGUUCAGGUGCUUGGUAAAACUUAUGGUCAAUGGGUAAAUAAUGCACAAACAGUCCCGUAUAAUGGUUUUUAACUCCGCACGUAAGAUUUUAAGUUUGUUUCGCACAUCAUGUUGUAUACGAAGUGAACGAACGAUUGAAUGUUUGACAAAGACUUCAUGAUCAUCGUUGUUAUCAUGGCACGAAACCAUUUUUCAUAGUUUUGAAUUCGAUUCAUUUAUCAUGACAAUUGGUAAUUAAUCUGGUAGGGGUAUAAUUUCAACUUUCAUGCAAAUUAUUAUUCAUAAUUUAAUGAGAACAUCCAAUGGUUUUGUUCUUCCUUUAUUCUUUCUUUUCAAAAUUUAAUUUCGAAAUUAAUAAACAAUAUAAAAGUAAAAUGUCGACAUGUAACAUUUUCAAAUUAAUUCUACUCUUUUAUUUUGGUACAUUUUAAUCCUUUAGAGAUUUGGGAUGAUUAAAGAUUUAGUAUACAGAUACAUAUGACUUGGAAGAGAAUCACUGUUACGGAAAGUUGCUGCUUUUUCUUUAUCGUUUUGCUUGGUGCAUGGGAGUGCACUGAACGAGUAGCAGUGCAGAGCACAAGGGUUGGGUUUGCUGGGUUUUGAUGAGAGACAAGUACAUGUACAUGCAGCUGCUACAGAAAGAAAAACACUCUCAUAAACACAAAUAAACUGCUACCGUAUCGUCUUACACUAAUAAUACAACAUAAUGUAUAGGUUUCUAAGUUAGAUCUUGAUUUUUAUGUUUUUAACCAUACACCAAACAACAAAAAUAUCUUAAGCAUUUGACAUGGAAUUUUUUUUUUUUUUACGCAGCACUGUAUUAUCAGCAUAAAAGAUCACAUUACUAGUGUAUCUGUAACAUGUAAAUUAUUUUUGAGAUAACCUUGAAAUUAGAAAAAAUAAAAAAUGAUUGAAAACUUUGAGUUUAAACGAUAAGGACAACAUAAAGAGUAAAAUAAAUAGUACCAGAAUUAAUUUUUUAAUGUAAAAAUAUAAUUUUUUAUUAAAAUGAAUCGUACCGAAAAUUUUUCAUUAAAAUUUUUAAAAAUAAAAGGUAAAAAUAUUGAAGUGACACAUCAAGGCAUUAACAAACAGACAAAACUCAUACGUGUAUAAAAUUGAGGGAGAUCGUCCCCUACAAAUCUCAUCCCUCUGAGCCUCUGAUCCCACAUCUGAAUUUCCCUGAAAAGCUUAGAGAUUUUUCUGUGGUGGAAAUCAAUGAGUGAAUUGCAACUGUCUCUCGGUCCACCAAUCACUGUGAUAGACUUUGGAAAUAUAAUAUUUACUAUUUACUUGUUUAUUUAUUACAGUAAAUAGUAAAUUGUAUUAGUAUAGGGAUCGGUGAGAUGGAGAAAAGAAGAAGAAAGAAGUUAAAAAAUGGGAGUCCAUUUAACCUCAGCUGGGUAUAUGUCUGACCUCUCUCUUUCGGUUCAGGCUUUCACCAACUUUGGUUCGGUGAAAAGGAAACAUCUUCAGAUCCCUUUCUACAAAUUCCCCCCUCUUUCUUUAUUUAAAAACUCUACCAUGAUUUUUACUUGUACAAAAAUACACAUCAAUUGGUGGGUCUGUCCCUCUAAUAUUGUUUUCAACUUAUUGCAUUGCGGAUUCAAAAUCUCCUCUUUUUCUUUCAUUUAGCUUGUAGUAGUAAUAUUGAUUUGUAAUAAAAUUAGAAAAUUGCACAAAAAUGUACACAAAAAAAAAAAAAAAAAAAAAAAAAAUUGACGAUUUUACGGUGACGUUGGCAUCAAAUCAUGAAAGAUGAGGGGUUAUGUUUGUGUUUUUCUUUAACACUAAAGCCCACGAUUGAUGGGCCUAACAGAAUUUGUCAUUUUAUGUUAGAAAACCCAAAUCCAUAUUGGCAGCAAAUUGUUCAACACCAAAUGGGCUAAUUUCUCAGGGCCAAAUUUUGAUGCUCCUUUUGUAAAGAAACUUUGGUAUUACUGAGUUAAAUUAAAUUGUUAACUGUUAGAGAGGGAGAUCGGUAGAGAUUGAGCCCCCAUUAAAGUGCAUAGCAUGAUUGAUUUCCGUUACUGCGGUAAAGAGCCAUUGUGUUGAUGGAGUUGUAUACACUACUGUAUUUAGCUGACAAGAUUCUAUGCACAACCGUCAACUUUCCCAUUAACUAAAAUUCAAAAAAGAAAUAGUAGUUACACAAAAAUCCAUUGCGACUCGAACUAAGGAGCUAGGAACUUGGACAAGGGAUUCCGGCCUUUGAAGAAAUUACACUAUAUUUGGAUGAAGAAAAUAAACUUGGAAUUUGGAUAAAAGUUAGAAUUUUUAAAUUGACAUGCAUCAAUUUCCUUAUUUGGAUUUAUAAAUAUAGAAAUUUAGAAUUUCCGCGUGAAAAAACUUGGAAUUUGGGGCCUCCAAUUCCCAAGUUUAAAUUUCAUGUAAAUAUGUGUCAUUUCCCAAUUACUAUGAUUGAGAGUUUAAAAUUAACAAAUUUCAUUCUCAAUUUCAUUGUUCUUUUAGGUUAAUCAAACAAGAAAGUUCACAAAUUCUAGAAAAUAAAAUCCCGUCAUUUCAAUUUCUGUCAUUUUAAAAUUCCUUAAUAAUCUUAAAUUUCUUCAUCUAAAUGUAGUAUUACAAAUUCCGAAAGACUCAAGUAUCUAGUUUUACAACUUGAAUGCAGGAAUUUUAUAAAUGACAUGGAUUUUUUUAUAGGAAACUUAAGGAGGCCCCAAUCCACUAUGUAAGUUCCACCUAGAGAGAUGGACCUAAAACAAUUAUCUCGCCUCUCCUUCGCUUUCUUUUAUGGCGUAUCCACAGCUUCUCUUUUCGUGUCUCCUCUACUUUUCUUCAUCAAAUUUCAAGCUUUGAUCUUUUGCAAAUCUCACAUCUUUUCCGUUUAACCUCAUAUAUCACAAUUAGACCUGGCAUUUUGGAUCCGAUCUGACCCGACCCGUUAAUAUUAGUAUUUGGAUAAAUGCUUAAAGGGUCGGGUCGCUAACGGGUGAACUCAUUAAAUAAUUGGUCACUUUGGGUCAACCCAUUAGACCCGUUAGCAUCUGUUAGCACCCGUUAGUUGAUGAUGUUUUAGUAAUUUCAGUAAAGUCUUAACAACAAAAAAUAAACUCUAUGUAAAAAAAAUAAUAAUAAUAAUUGUUAAUGGGUGAAACGAGUGAUCAGUUAGUUUAACGGGUCGGGUUCAGAUGACCCGUUAACUUAACGGGUCAGAUUAAAUCCGACCCAAAUCCAAUAAAUCCGACUCGUUUACAGGUCUAAUCUCAAUCCCUUCUUCAACUUCAUAUCUCAUGAGUCAUGCCAUUCCUCAACCUAAGAUGUCAAAUCUCAUAUCGCACUUGCUUGAUUUGCACACCGCGUUCUCGAUGGCAUGCCCCGAUCAGAGGUAGAUUUGUUGUUGAAAAUCGUCAAAUUUGGCACAUAAUCCGUACGCCUUGGUGGAACGGUAGGUAGGAAAUUUAGUCUUGAACUUUCGCCAUGUGUUCGGACGUUGUUCUAAAGUCCAAAACAUUGAUAGAACAUAAAUCUAAGGUGGGCCAAAUGAAAUAAAAAUAAAAUAAAAUAAAAUAAAAUGUAAGGUGAUUACAUUUUUUUUGUUUUGACAAAAGCGAUGGAGUGUUUGAUACCAUGAAUAACCACGAACAAGAGGUACCAAAUUGGUAUAUUUUUUUUUAGUGAUCAAUCUCUUGAUCCGGAGACUAUUUGCAUAAAACACUAAUAAUUUUGACCUCUAUAUGGCCACAACAAAAACCACUAAAACUAAGUGUUCUGGAGUAGAUAUGUUACAAAGACUAUAGAUGCGACAGACCUAGAGCCAGUGUCUCACAUUAAUCCAUCGCAAACAACGAGGCCACACAAAUUAUUGUAGCCACACACAAAUUCUACAUAUCUAGCGGUACAACCAAUAAACCAAAAUACAUAAAACUAAACUAAAACUGAUACUUGUCAACAAAGAAGAAGGAUAUGGGUACGAAACUGGCACGAGGUGUUGGAGCAUGACACGUGGGUCGUAAGCCAAGCAAUUUCUUGCACAACCAAUUAACUCAACAAAAAAAGAACAAGUUUUGAGUCAAUCAGUUAACAAGCUGGGUUGUUAUCGGAUCAUCCGUUAAGAACCGAUAAGAUAUUUUAGCAUUUCUCUUAAGUAAAUUGUGCACGCUUGGUUGGAGUUAAUUAGUACACAAUGCUGUGGGGAGAUUACUUUUUCAUGAAUAGAAGGGGAAAUGGAGUGAUUGCUUCUAUUAUUUAGGUGAAGAAUGAGAAAUAAAUUUAAAAUAUGUUGUUCAAUUUUUUAUUUUUUUUUAACAAACGAAAUUUUUCACACUAAAAAGGGAAGAUGGAUGGCCUUAGUUUCAUAAUGAGCUAGUAAUAAUGUAGUUCAAAUCCGCAUUUGGAAAGAAUUGAACCAUAAGUGAAGAGAAAUACUAUUAAACUGUAAUACUAAGUAUCAAAAUAUGUUGUUCAAUUAAAGUGGAGACAAUGUUCAAAAGUGAAUUGAUAGCUAAAAUAGAAGCAAGGAGGACGCUGUACCAUGCAGAUGUGUAACCGACACAGCUUGUUAUCAUCACAAUUACGAACAACUAUUAUGUCCUCUGAUAAUUAAGAAAAAUUGUAUUUUUGUUCAUUUGAUAAUACUCACCACUCUGUUUAUUAUCGUUUGAUUAGCUUAAAAUUUGAUAUUUGUGUUUAUCCAUAAUACAGAUGUCGAAAUUUAGAUUCAUCAACGAUGAUAAAUAAAGUAAUGAACAUCAACAUUAGUUAGCGAUAGUGAGCAAAAAUAUUCCUAUUACAAAAAGCUUUAUCUCAUUUGCUAUAUUAGGGUGAAAUAGUCCAAUGCAAAAUAAGUUACUGUUAUUACAAGUAAAUUAAGAAAUAAGAUUGAAAUCCCAUCAACUUAUGAUUUUUUUAAGUGUACUUAUCUUCUAUAAACUCCAAAUUUCGAGAAGGUCCGUGCGCAUACGUUACCAACUGAUAGUAUUCCUCAAAAGUCAUGUUAUGGAAAAUGGAAUUUAUGGAUGAGAGGCCUAAAAUUCUGAGAAUCCAAUUGAAACCAUAUUAAUUAAUUUUUUUUGUCGAAAAACCAUAUUAAUUAAUUAAUUACAUCAUGUUUGUGGAUGAUUCAUAAAAAAACGUGUUAUAAUCCAGGAAAAACUCAAUCAGUCUACUCAUUCUACAAUUUCUAGGAACAAAAAACUCGACAACAAAUUGAAAAAUGAGACCCUUAUUCCAUGACAUGGUCAGAAAUUUGAUUAAUAUAACGUUUAAGAUAAUCAACUUGAUUUGACCAAAUAAGUAAAUAAAUAUAGGAUAUUGAUCUAAAUUCGAAUACAUACAUAAAUAAAUGGGUAAAUUACAUUUUACCCCCUCAGAUUUGAGGUCAAUUUCAAUUUCUUAAAAUAUUUUUAAAACAUUUCAAUUUCAUACAUUUACUUAUCAUUUAAUUUCAAUUUCAUAUAUCCGUUAGAAAAUACGUUAAGUUAACCGUUAAGUGAUAAUGUGGCAAAUAUGGGCUCCCCAUUUGUCCUGACGUGGCUACCACAUUUGUGCCACGUGGCUAAACACUUAAUAAUAAAUUUAAAAUAUUAAAUAAUAAUAAU
This 101485-nucleotide long non-coding RNA is filed under the name Malus domestica (apple). The record is from RNAcentral. Lineage: Eukaryota; Viridiplantae; Streptophyta; Magnoliopsida; Rosales; Rosaceae.